RNAcentral lists this long non-coding RNA (90380 nucleotides) under Olea europaea (common olive). RNAcentral's name for it is "long non-coding RNA (OEUR_LNC007652)". The record is from RNAcentral. Lineage: Eukaryota; Viridiplantae; Streptophyta; Magnoliopsida; Lamiales; Oleaceae.
CAAUACCUAGGAACAAGAUGAGAACGUGAAAGAGGAAAAACAAGAGUUCAUCUCUUGUUACACUCAGAAAUGUCUUAGAAGGCUGGCAAAGGUAUCUCCUGCAAGAAAAGAAAAUGUUUACAAUCCAAUUGAAUAAGUGAAAAGCAAAUUUUUAGAGAAUCGCAGUAUACCAGCAAAAACUAUUGCUCUGUUUACUAGAUUCUUUCUCCUUCACUUUCACUUACUACUUCACUUUUACUCUGCCAGUCAAGUAUUAUGACUUUAAGUUCUUCAUUUCCCAUGUCUUCUUGUUCUUCUUGAAUUCUCUUAGCAGAUUCUUUGAUAGCUUCGGCGCAGUCAUAUACCUCAAUCAUUAGUAAUGUUGGAAUAUCACGUAAAAUGGGAGGGAUCAUCUUCAAAUGUUUGCAAUAUUUCAAUCCUAGUCGUUGAAGUCUUGGGAAAUGAUCGCUUGAGGUAUUCCAUUCUGCAAGUCCUACAUCAGAGUUUUUCAAGAAUUUAAGUUGUGGAAAUUCACCUUCACUAGUGUCCCAUCAUCCUUCCUCAAAGGAAACACCACGUAAUUUGAGAACCACAAGGUACUCCAAUUUCCCAAUUAUCUUCAUUUGUUCCGGAGAUAUGCGUGCAUCAACUAGAGUCAAUUUUUUGAGAUUUAAGGGAAGACUGAUCAAACUUAAGGAUAAAUUUUUGGUGUCUGAUAUAAGCUUCAGAGAUUCGAGCUAAUUAAGGAAGUCGAAAGAAUAACUGUGUGAAGUUCCAACCUUGCCCUAAAGUCUGUGAAGAUUGGGUGAACAUCUCAAACUUUUCUCAUCUGCUUCAUCGAAAAUUUGAAGGAAAGAAAUACUUCGUAGGUUUUUUUUUAUUUGGAAGCUCAGAUCCUUAAUUGCUUGAUGACGGGAUAGAAUCACUGAAGUAUGCACAGCCCUCGAAAUGCAUGUGUCUCAAACUCAUCAUAUUAAGGAGGACAUCCGGUAUUUCAACAGCAUCUCGGUUGCGUAGAACAAGAAAUUCUAGUUUGUGGAAGCUUUCCAUUGUUGGAAGUAUACGUGAAAGUGCCAAGUACCUCACAUGAACCAGCUGUUCAAUUCCAAUUACAACAAGAUUUUCCCGGUUGUCAAAAUCCAAGACCCUAAGAACUUUGAAGCUGCAUGCAAAUAAUAUGGACAUCCUAAUAUCAAAACAUAAACAAGAACGCACAUGUGGGCCGAAAGGAAGUGAUAAAAUAGAAUUCUUCCCAUAGAUGAUACUCAGACAAUGGUGUUUCUGAUCCAUCACAAAUUCACUGACGUACGGCAAUGGAUAAGAGUCAUCAACAUUACUGGUAAAAAUAUAAUCACUCGUGAUAUGAUCAUCAGAUAUAGUCACGAAUAUUAGUACACCAAAACAAAAAUGUACAAAUAGAGAAGAAAAAAGAAGAGAAAUAGGGAAUUUACAUCUUGACAAUCUUCAAAAAGCUUUUUUCUCCAGAAUUCUCAAGCACAUUUGACGCAAUAGAUCAUGAAUCAUACAAGUUUUGAUUGAACCAUCAAAUCCUUUUUUAGCAACAAGUACCAGGCUCCUAUCAAUUAGUUUCAUCACAUAUUCUAGUGCACAUCCUCUAAACUCUUGUGCUCUUCCUUCUUUAUAUAUCCUUCAGCAACCCAUAAUGAUAUAAACUUUUGUGUGCGGAUUUCCUCGCCCUCUUGGAAUGCUCCAAAGUAAAGAAAACAUGGUUUCAAGUGCAUUGGCAAAUGGUUGUAGCUAAAUUCUAAUAUCUGGAUGUAGUUAUCUAAAUUUUUGGAUAAAUGUGAACUUAAAUUUCUUGCAACUUCUUUCCACAAUUGUUCUUUAUUCUCCAUAUUUGCAAGAACUCCAGCUAUCACGACCACGGCAAAUGGUAGGCCGUGACAUUUUUUUGCAAUCUUCUUCCCAAUGCCUAGCAAUUCUUGUGGACAACUUUUAUCUCUAAGCACUUUCUUUUGUAAUAAAUCCCAGCAUUCAACUUCCGAUAGAAAAGGAAGUGUAUUUAUGACACAAUGAGGCGACACUUUCCAACUUACUUCUUUAUUCCGAGUGGUGAAUAAGAUUCUGCUUCCAGUUCAGUCAUUUGGAAAAAAUCUUUUCAAAUCAUCCCAUAAUUUUGUAUCCCAUAUAUCAUCCAUGACAAUGAGAUAUAGAAUUCCUUUUAAACUUUUGUAAACAUCUUCAGCCAAACUUUCUACGUCCUGGUUUGCAAAUGUUUCUUGCUUAAAAUUUUUUAUCAAGCUCAAAAUGUUAAUCAAAAUAUUUUUCUUAUUAUAUGUUUGAGAAACAACACACCAGGCUCGCUUGUAAAAAUGAUAGACUACAAAUGGAUCAUUAUAUAGUUUAUUUGCUAAAGUCGUCUUACCAAGUCAAGGCGUUCUAGAUAUGGAGAUAAUUUGCAGUUGCUCCAUUCGUCUAACAAGUUGUUUCGUAAUUUCGAGUCCAACAUCUUCAAACCCCACAAUAACAUCUUCCAAGAUGGGAGUUUCUUUAGAUUGUGAGGAUAAUUGUUCAUCCGGAUAUUUUGCAACUUCUGGCAUUCUAGCCACAUCAAUAUCGUUCUUCAUUUCUUUGGUGGCCAUCGUAAUAAGCUGAAUCUUCUCAUUGAGCCGAGGAAGUCUGAGGGUGAGAUACCAAAUAGGGGGAAAUGAGUUGAUAACAUAUUCAACUUCAAAUGCUAUGUCUCUGGUUUUUAUUAUGAGUUCUUCGUGCUCUGCUUCUUGCUGCACAGAUAUACUGGUGAUGGAAGAUCCCAAUAACGAUAGCUUCGUAUGUAGCAUUACAAUUUGAUCGUUCAGACCAACAAUCCUGUCAAACUUGUUAUUUAUCAGUUCCAUAAGAUUAUCAAGAACAGAAUCAACAAUGAAGAGUGAAACCACACCAGUCUUUAGAGCCAUAUCAAUUGGCAUCUUUGAGACUGUGAUGCAGUGCUCCUUGAUCUUUGAUUUCAAGGGCUCGAACUUUGGUAACAAAUUCGAAAGAGCUAGAUCCACUAUUCCACUCUCCGGGACUUGAUCAUUCUUGGUGAAAACUAUGAAAUUCCCUACCUCAUUGGCCAGAGCUUUGAUAUCCGCCAUUGCUUUCUUGGUUUCUUCUACCUCAGUAGUGGUCUGCAAUGACAUGUCCUCAAGAACGUCGAAAAAGCCAGAGUGCAAGAAACUUACUCCAACGUUGAUCACAUCCAGUGGCGGACACAGAAAUUUUGAAUUAGUGGGGCACAAUCCCGAAUAUAGGAGAUUGGGCUGGCCCAGUCCCCUCCCCAGCUCACUUAAUAGUUUUUAGGGCAAAAAAAAAUAAAAUAAUAAUAAUAAUAAAUAAAUAAAUAAGUAAAAAAAAAUUUAUGUGUACAUUUAAUUUUUUUACAUGUUAGCUCAGUUUGUUACGUAUUAGUCUGACUUGUAGUCCGAACCUAGAUCCGUCCCUGACACAAUCAGAAUUGAAAAAUGUUGAUGCUUGAAAAAUAAAAAUAAAAUGUUUGAAAAAAAAAUUAUCGAUAUAUAUGGAUAACCAAAACAUCUUCAUCCGACUACUCUAGAUCAUCACUAUUGAAUUUAGACAUGAAAAAUAAAAUUUUAUGAAAUGAAAUGAAGUUACACAACUUUGAUCAUAAAGACCACUAUCCAAUAUUUUAUUAUUUUACUCCCCCAGAGGCCAAAUCAUUCAAAUAAAACACACGGUUGCAUACUGACUUCUAUGACUUUCUAGUUUAUUCACUCACCACUCUCUCUCUCUCUCCUCUCUUUGUUUCAUCCUUUACCCUCUCUUUCCACUCUCAGUUCUCUCACUUUCUUUUAACAUGAUAAUUACAUACACAAUACAAUACACAUUUUUCUAAACGGCGGACAAAUAAUUUAAUACCUAUGUGUUGACUGUCCAAAAAUCUUUGCCCAAUUCAGUUCCUGAAUUGUGAUAUCACCAAUCACGGACAGAUUCACAAUGGGACUUUUUUUUUUUAAAUACAUACACAAUACACACAAUUAAACACAUUUAUAGUAUGCUAUGUCGGUGGAAGAGUGUUCAUCAACAUAGGAAGAAGAAGAAGAAUGAGUUUUGAUUUUCCAAGGGAAGGGAACUAGGGACGGGUUUCGAUUUUUCCAUUUGGGCACUGGAGUCUUCUUCUGGGUUCUGCUGAAGAGGACUGAAGGCCCAAAAAAAAAAAAUUUAAUUUUUAGAAGUUGGUGGAUCACGUGACGUGACCCUCUAGGACCCAAUGUGGGUCCGCCUCUGAUCACAUCUUCAAUAUCCGUCAAAUUAAGCCUUGUAAAAGCAAUAAAUGUGUCUUCCUUCCGAGUGACCAAGAAUACUACAAAGGUAUAAAACAAGGAAAAAAAGAAAUUUCCUAUUUCAUUAACCACAGCUUCGAUAUCUAGUACUACAUUAUUGGUGGGCUGCCAAUGCAUUGAUGUAUCUCCAAGAAGAGUAAUAAGAAAUCCCAGCUCUGUCCUGAGAUUUUGGAAAGCAAUGUAUUUUGCCUUAAAACAUAGGAUGGAUUCUAACAUUCCGAGUAGAAAGUUGAUGAAGGUUGCAACAACUUCAUUAGGACAUGAAUCACAUGACGAGCUUUGCAGGUUUGGGACAGUGAAGAAUGCCUUAAGCUUUUCCAACAUGACAAUAAUUGUUGGAGACUGUGUCUGAUAUUUUCAAUAACUUUUGAGUUUCUGAGCGGCUCCGGAAAAUGAAACAAAUCGUUUGAUGGGAGCCCAAGUUGGCAAGACAAAAUUGACGAAUACUCGAACACGAUUGCAGCGAAUCCUAGUGGCGCAGUAAACAGUUUAUCCUCGUCUGGUAAAAGGUACUCCUCUUCUGUCCUGUCCUGGCAGUCUAUGCUUGAUUCUCCCACCCCGAUGACAUAGGGAAAGGAUGCACGCAAUUGCAGGGGAAAAAGAAAGACAACCUGUUAAGAUUUUAAAAUUUUUUAAAUGAAUCGUAACUUCCAAUCUGAAUCUAUCCUCCAAAUGGAUGACUAUUAUACAUUGUGAACUCGGACAAAAAAUUUAACAAAGAUAACUCGUCUUAAAAAGUAUCUUGGGGACCAUUUUUGGGCGAAACAACCAAAAAAAUUGACUUUAGAAAAUUGUUUCAUCAAAAGUUAUUUCUUGCAGUUAUCAUUGUGACAACGUCACUACAAUUGCAACACAUUUCAAGCAAUUGAAAAUGUAGGAAAAUAUGUUCAGAGCACAUUAAAAAAAACUUUUUAAAAGUGAAAUGCUAUUUAUAUGAAUGAGUCAAAGUUUAAAAUUAAAUUUUAAAAAAUUUUAUUUUAAUUUUUAAAACAGAGAGUAUGAGCCAAACUCGCUCUCUUUCUGUAUUUUAUCAGAAUCACAUUUAAUAAAAUUGUAAAAUAUCAACUGUCCGCAACUUAAGUUAUUCAUAUUGUAUUGAAUUAUUUAAAAGGAUGAUCCAUUACUACAAACCUGGUUUUUCUACACUGCAAAUAAUGUUGGUAUUCUACUUUUGUUUUCUAUUUUUACCGAAAUUUUAGUAGCUUAUAGCUUUAGAGUUUGUUGAUCCAAAAUUUAAAUCAAAACAAAAGAAGGAAAAAGAGUACUAAUUAUCACUAUUCUAAAAGGCAACACCUAGGUGAGAGGCAAGCACAAAACACCCGCCUCGCACUUUUUCGUGCUUUUUUUCUUUUUUCUUUUUUUCAAGCCUAGAUGAGAUUUUUUUUUUUUUACAAUAUAUUAUUUUAUAAUUUUAUAUGUUUGGCAGGUAUUAUUUUAAAUAAUUUUCAGAUUGAUGUUAAAACAUCUUUUUGACAUGGUGAACUCGAAGAACAAAAUUAUAUGAGUCAAGCAGUUGGUUUCAUAUAUAAAAAUAAAAUCGAUUAUGUGUGCUUACAAAAAAAAAAAUCCUUAUACGUAUCAACACAGUCUCUCUGGCAGUGGAAUAAAUUAUUUGAUUAUCUUUUAUGUUAUCUUUGGACUAAGAGAAGUGAAUUUGAUCAUUGUAUACUUUAAAUCUGAAUUAUCCAAAUUUUUUUUUAUCUAUAUUCUUAUAUACGUGCAUGGUAUGUUACUUACUAGGUCUUUCAUAGUCUUAGUAAGAUUAAGUAUGCAUUGAAUUCAGAAUUUGACACUAAAGACCUUGGAAGUACCAAGAAAAUUCUAGGGUGGAUAUUGUUAGGAUAAGGCUAAUUCAAUUUUGGUUCUUAACUGCACUACAUUGUGGAACUGUCCACUGCUAGAUCCGAUUACGUUGCGCUAACAGAAGCCAUAAAGGAGUUAUCGUGGCAUAAAGGUCUGUUGGGUAAGUAGAGUUUAUUUUCUGCUCCUGUUGUGGUGCACCUGAUGCCUAGUAUGCUGUACUGUUAUUCAAGAAUCCUGUUUUUCAUGGCAGAACAAAAUAUAUAUAGAUGUAAGAAUUUCGUUUCAUUAGAGAUAUAGUGUCCAAAAAUAUGAUUCAAUUGGAUAAAUUCCAUCUCAGUUCAAUCCCUCAGAUAUGGAAACGAAACAUUACAAUUAAGCAAGUUUAAACCUUGCUUACAUCUACUUAACAUAGACACAUGUCAAGAAUAUUGUUAAAUAAGCAUUAGUUUUAGUUUUUUUCUUGCAUAUUUACUAACUUUUGUAUUGUUUUUGCAGGUAUCAGAGAUGAAUGCACAAAAUAGAGAGAAGUGUUGAUUGCACCCUUUUUUCCAAUUCUUGCUGAGAGCAAAGUGAAUAACAGUUGAGUGGUUUGUGAUGAGUUUGUUUCACUCAUGAUUUUCGUACAAUUUUAGCUUGAUUAAAUGCUAGAUUUUAUGAGUGUAGAACGUUUUUGAUGUGUUUGUUAGUGUUGUUUUGAAGAUAAGGAGAAGCAAUGAGAAAAGAAGUAUUAAAGUGGACGAAGAGGCCAAAAACACGGAAUUGAGGCAGAAAGAUGGCGCUUCGGCGCUACACUUAUAGCGCCUAGGAGCUACGAAACGAAGAAAAGAUGAAAAUUGGACCCGAGAGGCAGCGCCUAGGCGCUAUAGCCAGCACCUAGGCGCUAAAGACACAGCGCCCAGGCUCUAUAGUCAGUGCCUAGGCGCUGCGAAUGGCGAUUUAGGGCGCGUUUUUUUGAGCCGUUUUUAAAGUCAUAGAAACCCUACUUUUACAUAAAAACGUGAAGGCACCUAUAAAUACAUCCUCCUCAUACUUUUGAAGGCUUCUUGACAUAUUGGAGAGAAAAAUAACAAGGGAGAUUCAAAGGAGAAAUUUAAGAAGAUUAACACCAAGAAUUGAAGAUUGGAAGCACUCAUUGGAAGAGGAAGGAGAUCUUGGUGCAAGAAUUCCACUUUUUCUUCUACACCUUUAUUUCAAACUCGGUGAUGUAUUCUAAGACAAUCUCCUAUUUUUCUUCCAUUAUUAUGAGUAGUUAAAUUUGAUUUUAGGGCGAACAAUGUAAUCUUUUGGAACCCUUUAUUUCAUGUAAUUGAGAUUUUAGUGCUUUUAUAUUUCAUGUGUUGAUUUUAAUGUUGUUCUUAAUACAUUUAAUUACUUGAUCACUAAUUAGAUGAUUUGUGAACAAUGAAUGCGUAGAGAUGAGGAUUAUUUGUUUAGACCAUAUGUUAAAAUCCGGUAAAUUGAUAUAAUGUGUAGAGCUACCUAUAUUGAUUGACGCGGUCGUGUGUGAAUUCUUAGAACCAAUGUUUCAUUUAAUUAAAUUUAAUUUGCAUAGAGAUAUGGAAUUAAACUAAUUAAAUAGGUUCAAUGAUAACUCGAGAGGAGUAAGUUGAAUACAAUAGAAGAAUAUGACCGAACACUACCUUAGGUUUUAUGAAUCUUGAUUUAUGAAGUAAAGGUGACCAAUAGGUGAAAUUGUUCCGCCCUAACGUCCAUUUAUUGUUUGAAUUCUCAAUCACGUUUCGUUAAAUCCAAUCGCAUUUUUAAGUCUUUAGAAUAAAAAUCACAUUUAAUCAUUGUUUUUUAUUUAUAUUCGUCAAAUAGUAGUUAAAGAAAGAUUAAAUUAAGUGCUAGAAAACAGUCCUUGUGGGAUCGAUAACCAGACUCUUAGGUCGACUAUUACUUGUUACGGGUGGAACACUUGCGAAACAAAAUUAUACAACAAGUUUUUGGCGCCGUUGUCGGGGACUAUUUCUUUUAGUCUUAAUUUAUUUUUUUAUUUUGGCUAUUAUUUGAUUAGUUUAUUUUUCUUUUAUUUACAGAAAAGUGUGUUCGUUGUAUGCUCCGUGCCCAAGGCGACGAUCUUGAACCAUUUGAUUCGGAGAUAGAACGUACCUUCAGACGAAGACGCAAGGAACACAAACAAAAACAGCAACAUAAAAUGGCUGACAAUCAACAAAUCCAUAUCCCUAUUUAGCCGAUUGGGCAAAUGGCCGCAAGAGUGGUGGCACCACCAGAUCAACAGCAUGAACGAAGGGAAAUAAAUGAAGGGGAUUUGCCAGUAUCAAUGUUCCUGACACCUAUAGCAGCACCAAUGCGCUCCAGUAUCUUGUAUCCAGAUUUUGGGGUGAAUAACUUUCAGAUUGGGCCAGAUUGGAUUAACUUGAUGAGCAACACUCCGCAAUUCUACGGGCUACCUCAAGAGAAUCCAAACACGCAUAUUUCUAGAUUUCUCAGAAACUGUCAGAACUUUCAUGCUCCGGGAGUCAAUGAAGAUGCUAUUAAACUACAACUAUUCCCAUUUACAUUGAGAGAUGCUGCAUUGGAGUGGUUAGAUGCUGAGCCUCACGCUAGCAUUACUACAUGGGAAGAACUAAUCAGGAAGUUCUGUAAUAAAUUUUUUCCACCAGCGAGGGUAGCUAAAAUCAGAUUAGAAAUUCAGACUUUUCAACAGAAAGAGGGAGAAAGCUAUUACGAAGCAUGAAAUAGGUUUAAUGAGUUGAUGAGAAAAUGCCCAAACCAUGGAAUUACUAUAGGUAAUCAAGUGCAGUACUUCUACACUGGACUUACACCACUGUCAAAAUCUCAAGUCGAUGCCUCAGCUGGAGGAUCAAUUAUAGGAAAAUCUGUGCAGCAAACCAUGGAACUGUUUGAGUUGAUUGCCACUACACAUUCCAUGUUCUCAUCGGAAAGAGUGGCGCCACCGAAAACAGGAGGAAUGUAUGAGUUAGACAGCGCAGCAGCUACCAACGCCUAAAUAGUGGCAUUGACAAAACAAGUGGAGUUAUUGGUGAAAUCACAAAUGAAAGGAGCACAUGCAGUGACAGCUGGUCCAUCAUGCGAGAAUUGCGGGGCUAAUCAUCUGACAGAAAACUUCACAUCUAUAGGCUAUCCCGACGAGCAGGUCAAUUUCAUUCAGAAUAGGUCUCGAAAUUUUAAUCCAUUUGCUCAAACAUACAACCCAGGAUGGAGACAAUACCCAAAUUUCAAAUGGUCGAAUAAUCAACAAGGGAACAAUUCAAAUAAUGCCCAACAGGAGAAAAAACCAAGUUUAGGGGAGAUGUUCAACCAGCAUAUGCAGAAGACUGACAAGGUGUUUCAGCAGAUUGACACUAAUUUUUAGAAUCAGCAAGCAUCAAUCAAGAAGUUGGAAACACAAAUUGGUCAGAUAGCUCAACAGCUUGCAGAACGCCCACAAGGGAUAUUGUCAGGCAAUACAAUGGUCAAUCCAAAAGAGCAAGUGCAAGCUAUAACUACCAGGAGUGGGGUGCAACUUCCAGAAAUUCAUGUGAAGAGACCUGAGCGAAAAGAGAAGGAAAAAAUGGGUGAAGAGGCUGGGAAAGAAGUAGAGUUUGAACAACCAACUGACAAGGAAAACGAAAGGAAGGAAACACCUGCAGUGAGAGCACCCAGCCCCGUGAAGGCUUAUGUGCCACCAAUUCCAUUCCCUCAAAGGUUACACAGAAAGAAGUUGGAUAAUCAGUUUGCCAAGUUUGUGGAGAUUUUCAAGAAACUGCACAUCAAUAUUCCUUUUGCAGACGCAAUUGCCCAAAUGCCUAGCUAUGCAAAAUUCUUGAAAGAGAUCCUAUCUAACAAAAGGAAGCUGGAAGAACAUGAGACAGUAUGCUUGAACGAGGAGUGCAGUGCAAUACUAUUGAGAAAGCUACCUCCUAAGUUAAAAGACCCAGGGAAUUUCACUAUACCUUGUGAUAAGUGUGUUUUUACACACUUAUUUAGCUCACAAACAUAAUUUAAAUAUGGAAAAAGUAGUUGAAUUAUGACUUAAUCUUGUUAAAUUCAUGCUAUGUAGGUGUUUCUAUGGAAAAGAUGGAAUUCAGAAGAAAAGAGCCGAAAAAGGACCAAAACGGAACAGAGCGAUAGUUCGAGGACCAAGUUGCAAAUAAUCCAUAGAUGAGACGGGAAAUGGAAUGAAGAUUCAAGAGUGUUAAAGUUCAAUCGGAUGAGGAAAGGAGUCAAGAGGUGAAAUAUGGUCGGAGUAUUAUCAAGUAUCAAAUUUCAGGCGAAAAAGUUAUACUCGUGAUUUUGAGUCUCUACUUGAAAUCCAUUUUUGGCGUAGUAAACUUCAGAAUUUGAGGAAGCCUAUUUCUAUCAAAAGUGUAUAUCUUUAAGUUUUCUUCCCAAUUCACUUUGAAUCACUUCAAUCGGAGAUCAGGAGAGAAAGUUAUGACCAAAAUACUGAAAGCUGUUCGGAGGAAAAAAUUUAUAACCAUGCGGCCGCAUGGUUAUAAUUCCUUGCGGCCGCACAGGGUCUAGCAGGGAUCCAAAUGAGCUGAAAAAUUGAACCAUGCGGUCGCAUGGUUUAACACCAUGCGGCCGCAUGGCUUUAAGUUCGAUAAAAAAUUCUGGAAUCCCGUUUUUAAUUGAAACUCUUUCAGGGCUCCGUGGGGACAUGAUAUAAAAGCCAAAAUUCAUCAGAAAUAGGGUAGAACGUCCAGGGAGAAGAAGAAUACAACUUUUGGAGGCAAGGAACACGAACUUGAAGCGGAUUUCACAAGGAUUCAAAGGGGUUUUCAAGGUUUUAUUCAAAAUUUCAGAUUUCAAGAACUUUCAUACGGGUGUUCUUCCUUCUAUUCAUUAAUUUCGUUUUGGUUUCUGUAAUUAUGAAUCUUCCAGGCUAGGGUUUUAAUUACUAGGUGAUCGAUGAACCGUUGUUUGUUAUUUUAAUUCUAUAUUUCAUGAACUUGAUAUAAAGAUUCGUUGGAUAAUUUGAUUGAUUUACAUGCAUUAAUUUUCUUCCGCAAUUAGUGGCUAAUGAUUGUGUGAGUAUUGAUGACUUGUUUCUUUCAUUCGAGAGAAGUGGAAUAGGCUCGAUAAGGUGUAAAUUAACAUAGAGUCCGAUAGGGGAUAGAGAUAUACCCCUAUGCUUUAUGUAAUUCUUAAAUUGUUCACAAAACUACAUGCAUUCUUGUAUGUUUGCAUCAUCCAUAGAGACAUAGGCUAGUGGUGUGCAAGAAUAGGUCUAAUAUAUAUCGAGAGAGUAUAUUGGAUAGAAUUAGGAACAUUGAAUUGGCAAAUUUUCAUCGAAUCAUUAAUUUUAUGAAAUUAGGGUUUUUAUAACUUCAAUUGGGGAUUCGUGAUCCUAGUGACUUCAAUUUGAUUCAUUUUAAUAAAUUAGCUUUUAAACUUGCUUAAUUUCAUUUACUUGAGUGUUUAAGUCGUUUAAUUAGAGAAAUUUCGAAAUUAGGGUAUCUAAUUGAGAAAUUAGGGUUUUUAGUUGAAAUUAGGGUUUUUAAUUGAAAUUAGGGCUUUUUGCAUUUAGACCAUAUUUUCACUCAAUUAGAUUCGGUUAAGGCUAGAUUAUAUAGAAUUGAACUACUCAAUCUCUGAGGGACGAUAUUCGGACUUUUAAACAUCCACUUUAUUACUUGUUACGAACUGUACACUUGUGGUAAUUUUAAAUCAAAAGAAUUAUUUCGUGAACACCUUGUACAAUUGGUUCUAAUUUCUUUGAACAUUCUUUAUGUGAUUUAGGUGCCAGUGUUAAUUUGAUGCCUCUCUCUGUUUACAGGUCUCUUGGAUUAAGAGAAGCAAAACCUACAACAAUCUCUUUGCAAUUGGCCGACAGAUCGAUCAAACAACCAAAGGGAAUUAUUGAAGAUGUGCUGGUUAAAGUCGACAAAUUUAUUUUUCCGGUUGAUUUCAUCAUUUUGGACAUGGAAGAGGACUCAAAUAUUCCUCUGAUCUUGGGAAGACCGUUCUUGGCUACUGGGAGAGCAUUGAUUGAUGUGUAUGGUGGAAAAAUGAUUCUUUGAGUGGAUAAUGAGCAAGUUAUAUUCAACGUGUUCAAGGCAAUGAAACACCCAUUGACUUCCGACACUUACUGCGAAGUUGAUGUUCUUGAAGAGCUUGUGGCGGAUACAUUUGAUAUAGAGCAUCACACAAAUCUUUGUGAGGCAGAAUUUGCACAAUUGGAAGCAACAAAUGCAGGAAAAGUUGAAUGUGUUGUCAACUUAGCCGAGCAACCUAUAGGAAGAAGGCAUUGGUAGUAUGAAUCUCUAAGAGACAACCCUUCUCCCCCGGUACCCUCUGUGGAAAAGGCACCCACUCUUGAACUUAAGUCCUUACCUUCCCAUCUUCCGUAUGCAUAUUUGAGAGAAUCGUCAACACUACCAGUAAUCAUUGCAAAUGAUAUGACAAGGGAAGAUGAGAAUAAAUUGUUGGAGGUACUCAGGAAACACAAAAUGGCAAUUGGAUGGACAAUAGCAGAUAUAAGAAGGAUCAGUCCAACUCUUUGCAUGCACAAGAUUCUAAUGGAGGACGGGUAGAGGGCAUCAGUGGAAGGACAACGCCGAUUGAAUCCAACAUUGAAAGAGGUAGUGCAAAAAGAAGUGCUGAAAUUAUUGAAUGCAGGAAUAAUUUAUCCCAUAUCUGAUAGUUUGUGGGUGAGUCCUAUACAUGUUGUACCUAAAAAGGGUGGAAUCACAGUGGAGAAGAACGAGAACAACGAGCUAAUACCAACACGGUUAGUGACAACGUGGAAGGUUUGCAUAGAUUAUAGAAAGCUAAAUAAUGCAACCAGAAAAGACCAUUUUCCAUUGCCAUUCAUUGAUCAGAUGUUCAAAAGGUUGGCAGGACAUUCUCAUUAUUGCUUUCUGGACGGAUAUUCAGGGUAUUAUCAGAUAGUAAUUGCUCCAGAAGACCAAGAGAAGACAACCUUUACAUGCCCUUAUGGAACGUUUGCGUUUAGAAGAAUGCCUUUUGGUUUAUGCAAUGCACCGGCAACCUUUCAAUGAUGCAUGAUGGCUAUCUUUUCUGACAUGGUAGAAAAGUACAUUGAAGUUUUUAUGGAUGAUUUUUCUGUGUUUGGAGAUUCCUUUGACAAUUGCUUGGAGCGGUUGGCUCUUGUAUUGCAAAGAUGUGAGGAGAAGAACCUUGUGCUUAAUUGAGAAAAAUGUCAUUUUAUGGUAAAGGAAGGAAUAGUACUAGGACAUAGAAUUUCUGCACAGGGGAUUGAAGUGGACAAAGCCAAAAUACAGGUGAUUGAGAAAUUGCAGCCACCUAAUUCAGUAAAGGGGAUCAGGAGUUUUCUGGGACAUGCAGGGUUUUAUAGAAGAUUCAUUCAAGACUUUUCAAAAAUUACAAAACCGUUGUGCAACCUGCUGGAGAAAGAUAUACCUUUUCAAUUUUCUGAGGAGUGUUUGAAAGCCUUCAACAUUUUGAAAGAAAAAUUGACAUCGGCACCUGUGAUAGUGUUUCCAGAUUGGGAAUUGCCUUUUGAGCUCAUGUGUGACGCCAGUGACUUUGCAGUGGGGGCAGUGCUUGGACAACGCAACGGAAAAGUAUUUCAUGUUGUCUACUAUGCUAGCAAAACAUUGAAUGAUGCUCAGAUCAACUAUGCAACAACUGAAAAGGAAUUGCUUGCAGUUGUUUUCGCUUUUGACAAAUUCCAUUCUUAUCUGAUUGGGUCCAAGGUGAUAGUUUAUACAGACCAUGCAGCUCUGAAAUAUUUGUUUGAGAAGAAGGAUGCGAAACCAAGGCUAAUUCGCUGGGUGCUAUUACUACAAGAAUUUGACAUCGAGAUUCGUGAUAAAAAAGGAACAGAAAAUCAGGUAGCAGAUCACUUGUCAAGGAUAGAGCAACAUCAAAAUUCAGAUAAUAUGAAUAUCAAUGAGGUCUUUCCAGAUGAACAGUUACUGCUGGUAAAAAAAGCUCCGUGGUAUGCAGACAUUGUUAAUUACUUAGCCAGUGGCUAUAUGGAUCCGGAUCUCACCUAUCAGCAAAAGAAGAAGCUCAGUCAUGAAGUGAAAUUCUAUUACUGGGAUGAUCCAAAUUUGUAUAGGAGAGAGGCGGACCAGAUCAUUAGAAGAUGUGUGCCCGAGGAUGAAAUGAAACCGAUCCUCUCACGAGUACAUGCUUCGGCUUAUGGAGGGCACUUUGGCCCCACUAAAACAGCAGCAAAGGUGCUCCAAUGUGGUUUCUUUUGGCAUACAUUGUUCAAGGAUUGCCAUAGUUUCUGUAGGUCAUGCGAUAAGUGUCAAAGAACAGGUAACAUAUCAGUGCGUCACGAGAUGCCACUUAACAACAUUUUGGAAGUGGAAAUAUUUGAUGUCUGGGGGGUUGAUUUUAUGGGUCCAUUUCCAUCAUCUUACAACAAUCGGUACAUCCUGGUCGCGGUGGAUUAUGUUUCAAAAUGGGUAGAAGCUAAAGCACUGCCUACAAAUGACGCAAGGGUGGUGGUCGACUUCAUAAAGAAACACAUAUUUAACCGAUAUGGAUCACCUAGGGCAAUUAUAAGUGAUGGUGGAACGCACUUUCGCAAUCGGUUGUUCCAAGCAGUUUUGCAUAAGUACGGAGUACAACAUCGAAUUGCCACUCCUUAUCACCCUCAGACAAGUGGACGGGUGGAAACAUCAAACAGACAAUUGAAAAGAAUUUUGGAGGUCACUGUGAAUGCAUCUCGCAAGGAUUGGUCAAAAAAAUUGGACGAUGCUUUAUGGGCAUAUCGCACAGCUUACAAGACGCCUAUAGGAAUGUCCCCAUAUCGACUAGUCUUUGGGAAAGCAUGCCACCUACCAGUGGAAUUUGAGCACAGAGCGUAUUGGGUAUUGAAGCAAUUAAACAUUGACCUCGAAAAGGCUGGAGAAACAAGAGUACUACAGGUACAUGAGUUGGAGGAAUUCAGAAGAGAGACAUAUGAGAAUGCAUCCAUCUAUGAGGAAAUGACAAAGCAGUGGCACGACAAGAACAUCAGGCAACAAAUUUUCCGAGUAGGGGAUCAAGUGCUAUUAUACAAUUCCCGGCUUAAACUUUUCCCAGGAAAAUUGAAGUCUCGAUGGUCCGGCCCUUUUACGGUCUCUCAGGUGUUUCCCUACGAGACAGUUGAAUUACACCAUCCAACUAAAGGAAAUUUCAAAGUAAAUGGUCAACGCAUCAAGCAUUAUGUGUAAGAUUUUCCCACCGCUAAAGAGAGUCUUGAUCUAGCUGUUCCCGAAUAACUGCGGCACUACGUCCAGCUAAUGACUUAAAAGAAGCGCUUCUUGGGAGGCAACCCAAGCUCUAUUCUUUAUUUGAUUAUUAGUUUAUGCUUUGAUUUUGUUUUCUUCCGUUAAUAAUUUAUAUUAUCGUAGUAACUCUUCUCUUUUGCUUUUGUAGGAGAAUCUAUGAAGGUUACAUAUUGCGAAAUUUGAGCUCUACAAUGAAAAUGAAUGAGUGUGAAAAAGGGUCAGAGGUAAUAAAAAAAAAAAAAAAAAAUUUACAAAACGAGGUAGAAACUCAGCGCCUAGGCACUAGGAUCUGCCUAUUUUGGCAGAAAUGCAGCGCCCAGGCGCUGCGUCUGUGCGUUUUGGGCAGAAAGCGCUGCGAACCUGACCUUCCCCCCCCCCCCUUUUUAUUUUAUUUUUUUCUUCCUUUCUUUUCUAUUUCUUAUACCCAAAACCCCCAUCCCUCCUCAUACGAUUUUCCCUAACCCUCUUUCCCUCUCAUCUCUUCCCUCUCCCCUCUCAUCUUCUUCCCCUAACCCUUGCCUUUACUCUUUUUCAUCUCCCCCUCAACCCCUCCAAGGUACACUCUUCCCCUCUCUUUCUUUUUUUUAGUUUUGUUUUUGGUUAAAUUUAUUUUAUCACCUCUCCCACAUCAUAUUUCUUUCAAUUCCACAUUUUUUUGCCCCCCUCCCACUCCCACUCCCACUCCCCUUUGUUGUUUUUCCACAUCUCUUUGUUGAUAAGUGUGAAUUCAUCCAUCCCAAUUAGUUUCCACAACACCAUUCUAGGUAUCGCUUUUGUAUUUGCUCCUCUUACAUUAUAGUUGUUGCGUUUAUGUGCCUAUUUUUGUUAAUUAUGUUACGAGGAGGGCUUGCCUUGUUGUAGUGUCAAGAACUUUGUGUGUGGUGCGAAUAUUUUGGCAUGAAUUACUCCCAAAUUAUAGGCAAGUUUUUGGUGGAAAUUUGGUGCAUUCAAUGUGUUUGAUGAAUUGUCUAGGUGAACUUAGUUGGGUACAAGGAGCUGUUUUGGCUAUUGUGCUAAUUGAAUUAUGUGGGAAUUGCCAUGUAGAUGAUUAUGAAUUGAAAAUUGGGUUUAGAGUACAUCUAUUACACGUUCGACCAUAGUUUCCUCUUAUGGCUAGAUUUUUAGCCUUGCCUUAUUUUCCUUUAUUACUGUUUUUGCUCAUGGUUUGCUUGUUCUACCCUUGUACAGGUCCAAUGCCGCCUAAAAAGAGAUCUAAAGCCGCAGCCUCCUCUUCUAGCUCAUUUGACAGGAGCAAAUUCAUUAGUGCUGAGGCCGCUGAACGUUAUAAUAGCUUGGUGGUACACAAGACUUGUAUUCCUAAACGUGGUUUUGACAAUUAUAUGACAGAGCAAAUAGGUCGGUGGAAUUGGGAGGUGUUUGCUCGACAACCACGACCGGCGCUAAUUCCGGUUGUUAGGGAGUUCUACGCUAAUGCGAAGGAGCAUCGAGAUUUUCGAGUGUUUGUGCGGGGUAAAUGGAUACCGUUUGAUAGAACCUCCAUCAACAGGUUUUAUCAUUUGUAAGAUAUUGAAAAUGACGAGUACUCUAGACUUCAUGAUGAGGGUGUUGAUCCUGAUGAGGUUAUUCAAGCCUUGACUACAACUGGCACAACAUGGAAACGUUCGGAGACUGAUGUAAUUAACUUCCCUGCUUCUGGUAUGACUUCGGGUUGUAAGGCUUGGCACCACUUCAUUUCUGGUAAACUUAUUCCCAGUAGCAACUUAAGUGAAGUAACAAAGGAACGGGCGACCCUCAAUUAUGCCAUUCAGUGCCGCCUAUCCAUAGAUGUUGGUAAAGUUAUUCACAACAACAUCUUACAUACUUGGAGAGGAUCGACUACCGGUGGUCUAGGGCACCCUUCGUUGAUCUAUGAGCUUUGCUUAGCAGGUGGUGUCGUCACAUACCCGACUGAGGAGGUUGUGCACCCCAAACCGGCUAUUACACGAGUGCGUACUUGGAAAUUCAUACGCCGCUUCGAAUCCACCAGUGCUCCACCCCCUCCUCGGAGCGACCAGCCGCCCCGUUCACGUCGAUCGACACCAGCUAGUGAUCCUACUUCUGCCCUUGCCACUCAGCUUCAUGACAUGCAAUUGCAAAUGAAUUUGAUGUAAAAUACCUUGUGCGAGCAAUUCCAUUAUCAACAUGAGUUCAACGCGGUAUUGGCUUCGAUGUACCCUGAUCGAACAUUUCCUCAGCCGCCUCUCCUACCUGAUCACACUGCCAAUCCUAUUCCGAAUACCUAGGACGACGAUGUCGAGGACGACGAUUAGUCGUCGUCCGUCAGGUAAGUCCCCUCCCCAUUUUGUUUCUAUUUCACAUUGAGGACAAUGUUUCCGUUAAGUUUGGGGGAGUGUGAAUAUUUUGCUUACAUUGUUGAGUUCCUCGAAUGCUUAUGUGUGAUUUGCUUGUUUGAAAGAAUAAAAAAAAACAUUUCGUGUUUUUUUUGCAUGCUUGUGUGUGUUAGAUAACCUUACUGGUAUUGAUAUGUGUAAUUGAGAACAUGCGUUGAUUUAUGAAUUGUGGACGAGUUAUGUGUUUGAGUUAGAGUUUUGCUUAUUCAUGUGAAAUGGAAAUUAUUUUUUGCACGUGAGUUGAUUGUAGCGUUGUACAUGAGGAGGUUGAUUCACGCUUAUAGGUUGAAAUAGAGAACUUAGAUGCUAACCUAAACAACCAUUAAACAUCACAAUAUCUUAAACCAAAUUUAGGAUGUUUGGAUGAUUGCACUGUUGUAGGAAAACUUGAAGACAAAUGUGGAUUUCGUGUGUGUUAAUUUUUGUGUGGACUGUCUGAGACUAAUGGGAUAAAAAUUGGGUGAAAACCUUAAGUUAGAGGUCGAUUUUCGAGGAUAGGUGUUUAAUAAGGGGCAUUGCACUAAUCACCGAAUAAAAAAAAUCCCAAUGAGAACAACUUUAAUAAUCUCAUUGUAAAUCGUCUCUUCGUAGCCUUUAUGACUCGAGUGAUUAAGCCUAUAAGGGUUUAAAAUCUGGUGCCCUGAAGUCAUCUGAUUUGGAAGUCAUCGACCUAAAGCUCACUACAGGGGUCAUUUAGAAAGUUUAAGGGAGAGACGUCCGCACAAAGAGUGAUUAAAGAAUAAAAAUAUAUAUGAAAAUAAAAAAAAGAAGUUAAUUAAGCCCCGAACACUUGUUUUAGAGGAUUAGACCUUUGAUAAGGGGUAAGUAACUUGGUUGAUUCCUAGAGGUUGAAGCAGUCAAAAAUAAGGAGAAUUCUCAUUUGUUGACAUGUGGAACUACAAUCAGUAAAAUCUAACCAAACUUGAGUGGUGUAAGAAAUUAGUAUGGAAAAUUUAACCUUAGGUUACACCCUUGGAAAGAGAAAAUAAAAUAAGUUUGGGGGUGUGUGAAUCCCACGAGCAAAGUAAGGAAAAUUUUGACUUCUAAGGUUGGGAAUUGGGUCAACUUAUUAUUGUACAGCGUUGCACUUGACUCUCCACACACACAUACACCCGUUUUGCAUUGAAUAAGCGAGAAUUUAACUUUUGCAUUAUAGCUUUGAAGUGGUUCAUGGAAUCGAAGUUAUGUUUUUAAUUCUAAGACAUGAAGGCAAGUUAUCUAGCGAAAUUUAUUUUUAGUGAUUUUGUUUGUCUUGAUUGUGCUUGUGUGUCCGUUAAUUAUUCUUAUGGGUUGUAGUGUUUGCUGGAGGACUAGCAAAUGGUUAAGUUUGGGGGUAUUUGAUGAGUUUGUUUCACUCAUGAUUUUCGCACAAUUUUAGCUUGAUUAAAUGCUAAAUUUUAUGAGUAUAGAACGUUUUUGAUGUGCUUGUUAGUGUUGUUUUGAAGAUAAGGAGAAGCAAUGAGAAAAGAAGUAUUAAAGUGGACGAAGAGGCCAAAAACACGGAAUUGGGGCAGAAAGAUGGCGCUUAGGCGCUACGAAACGAAGAAAAAAUGAAAAUUGGACCGGAGAGGCAGCGCCUCGGCGCCACAACCAUAGCGCCUAGGAGCUACCAGCAACGCCCAGGCGCUCAAGACACAGUGCCCAGGCGCUGGAACUCUCUAACUAUCAUUAGAGAGCUCUUAAGAGCCCUUCUAGAAAGGGCUUGCUUUACCUGAAUACUAUCUUAUAGUAUUCACUCUAUAAGCCCCUACGGGGACCGCCGGAGUGAGGGCUGCCUACUCCCUCUGGUUCACCUCCUGGGAGCUUCCAGAAUGGAGAAAUCUAUCAAUUUUCCAUGCGAGACGCACUGAUCAACAACUAAAACAUUGUUUUAGUCGAGUUAGUUGUCUUGUACCGCCUAGGCGCUGCGAAUGGCGAUUUAGGGCGCGUUUUUUUGGACCGUUUUUAAAGCCAUAGAAUCCCUACUUUUACAUAAAAAUGUGGAGGCACCUAUAAAUACAUCCUCCUCAUACUUUUGAAGGCUUCUUGACAUAUUGGAGAGAAAAACAACAAGAAGGGAGAUUCAAAGGAGAAAUUUAAGAAGAUUAAUACCAAGAAUUGAAGAUUGGAAGCACUCAUUGGAAGAGGAAGGAGAUCUUGGUGCAAGAAUUCCACUUUUUCUUCUACACCUUUAUUUCAAACUCGGUGAUGUAUUCUAAGACAAUCUCCUAUGUUUCUUCCAUUAUUAUGAGUAGUUAAAUUUGAUUUUAGGGCGAACAAUGUAAUCUUUUGGAACCCUUUAUUUCAUGCAAUUGAGAUUCUAGUGCUUCUAUAUUUCAUGUGUUGAUUUUAAUGUUGUUCUUAAUACAUUUAAUUACUUGAUCACUAAUUAGAUGAUUUGUGAACAAUGAAUGCGUAGAGAUGCGGAUUAUUUGUUUAGACCACAUGUUAAAAUCCGGUAAAUUGAUAUAAUGUGUAGAGAUACCUAUAUUGAUUGCUGCGGUCGUGUGUGAAUUCUUAGAACCAAUGUUUCAUUUAAUUAAAUUUAAUUUGCAUAGAGAUAUGGAAUUAAACUAAUUAAAUAGGUUCAAUGAAAACUCGAGAGGGGUAAGUUGAAUACAAUAGAAGAAUUUGACCGAACACUACCUUAUGUUUUAUGAAUCUUGAUUUAUGUAGUAAAGGUGACCAAUAGGUGAAAUUGUUCCACCCUAACGUCCAUUUAUUGUUUGAAUUCUCAAUCACUUUUCGUUAAAUCCAAUCUCAUUUUUAAGUCUUUAGAAUAAAAAUCACAUUUAAUCAUUAUUUUUUAUUUAUAUUCGUCAAAUAGUAGUUAAAGAAAGAUUAAAUUAAGUGCUAGAAAAUAGUCCUUGUGGGAUCGAUAACCGGAGUCUUAGGUCCACUAUUACUUGUUACGGGUCGUACACUUGCGAAACAAAAUUAUACAAUAGUUUGGCUCGACAAAUUCUUUUCCCAACUCGGUCUUUGAUAUCAUCGAAGACUCUCUCAACUUAUUAUGAUUUGCUUCAAUUAGAGAACCCCUAUAUGACUAAGAGUCAUUUUGAUUGCUAAAAUGGAAUUUGUGUGGAAAGAAAAUGAAUUGUAGGGAAUUAAAUUACUUAAAACUUGUUUUAUUGCGAAUUCUCAAUUAAUUGUGUUUGAUUAAUAUAAUUUUCCACCUGGAAAAUGUUGAAAUUAAAAUAGUUUUUGGUGUUCGUUUGAUUUUGUUUUUCAUGUAAAUUUCAAUUAAAAUGAUAGAAUUUGUUACGAUUGGAAAUAAAAUUUGUUUUCAUUGCCAAAAAACAAAAAAGAAAAAAAAACCAAGAAAACCAAAAAUCAUUUAUCUUUUGGUAUUCGUUUGGCUUUGUUUUACAUGAAAAUUGUCAAUUAAAAAGAUAUAAUUUUUUACAAUUGUUCCUAGAAUUUGUUCAAUUCCCCAAAGAAAAAAAAAAAUAAAAAAAUGUGGAACCUGGAAAACUAAAAACCACAAGAAGAAAAUCAAUUCCUUAAAAUGGUGGAAAAAGGGGUCACAUGGGGUGUUGCUAAGAAAACCAAAUGCCAAGAAAAAUUGUUCAAUCAAACAAGCAAAAAUGUGGAAAAUAGAUUUUCAUUUCCUACUUCUAUGAAAAAUUUGUACAAUCAAACAGGAACUAAAAGUUCUUCAGGGCCUCGUGAGUACAAUUUCUCCUCACGAAAACUAAGUUAGGUUCACUUGCAGAGAAUGAUGGGGAAAAUGGGGAUAUAUUAAGAAUGAGCCAAUGUAAGAAUGCAAUCCUAUUCUAGAGGUCAUGUGGAUCCCUUAAUAUUUAAUAUUUAUAGAUGUUCGGGCGCACUGGUUUUGAAGAUUUUUUUAUCAUUAAUAACUUUUUGUAUAUUCAUUAUUAUUAACUUAAUAUAUAUAUAUAUACACACACACACAAAAAAUAAAAAAUUUUAAGGAUAGAAAUGUAAACCAAAUUAGGGUAUAUUAGGCCUAUAGCUAAACAUAUAAGAGUAAAAUUGAUAUUCAAAUUAUUAUUAUUACUAUUAUUUUUUAUGGUUUUUGGAACUAUGCCAUCUUAUUAUAUUUGUACAUAAAAUAAUAAUUUACAACAAUUGUCUGUCUUUAAUAACUUUUUAUCUGUAUUAAAUGAUUUCGUUUAAUAGUAUAUAACUGGAAAUCUAUUAUUAACUUAUUAAUGUUUUUAUUUAUUAAUACAUAUGGAAGUUUAAAUGAGGACAGUUGACAAGGAAAAAAAAAUUUAAGGACAAAAUUGUAAACCAAAAUGAGGGUAUAUUGGGCAUAUAAUUAAAUAUAGAAGUUUAAAAGUGGUAUUCAAAAGUUUCUAGUCAAUCUUUCAAUAUUUCAUUUGAAAAUCAACCUGAAAGAUGAGAACCAUAUUUAAUUUAAUAUUAUAAGUUGUAAAAUUAACUUAAUGAAUGAAAAUUAGGAAGAUUAAAAUAGUUGACAAAAAAAUUAAGGACAAAAAAUUAUUAAGCAACUAAGGGCAUAUUGGACUUAACGUGAAUGUAAAAUAUAAAUUUUAGUACCAAGGUGGACAUAAUAAUACAACCUCUCAAUUUUUUCUUGUAAUUCUUUUUGUGAAAUAAUAAUUAUUUUAUAGGAAAUGAGUGUAAUUGGCUAUUGUAAGAUUAAUAACUUAAUGAUGUUAAGGAAAAAAAAAAACUUAAUGGUUUAGGGGAUUAUUGACAAAUUGAAAAGAAAAGUGAUUUUUUAAUUUCAUGUUGAAUAAAUUGAAUUAAUGUUAUUAUUUAAUCAACAACAAAAUUAAAAUUAAAUAAGUGUAUAUUUGAUCAUAUAUCUAAAUAUAUAAAUUGAAUUAAUGUUGUUAAUAAAAAUUAAAGUAAUGUUAAAAAGAUUAAUUUUGGGAAUUAUUGACAAAUGGAAAAAGAAAAGUGAUUUUUAAUUUAAUGUUGAAUAAAUUGAAUUAAUGUUAUUAAUUAAUUAUUAACAAAAUCAAAAUUAAAUAAGUAUAUAUCAGACAUAUAAUUUAAUAUGUAAGGAUAAAAUUGACAGUCAAAAGUUUUUCCUCAAUUCUCAAUUUUAAUGUGUUGUAGAUAGACGUGGAUAGGUCAAUCUAUCUAGUCUUGAAUAGUUUAUAUAUAUAUAUUAUCUCUGCCCUGUACCAACUUAAAAAUAUGAAAAGAUAUCGCCUGGGUGAAGCAGAAGCAUAUCACCUGUACAGUGUUAUGCUUAAACAAUCUUGCCCCACAGUAGGGUUGGUAACAGUUCGGUUAUGGGUCGGUUCGGCCAAAAUCAUAACCGCAUCACCAAUUUUUUGAUCAUACCAUAACCGUACCAUAACCAUAUAAAUCGGUUCGGUUUGGUUCGGUUCGUAUCUUGGUUCGGUACUGUUCGGUUUGGUUAAUAACUACGAAAAUAAAUUAUUUUUUAUAAGUUCAUCCGUCAAAUUGAUAUAAAAUAAUUUAUGAAAAAAGUCAAUGAAAACAAUAACACAAUAUAUUGUAUUCGACCACGCCUCGGAUUUGGCUCAAGUCUAUACUAUAAUCAGCACUGAUUGAAUUUAUCCUCUUUUCGAAAAAAUUUGAAACAAUUUCUGUAUCAAAUCUUGAAAAUGCGUCCCUGGAAUUGGAUAUAAAAUACAAUCAAUUUACAGAUACAACAAAAAUGAUUGAGAUGAAAUUUUUGUUCCAAUAAUCUUGAUUAAGAAGGCCCUCACCUAAGGUCCUAUCUUUUCUUUAAAACUGAAGUCCAAUCUGAUUCAAACUGAAGUCAUGUGGAAAAUUUUCUGGAGGCGACGACGGCUUGGACUGUGGAGGUAGUGGAGCCGUUCGUGAGUUUGUGGUUUGUGGAAAGUAGGGUUUACAGUUAUAUACUGUCAUACUAAUAUUAUUAUUAUGGGAUAAUUGUAAGUGGGCUGGCCGGUUGGAUCAAGUAAAUGUAAUGGAGGAAUUUUGUUUUGGGUUGGAUAGAAAAAUAGUGUAAAGCCCAAUAAUCAAUUCAUUUGUUUUUUUUUUAGCAGGUAAUCGGUUCGGUUUCGAUUCGACGGCGUAAAUAUCAUACCCGCACCACCAUGAACCGGUUCAUUAUAAUCAAAUACCAUAUCCGCUCUAUUGUACCAUGGUUCGAUUUUUUUCGCCCCAUUCGGUUCGGUUAACCGCGAUUUUUGGUUUUGACGGUCUAAAUUGCCAUCCCUACCCCCCACAGGAUUAAUUUGCGCACAUAAUAUUAGGCUAUGAUCUACAAAAAACAUUGUGUUCAUAAAUUGUAGCCCAAAGAAACUCUGCAUUUCUCUUCAAUUAUGAACUUUUUAUUGCAUUCUCUAUUUUAUGUGGAUUCUGGCUUCUAUAUGCAAACCGUUUCGUUCUUCCUCAUUUUUUUUUUUUUUUUUUUUUUUUGGCCGUUCUCACUGGUGUCCUUAUCCUAACAAAUAUUUUGAUCUUAAAUCUUUCUAAACUCUUGUAACUUCUUGAUGGAGAAAAAAUUGUUUUAUGCACCAAAUAAUAAACUGUCACAUAUAUGCUAUACGUAAGACAACUAUCAAUAGUCCUCACUAUAAAUAGCAUAUCUCUUUCCUUAAAUGUAACUAAUCUCAUAAUUGAAUCUAAAUUGUGAAAAUGUUAAAAGUCGUUAGUCAAAUGCUUGUUGAGUAUAUUUAGGUUAUGUUUGAUCCCCAUGUUCUAAAACUCAUUUUCUGUAAAUCAUCUAUUCUGCACAUAUAUCUAUAACUAUUUUCUACUUUUUAAUCACAUAUUCUUAAAAAAAAAAAAAAAUAAUAAUAAUAAACUCUUCUACAAAAUCUAUUAUAAAAACAUCUCCACCAAAAGGGUAUAAUAGUAGUGUCAUGUUUUAUUAUUGAUUCUGCCUUUUUACAUGCUAUCUUCGGAAAGAGAUUAAAAAAAAUUUCAAUUCAUUUUAUAGAUAGCCUGUACAAUUUAAAUAUAAUCCUGACUGAAAUAAAGUUUUCUCUCCCUCAUUGUAAUAUAUAGUAUUCUUAAGUAAUGAUUAAUUUACAUUUUUCAUUAGCUUAAUUAUUGUCCCAAAAUGCAAAACUAGAAAUGGCUUCACUACUGGAAAAAGGAUAUUUUACAACUGACGUUUCAACAACCAAAUCAAUUAGAUUAUUAAAAACUGUUUUCAACUUUUAAAAGAUAAGUUUGGUUGUAGAAAAAUAGAAGGUGAAAAAUCGAAUUUUGAAUUAGUUGAAAAUAUGUUAUAAUGACUAAAAAAUUGGUUGUUAAUCCUAUAUUUUCUCCGACUAAAUUAAAAUUGAUUAUUUAGAGUGGGUGCCAAAUCAAGAAAUAUUUGUUGAUAUUCAAUGACAACGUAAUCAUUUGUUAGAAACACAAAUAAUAUAUUAAAUAUUCAAUGACAUAGUUUCUUGUCAUUAAUAUAAAUAAACUAACAAACUAAUUGUAUCUCAUUGUUGGGAAUAGAGAAAAACUCGACACUCAACAACUAGUAGUUAAUUGUUAUAAAGAGCGAUGUUCAAAGACCAAAUAGUUUUAGUUGUUGAAAGUAGACAACCAUGGAAGGAGCCAUGUGAGGAGCCCGCACUGAAUUUUUAGGCCCAAACAAUUUAUUUUUUAUUUUUUUAUUUUUUAUCCCAUGAUUUUGCUUGAUUUUAGAUAUAUGUUGAUUUGGACUUCACUUGUCAAAAUAUGAAAACUUGCAAGGAACACGUUUAAUUAUAAACUAUGUCAUUUUUAGAUUUUUAUUUAUUUAUUUUUUAUCUUCAUUAAAUUUAUCCCCAAAAUUCAAUGGUCGACGUGUAUUAAAUUAUGCCCGCACUGAACAAAUUUCCUGGCUCCGCCCCAAUGACAACAACCUAGCUAGUUACCAACUCUAAUUUUGUCACCAACAACUCUUUGAAUGCCAACUGAUAUAUUUUUAAUUGUUGAAUAUAUUUGCCAACACCUUUUUGCCAACCAACCAAAGACCAACUAAUUUAGGUCAUUGAAUGUGAUCAAUGAAUAAAAAUGUAUAAUCUACGAUCAUUUAUAUGGUCGUUGAAUGUGAGAUUUUCUAUAUUGUGUCCCUAAACAAAUUUCUUUCAUUUUUUUAGAAACGUGAAAUCACAACCACUUAAGUCCAAAUAAAUUAAAAAAAAAAUCCCGAAAUACUUCAACAAAGCGUACAAGCAAGAAGUAGAAAACCUAGCUUUCACAUAAGACAUGUAUUUACAAGGAUGCCUUCAAUUGAGAUUUUAAUGGAUUUUAUUAAAAUUCAUUAGAAUCUCGAUGUUUCAAACUAAGAUUUUUACUGCAUAAACCUGGAUUUAUAGGCUUUCAUUGAUAAAGGAAUUUCAAAAGAUUUGGAUGAAUUUUCAAGUUAAAAAUACACAUAACAAACAUUUUCGAAUUUCACUAUUUUUAAUAAGAUUCUUAUGAUUCCACGGGGAUAUUAUGUGCAUAAGGUCUCGUGUGCCAAAACAAAAAAGGAAUUUUGAUACAAAUGGCACUAAAUGGUGUAAAAUGACUAUACAUUAUUUAUUUAAAAUUAAAAUGGCAUUCUUACAAUUUACAGUGACAAAAUGACUUGUUCUUUAAUUCCUUAUUUAAAAAGGUCAUUUUUAUGAAUGGGAUUUUUAUGCAGAAAUAGUCAAAAUUGACACUAACAAAAUAAAAAUCAAUAUUAACUCCGUCAAAUAGAGUGAUAAACUGAUAAUACUGUCAAUGGAUCCCUAAAUUUGCUUUUGCUUGGCAUGUUUGACACAAUUGAGGACACUGGAGGCUGCCAAUAGCCGAAGGUUGCAUGACGUUUGAGCUCAAGGGAGAGAAAUGUUAAGUGGUAUAAAGAGUCUCUUUCUCAGUGCUCUUUGUUUUAUCUGUUGGUACUUGGUAGUGCUAAAAUCAUGUCUCAUUUUCCCGAAAUCGUACUUGAAAACAUAUGAAGAAGCAUAAAUAACCUGAAUUAAUUUUCCACACUGUUGGGUGGAAAUGAAUAUAAGCAAAGAGCAAGGUCGAGGUGGAAUUAAAUGCAAAUUAAAGGCUCGUAGAGGUUUGACCAUCAUAUAUUAAACUCUAGUCCUAGUGAGAUAGCAUAGAUGCAUAUUGACAAGUCCACUUACCUUCGUUUUAUUUAAAAUUUGACGUAACAACAAAAACUGUUUAAAUAUAAUUCACCCUUUUAAAUACUUAAAUAGAACAUUUGACCCUUGAUUGACUUUGAUCAAUGCAAUGUUAGUUCUUGUGACUCUCAUCCGUACCAAUUUACUCUGUUCAUGAGUUAUAAGACAUAUGUGUGGAAAAAUUUCAUCAAAGGCUCCUCACCUUUACAGUUUGUGCAAAAUGAUCCCCCAACUUUUAUAUUUUGAGACUUACAUCCUUAACUAUUUACAAUUGGAGCAGGCAUAAUCUUUUUGAACAGAUUCUGUGCAAUUUGUUAUUAAAAAGAUUAAAAUAUGAAGUUUGGGUUGGAAAUGGUUUUAAAUUAGCGAAAUGGUCAACUUUGUUAGGUUUAAUGUAAUUGGGAUUCUGUGAAUGAAAAGAACUAAAUUGAACAUGUGUAAAAGUCAAGGGGUUAAGUGCAAUUUUUUAUAGAUGAGAUAGGUAGGUGAGGGUUGGAGGGAGUAAGGAAGGAAGAGUCGUGCAAUUUCACUCGCCUCUCGCCAAAACAUUGCUCGAGUGACAAAAAUAGAAUGUCCGUUGCUCGCCUGUCACCCGGACUUCGCACAAGUGACAAACCCUUCACUUGCUUGUCACUAUCCCUUCGCUCGAGCGACAAAGGUAUGUGGGAAUAUCAGAUUCGCGUUUUUGGAGAGAGUCCAUACUACCUAAAUACCUCCUACUAUAAAUACCCAAGCCUUGCACGAUUUUCAGUGUAGCUGUUCAUUGUGCCUCUCAUUGAUAAUAUAUUUAUAUUGUGUCAUAAAGAUCCAAAAACAUAUUCAACCCUUGACUCAAUCCAUUCUUUCUUAAGAUCAUACAACCAAAAAUUGGGAAAUGUACUUUCUUAAUUGUAGCUUCAAAGACUACUGAAGAUUGAGGAAGGUUGGAUUAUAAGUGCAAGAAGAAGAACGAGAAUUGGUGAUUCUUGGAUAUCUACUUGGAAGAGACAACUAGAAGAUUGGGAAGCCGGUGGAGUCAGCAGAUCUUGAAAAUUAUAGGAAGUAGAUUCAGAAGUUUAGUGGAAUUAGCUAGGCAACAUCUACUAUAAGGUUCAUUAUCUAUAGUGGAGGUAACUGGUUUAUCUCAAAAUUUUUACUCAGUUGGGUUUCUCCGUCAACAAUCAUUGUGUUCUUUACUGCAUUCCUAUUACAAACUACAAUAUUCAAACAUAGGGAAAUUGACCUGUAUGCUUAAUCAUUUAGAAACUAUUAAAAAGUAAUUUGUUGCUUUUACUAGAAUAAUUUUGUAUGUAAGGUCAAACUAAAUCGGCUAAAGAAGAACUCUCAAACUUUGUGCUUAAAUUUCAAUAGGAUCCAUACUUUGAUUUCAAUGGAACGUUCUGCUCCACGAGAUGAUUAAAGUAAUAUCUUUACUCAUCGAAAGCCAUUUAGAAUUGAAUAAAAUAUUUGAUUGGAAAUCACUACACUUAUCCCACAUAGGAAAGUAAGGAAACUUUGAUAUGGUUUAUAUAAUGGAGUUUGGCAAUUGAGUUUAGGCCCUAAAGAGUACUAAUAAUCUUUGAAAGAAAGGAGAGACUGGUUGAUCUGUACGACACAUGCCCAAGUCCAAUCCAGUUCGUGUAUAGGUGCGGAUAGGUACUUGUCCUGUAUAUCUUUUUGGACAAACUUUAUUUAAAUUUUUGGACCAAAUUGUACUUAAUCAAAUUCUUGGGUACUUAAUGAAAUUAUUAUUCCCUACCCUUGGCUUUUUUGGGUUUUUUUUUUGGGUCAUCUGUUAAUCGACUUAACGACGUUUGGGCUGUCUGUUAACCACUUAGCAUAAGAAGUAUUUUAAUCUGAACAUAAUUGUCUAUUUGGAUUUUGGAAGGCUAUCUGAAUAGUGACGACUGUUCUAAAAAAUCUUGAAGGUUGUUCGGUUUCAAAGGAUCUAUAAAGAGCCUGUCCUGUCGCUAGAAAAUUCAUACUAAUUUCAUUGCUAGUAUUCUCUGAUUCAACGGUAAGCCCUUUUCUGCCUUAUGUUUUAUUCCAUUUGAUGGUGUACAUAUAUAGGAAAAAUAUGUGUCCUAUUUAGGCUAUACACAAUUGGUGCCAAGAAUCAUGGUUGACCCGUUGAUAAUGGGGAUGUACAUUGAUUGGUUGUAUUUCCUAUUUUGGUUUCUAACAGCUCAAACUAGCACUCUCCCUCAAGUUGAUACAUAUAGAUCUUUGAUGUUCAACUUGUCGAGAGAGUUGUGGAACUCUUUACUUGAUACUCCCUUUGUGAGUAUGUUUGUUAGUUGCUCUUUGGACUUCACAAAUGGGAGUCUAAUUAUCUUUGUAUCUAGGUUUUCCUUGACAAUAUGUCAAUCCGCUUACACAUGUUUUGUUAAAUCAUGUUGGAUUGGGUUGUACGCUAUGGUAAUAGUGGCUUUGUAGUCACAAAAUAGAUCAAUCUUGGAUGUAGGGCCAAAGCUAAUUUCUAUAAGCAACCUCUUAAUCCAAACAAGUUCACAAAGUCCUUUUGCUAUUCCAAAAAAUUCAGCUUUGAUGCUUGACAGUACCGCCACUUUUUGUUUCUUACUUCUCAAUAUAACAUGAUUCUCGCCAACAAAAGUAAAAUAACCUGAGGAGGAUUUUUUGUUUGAUAAGUUUCCAGCCUAGUCUGCAUUUAUAUAGCCUUUUACUUGUAAUUGACUUCUCUGUUUUGCAUUUGUAUUCUUUGCGAACAUGAAUCCUUUUCUUGGUAAGGAUUUUAGGUAUUGGAGUAUUCGAGUUAUAGCUCUCAUGUGAUCUUCACUCAAACUGUGCAUGAAUUGACUAACCACACUUAUAGUAUAUGCAAUAUCUGGACGAGUAUGAGAGAGGUAAAUUAGCUUACCAACUAACCUUUGGAACUUCCCUCUAUCCGUUGGAACUUGGUAUGGAUGUUAGUAAGUUGAUGGUAUUGUGCGAUUGGAGUGUCCACCGAUUUGCAUUCCAACAUUCCUACCUCAGAUAAUAGGUCCAACACAUACUUUCUUUGGGAGAGAAAUAUACCUUGUUUCGACCUGGCCACUUCAAUUCCCAAAAAAUAUUUGAGCCCUCCUAAGUUCUUCAUUUCGAACUCAGUUCCCAAUUGUUUCUAAAGUCGAGAUAUUUCUUCUAAAGUCCAGAUAUUUCUUCUUCAUCAUCCCCUGUGAUAAUCAUAUCAUCUACAUAAACUAUUAGUGCAGUUACCUUGACUGAUUUGUACUUUAGAAACAAUGUAUGAUUUGAGUUACUCUGUUUAAAUCCAUAUUUCUUCAUUACCAAAUUGAACCUCCCAAACCACACUCGAGGUGAUUGGUUCAGUCCAUAUAGUGCUCGUUGCAGCUUGCACACCACUUUGGUGCCUGAAGAUGUUGUGUAACCUGGGGAGAGGUCCAUGUAUACUUCUUCUUCGAGGUCACCGUAGAGAAAGGCAUUCUUAACAUCCAGCUAAUGUAAUUGUUAGUUGAGAUUAGCUGCAAGAGAUAAGAAUAUCUUGAUGAUAUUCAAUUUAGCAAUUUGUGAAAAAAAUUCGUGGUAGUCUACCCCACAUAUGAUGUGAUAUGGGUUUCACCAAAACAAACCAAAGCAUUGGAGUUUGAUUGGAAGAAACCUAAACCAAGUUCGCGUCUUCGGGAAGCUAAUACGGGUGGUACAAUUGAUGGAUCAAGGCAUGGAGCAUACUAUGUUGAAGUUCAUGAGCUAAGUGACAACUUUCAUGUUGGGGUCGAAGUCCGAAAGCCUAUGAAACAACGUGAUUCAAUCAGCCGAAGAAGGGACUAAACCAUAACUCCAAGCGACCGCAUCGUGUCGCAGGCAUGCGGUCGCACAGGUGGCUAUUGAAACUCGAGAGGCGGCAAUAUCUUCAACCAUGCAUUCUACCAUGUGGUCGCAUGGGCAAAACUGAAGAGGGGAAUUUCCAAUUUUUGCGAGAAUUUUAAUUUGAUUCAAUUUCUUAUUUUUGGCAAGUUUCAUUAUUUUAGGAUUUUAAAAUUUUGUGGUUUCCUUGUUUCUUAGGGUAGUAUAAAUUAUUUUCUAUCUUUCAUUAUUGAACAGACUUUGAUUUGAGAAUUAAUUCAGAGAGGCGAUUUGCUCCCAAACCUUUAUUCUUCGGGACUUUGAACUUACCAAGGGAUCUGGUUGGGAUUUCUUGUGGCAUUCGGAACCUUGGGUGAGGUUCUUAAAUUGUGUAAUUAUGAGGUCUUCGAUUUAAUAUAUCGUUGGUUGCCUAAUUCAUCAUUUAAGAAUUAAAUUCGUAAACUUCGAAUCAAAUUGGCAUUCUUGGGAUUGGUGUUACUCUCGUGUGGGUUCGAUAGUGUUCAUUGCUAUCCGGGUUUGGUGUUACUCUUCUUGUGUUUGAUGGAGAGUACCCAUUUGCAUCCACUUUUUUCUUUCCAUCAGGUAACGUUACUAGGGUCUAUGUGUUAUUCUGUAGUAAUGCUUCCAUCUCAUCUUUUAUUGCCCAAGUCUAAUUUGAGUUUGACAAAGCUUUUGCAACAAUCAUUGGAAUGUGACUCGAGGAGAGUACAUGCAUAAAGGCCUUUAGGGGUUCUGAUAAUCUCCUGGUGGACACAUAAUUAGCGAUCGGAUACUUCGAUCUUCGUUCAUCAAUUUCUGAAGAAUACUUGUUUGGUGGCAUGCCACGAUUUUGCCUGAAAGGUAAUGUGUAUCGAGUAAUAUUAUCCCAGUCAUUUAUAUUUGAAGGUGUGUUACAAGUGCUUACCACACGGAUAUUCUCAGGAGAUGAGACUGUAGGUAUUGAUAGAGAGGGUGAAUUUGGUUCAACACCUUCGGGAUGAGCCUUUAGACUCGUCAAUUGGCUCUUUAGAGUUGUUAAUCUGUAGUGAAUUUUGCUCUAGUUUUAUUUCAGUGUUCAACCAAUCAAAGUAUACCCAAUUUUUCUCUUCAUUGUUUGUCUCUCCUAAGAAGGAGAAUUGGUAGCAAGCAGGAAGAAAGUAUCAGUUUCCACAAAUGUGAUGUCCAUAGUCACAUAAGUGCAAUUGGUAGAGGGAUCAUAGCAUCGAUAACCCUUCUUAUGUAUACCAUAGCCUAAGAAGAGACAACGGACAGGGAUCAAGUUUCGUUCAUUGACUUUUAUGGAUAUGGACAUAGGCCACGCAACCAAAUACUCGAUGAUGGGACAUUAAUAUAGUGGGUAUGGUUACGUGAUAUGCCAGGACUUGUAAUGGAGUUUUAAAAUUUAGGACUUUGGAGGGCAUCCGAUUAAGUAAAUGUACCGCAAUGGACACUGCGUUAGGCCAGUAGCUAUUUAGGAAUGUGCUCCAUAGAGUAAGGCACGAGUAGUCUGAAGAAUAUGUCGAUUUUUUCGCUCAGCAAUGUCAUUUUGUUAAAGAGUACAGGGGCACGUUGUCUCAUGAAUUAGACCAUGGUGUUCAAAGUAGGUGCGGAGGCGUUGAUUAUCAUAUUCACCACCAUUGUCUGAGAACUGAGUCUGAAUCAUGGCAUGGAAUGGCUGGAACACUUGUAGUACUUUAUCCUUGUGCUUCAUCAAGUAUAGCUAGGUCAUGCAAGUACAAUCAUCGACAAAGAUGACAAACCAUCGAACAUAGAUCCAACUGAGAUAGGUGAUGGACCACACACAUCAAAAUGAAUUAAAGCAAAUGAAAUACUCCUUUUAUUCAUACUUUGUAGAUAAGAAGCACAGUAACUUUUGGCCAAAAUUCAAGUAUUACAUUUGAAGUCAGUAAUCACCACAUUUGAAAAAAGACUAUGUAAUAAAUGUUUCAAAUAGCUAAAUGAAGGAUGUCCCAAGCGACGAUGCCAAAGCCAAAUCUGUCAUUCUUUUUCAUUACUCCAUAUGUGAUGUGCACGUCCAAAACUGAAAUAAUCCAUGUAGUAUAUUCCCCCUCUUUUAGUACUACGCCCAAGUAUCUCCUUCGUGAAAAUAUUUUGAAUAAGACAAAAUGUAGGUUAAAUGAGUACCACACAAUUUAGUUUAGCAGUGACUUGACUAAUAGGCGGUGACUUAUGUUAAAGUGAUGGCACAAGUAAUGUAUGAGAUAAAUGUAAUGACGGAGACAAAGACACAAAGCCGGCUCCUGUAUCUGGGAAAUGACCCCAUUGGCAUUUGCAACACUGGAGUGUCAAGGUAUGGAAUUUUGAGUAAAAUUUUUCACAUCAUAUGUUGUGUGGUCAGUGACUCCAUAGCCAAGUAUCCAAGCACCUCGAUUCUAAGCCCUAGAGGUGGUUGUUAACGUGGAACCAAAAGUACCUAUAGCUAAUGUAGGACCUGCACUUUGAAAACACUCAAUUUUGGGUAAUAGAGACAAUUCUAGUUUAGCGGUCACCACAACCAUCUUGCCUUUACAUCCAUCAGUGCCUCCUACAUCCCUUUUCUUUUUUUUCCUAUAAUUCGUGCCACCAGUCUGGAUACCUACCUAUUAAGUUCAAAACAAUUGUCACGUGUGUGCCUUAUAUUCCCACAGUGUGAGCAUUUAGUCCUUUCAGACUUAAUUUUCCAUUGUUAGUUUCGUGUGUCCUGUUGAGGCCCAUAGACAACGAACCAUCAGAAGAGGCAGUAAUCGGAUCCAACUUAAUUCCUAUGGUGGCUAGAACUGUAAUAGAGGUACCGGAGGUGUUGAUGGGAGCCAUGAUCUCCUGCUUAAGCUCCUUCCUAAGAACAUGGGUGUAGGCUUGUUCUAUGGAAGGAAUGGCUUCAUCCGCAACACGCUGCUACGAAUGCUAUCCAGGUGGUUGUCGAGUCCAUCCAAGAAAGUGUAAACUCGAUCUUCUUGGACCAUCUUGUUAUAGUGUUGAAUAUCGAUGGUGCAUUCCAGUGGAUUAGGGCAGCGAAAGUCAAUCUCACGACACAACCCUUGCAAAUUCGUUUAGUAUUUUUCCAACGAGCCACCCGAUCGUCUCAGUCGAGUAACUCGUCGUCGGAGUUCAUAAACCUGAGAAGCAUCACUUCUGUCAAAAUAGGUCGUGGCAAUGACAUCCCAAACCUGUCUCGCUAUGGGGAAUCAAAUAAAGUUUCCAAUACGGGUUAGGUCCAUGGAGUUAAUUAACCAACUCUUGAUAAUGGCAUUGUAAGUUCACCACUUUCGAAAACUGGGAUUAGUUUUUAGAAGCGAUGAAGAAUCACCUUUCACGUAGCCAAUCUUGUCUUUUCCGGAGAUGUACAUCUACAUAAUUUGGGACCAAAAGGUAUAGUUCGAACUAUCUAGUUUGAUGCCAAUUGAGAUUGAAUUUUCAGUGUUUGGGUUUGGAUGUUCAAAGUAUUCUAUCCUAAAGAAACUAUUGUUAAACUCCUUUAGCACAUUGAAGGGAGCAAAAUCGUCAUAAGGAAAUAUCGUGAAGUCGGUGAGCUCAAAUUAACUUUCAGAUCUUGUUGAUUAUCUUGUGACGCCGUUCAAAUUUGAUUGAGGUAAAUCUAUAAGUAUAUUAUCUCCAGAUUGUUUGAAGGAGGAAUUAAUACAAAUGGAGGAAUAAAAAUAUUCUCUUUAGAGGAUCGAGUUAAAUUUUUUUUUUCUUUAUAUGUUAAUAUCUAUUAAGUAACUGGAUUACCAUCAAUUUUUAUGCUUAUACAAAAACGAGCAUGCAAUAAUAAAAAAAUAUCCAAUACUAUAUUAAUUAUUUUUUAGAACACAUAAUACUAAUUUUUAUUAAUACUUAAAAAUUUUAUUUUAUUGGAAAGUGUGUGAUUAAGAUGCAAAACUUGUAUUUAGUGAGGUGGAUACAAAUAUGAGAAGGGUAAAUAACUCAUAAUUAUUAGGAGUAAGUCAUAAGGUUUCUAAGAUUGAUGGGUAAUUUCUUUCAUCUUCGACUCUUUCCUUCCUAAUUAUUGAUCACAUUUAAGCAAUUUUUUCUUUUCAAUUUAUUUUUCUUUGUAUUUAAAUAAUUAUACUAUCUAUUAUAUUAAUUUAAACGUGCAAUUCAUAAUCUUUGAAUAAAAAUACUGACAAUGUUGUACUAUAUUAUUGUAUUGACUCGUAAAAACGUUGGUCAGCCUGGAAUUGCCCCAUAAAUGGCAUUGAUCAACCGUUGACUGGUGAUACCGUUGGUGGAUAGGUUGUCCCAUCAAUUGAUUUAGCACAACCUCCACUAAAAGAAUAAUAGUGUAAGUAUUACUUUGUUCAAAAUGUCCUUUGCUAGAAGUUGGUUUAGCAAGUCAAAUGGUUCUAGAUCUAGAACUAAUAAUUUCAAUAGUAACUUUCAAGAUAAUGAAGAAAUAGACAAUAAUCAAGAGAUGCUAGAAAUUUUAAACAAUCAAGAAACUCAUAUUGCUCAAAUAGAACAAAGACUUCAUAAUUGAACUAUUCCUAAAAUAAAAAAGAAAACUAUCAAUGAAAUAGGAAGCUUUGAUUUUCAUUAAAAUUAUGCUAUCAAGACUUGUGAAAGAACUUUACCAAUUGCAAAACAAAGUGCUGAAAUAAAGCUACUCUCAAGUGAAGGAAUCAGAAACCAUAGAAAAAAAGUAUAAAUUUCUUCAUAUUGGUAUAGUCCGAAUUGUUGUCAAACCUUUAUUUAGACUAGGCCUAUAUAUACCCAUUCUCUUAAUUUUAAGAGACUAGUCGCUAUUACGUACGUUGUACGAAUUUUGUAUUUAUCGUAUUUUUAUUAGCGUAUGAAUUUUAGUUUUUUUGGAAAGUUUUUGAAGUAAUAUCUAAAAAUAUUUCCAUGAUAUAAGAAAAUAAUUGUAAAUUAUUUUUAUAAUGGCAUAGCAGUAUGUUAUCUAGAAAAAAUAUGCUUGUAUAUUUCAUACUUGAAUAAGAAAUAUACAAACUAUUUUGCUUGUAUUCUUUGAUAGUGUUGAUAUGAUUGAAUUGAAUGUGAAGAUUAUAUUUCUAAAUUUUGUGUAAUUCAAUAUUGUAAAAUUGAAAAACAAGCUCUCCUCACAGUGCGGAGAGAGUUGAACCAAGUGCGGAGUAAAAAUAAAAAAUAAAAAAAGGCGCGGAGAGAAAAAAUUCUUUUCGCACAGUGUGGAGAGAGUUGAACCAUGUGCAGAGAAUUGGCAAACUCUUCGCACAGUGCAGUCUCCGCAAAGUACGGAGAGAUGACAAAUCAACUCUCCGCAUAGUACGGAGAGCAAAAAAAAAACUCUCUGCACUGUGCGGAGAGAGUUAAUCUCUUCGCAUAGUGCGAAGAGUUGGUCCGCACUAUGGUAAAACUCGCCGCACAGUGCGGAGAGAAAAAAACUCUUCGCACAGUACGUAGAGAGUUGAACCAUGUGCGGAGUAAAAAAAAGUGCAGAGAGAAAAAAACAUUUUUGCACAGUGCGAAGAGAGUUGAACCAUGUGUGGAGAGUUGGCAAACUUUUCGCAUAGUGCGGAGUUAAAAAAAAACUCUCCACAUAGUAUAGAGAGUAAAAAACUCUCCGCAUAGUGCGGAAAGUUGUUUUCAAAUUCCUUAAUUACAAUUUAAAUUUCAAGAUUGUAAAUUUUUCGUACAUACAACGAAACAGAGUCGAAAAACAUGGCUCAAAAUCAAUUAUGUCUUCUUUAAAUUCCAGUCACUGCUCAAUUUCUGAGCAUGCAAAUCAUAUUUACAGUAUUGGAAAGGAGUUUUCUCAUGAUUCAUACAAUGAAACAAUAUGUGAGUAAUGCAAAGAAGGAGAUAUUGAUAGUACCAUGUCAUUGCUUUCACAAAUGGAAGCUCUAGGGUACCACCCAAAUUCAAUAUUUUACACUUACUUGAUAACAACUCUUAGAUAUCGGAAGUGGAUACAAUUUUCAAUAAAAUUAUACUUUCGGGUUGUAGGGCAGGAAUUAAAGUGUUCAAUGCAUUGUUCAAAAGUUGUUUGAGAAAAUGCCUCUUGGAACUUGCAGAUAAAGUCUCGAGAAUUUUUAUUUUUCUCUUCACACUGUGCGGAGCGAUAGUUUGCUCUCUCCGCACUUUGCGGAGUUUUUUUUUUCUCAUGUGCGGAGAUUUUUUUUUUGUCUCAUGGAGUUUAUAAAUACUAAAAUUAUUAUUAUUUUUCAUGUUGUUGGCAUGAUGCGUGUGUGUAAGAAUAUUUGUCAAUCACCAUAAACAAAAUUCUUCACAAAAUGUAAAAAAUAAAAAUGCAUAAUAAAUCUUCUUAUUACGCAAAAUCGAGUAAAAUCUACAAUAAUUUUUUUUAACAUAAAAAAAUCAUUUUUAUCUUCAACAAAGAAACACAUUUAAAAAUUAGCAAUUUCGUAACUUUUUUUUUAUUCUUGGAAAUAUAAUUAUAAAAAAGGAAAUAAUAUUGAAUUACAACAUUUAAUACUUAAAAAAUUCAAUAUUAAAUAAAUUUUGUACAUUUAUAACAAAUUAUAAAUUUAUAUAUGCAGUUUACCGUAUUUGCAGGCAACUUACCGUAUAUAAAACUUACCAUAUAUGCUGCCUAUCGUAUUUGUAGUUUACCGUAUUUGCAAAUAACUUACCGUAUAUGCUGCUUACCAUAUUCGCAACUUAUCGUAUUUGUAACCUACCGUAUUUGCAAACUUACCGUAUUUUCACCUUACUGUAUUUGCAGCUUACCGUAUAUGCUGCCUAUCGUAUUUGUAGCUUACUAUAUUUUUAUAUACCGAUUUUUGCACUUAAAAAUAUCGAGAAUGCAGAGCACCGUACAUUCACUUACCAAAUCGAAUUUCAAAAAAAUUUCCAAAAUUUUAUUUUUUCAAGAUAAGCAUAAAUAAAUAUUAAAUAUAUAUGAAACACAAAAUAUAAAUGCAUAUGGAUGUAGUGCUCAAUCUUCAAUUUUUCAAUAUUGAAUUACACAAAAUUUAGAAAUAUAAACUUCAUAUUCAACUCAAUCAUAUCAACACUAUCAAAAAAUACAAGCAAAAUAAUUUGUAUAAUCUCGUAAAUUUUUUAUUCAAGUAUGAAAUAUAUAAGUAUAUUUUUUUUAGAUGACACAAUACUGUUAUGCAAUUGUAAAAAUAAUUUGCAAUUAUUUUCUUAUAUCAUGGAAAUAUUUAUAGAUAUUGCUUCAAAAACUUUCCAAAAAAUUAAAAUUCAUACACUAAUAAAAAUACGAUAAAUGCGAAAUUCGUGCAACGCACGUGACAAUCACUGUGAGGAGAAUUUUUUUUUUUAAUCUUCGCACUGUGCGGAGAGUUGGCGAAGUUUUUUCUAUUUUUUCUUUUUUUACUCCGCACUGGACGGAGAGUUCGCACAGAAUGUCAUAUCUUCGCACAGUGCGGAGAGUUUUGUCAUCUCUUCGCACUGUACGAAGAGAUUUUCUUUUUUCAUGUUUACUUCACACUGUACGGAGAGUUUGCCAACUCUCCGCACAUGGUUUGUCAUCUCUCCGCGCUAUGCAGAGAGUAAUUUUCUUCCUUUUUUAUUUCGCACAUGGUUUGCCAUUUCUUCGCACUGUGCGGAAAGUUUUUUUUUUUUUUUUUUUUUUAUGCUCAUGUGUGAAGAUUUUUUUUUUAGGGCAGUUUAUAUUUACUAAAAUUUUUAUUACUUUUUAAUGCUAGUGGCAUGAUGUGUGGAAGAACAUUUGUUUGGCAUAAUUAUUUUUUUAAUGCUAGUGGGAUGAUGUGUGGAAGAACAUUUUUUUGAUAUAAACAAAAUAAAAAAUAAAAAAUGACAUCAUGCAUAGUAAAAUUGGAUUCAUUUACUAUUACAUGAAUAGUAGACACUCAUUCCCCUUUUUAUUAGAAGUUAGAUAAGAAAUAUCUCAAAUUUGAGAAUUCCCAACUUUCUGUUUUACAGUCAAACUUAGAAAGUGGUCCAGUAUUCUCAAACUGUUGUCCAUAUUAUACUAUUCAUCUGAAUGAUGCUAUAUUAAAUUUUCUCACUCUUCAUAUAGAAAGAAAAUUCUCAAUUUUGAUGAACGUUCGAAAUCAUUUGUUGUGAUAUAUAGAAUAUAUUAUAAAGUAUUGAGCACAAUUAUUCCAAAAAGAAUUCGUUGAAAUAGACUUUCAAGACCUUUAGAAUGGGAUUUUGAGAAGGUCAAUGUUCCAAAAACAGAAAAAACAAAAAGAUAACCCUCAUCAAAUAAUAAAUUAUCCUAAUGGAAAAGUUAAGAUGAUAUUUGAUUAUAUUCCUUCUAGUUCAAAAUAAUAUACUUCUUUUAGAAAUAAUCCUAUCUCUAAAAGAUUUCAUCAACCCUCAAGGCAUUCAACUUCUUCAGAAAAAAUUAAAAGGAGUUGAUUUCAACCCAAAUAUUCCUAAAACUCAAUACGAAGAUGAGCUUGAUUCACAAAGGGCAGAAUCUCCUACUCCUUCUAACAUGCAGCCCCCUCCAUCUGAAAGAUUAGGAGAACAAUUAACUUUCAUUUCUUCCUCUAUAGAUCGAAGAAUAGACUUCAAAACCGAUAAAACACCUCAAAUUAAAGACUUUAGAAAAAAAAUCUGAAAAAGAUGUUUUCUAAGGAAGAAUUAGAAUCAUUUUGGGAAGAAUUGUAUUCUUAUCCAGAAGAUUUAAGGUUUUCCAAUAGGCUGAAAUAAGAGUUUUUGGAAGAGGAAAAGAAAAAUCUGUUAAUAUGACUCAUACCAACAAAGAAAUGGAAAAUCACAAGUGGAGAUACCGUUCAAUCGGAGCAAUCCUCCAAUGAAAGAAAUUGUUUUUUCUCAUGGGAAAAAUGAGGUAAUUGCUUUUCCUGUUAAACAGGUUAUCGAUAGACCAGAAAAUUUUGGUUCCACUAAAAAAAAAAAAAAAAAAAAAUUCUAGCUCAAAAUAAUUAUACAAAUAUCCUGUAACACUCAAUGACAAAUCAAUUAUCUUGAAUUGAAACUGAUUGUUUGAUUAUCCCGCAAGUGAACGAAAUCGUGAGCAAGUAAUAUAGUAGGGUGUAGGGUGUCGAACUCACGAGAACAAUGCAUUUGAUCAAGUUUUCGCUAACACUGCCCUUUAUCGAACAGAAGAAUCGAGUGGUAACUAAAAACUAUUAAAUCUAUCAAUUAACUUAAAAGCAACGUAAAGAAAACUUACCAAAUUCCCAAGAAAUAUUGUUAAGAUGUAGAAUCUACCUUAUUAAUCCAUUUUUAGUUCGACAAUUUAAAUUGACAAUAUGAAAUCGUGCUUGUUGGUCAAUGUUCCUAUUUUAUUUGAAAACAUCUCUCGAUAGUUAUCAAAUAUAUUCCCCUCAUAUGACAUAUCUAUCUCUCGAUGAAAUAUGGGAAUAUGAUAAAUGUAUUAAACGAGUUAGAACAUCUUAUAACAACCAUAUGAAGCAUAGAUGUAUAUCUCUAUUCUCUAUCGAAUUUCACAAUAUUUAUUGUUUUGUGCUAAUGAUCCUAUUGUCUCGCUCAAUAACAACAAAAUCCAUAAACAAUUCAAUCAAUGGCCAAUUAAUUGAAAAGUAUGAAAACAAUAAUAAACAUCCAAACACUCAAACAAAUUUAACGUCAAUUUAAUUAUUUAAACUAAAAGUUGAUAACAAGAGUUCAUCACAUCCUAGCAUAAAGAAAUUAGCCGCGCAUGAUGUUGAAAUUAAACAAAGAAAGGAUAAAAGAUUUCACCAAAAAUAGACGGAACGUGAUUAAUAUCCAAAUUUCUUGUACAAUUUGUUAAUGAAUUAUCGCACAAGGAAAUCUGACAUUAUUUCUUCUACUGCCGUCCAUGCAUGUGUGCCGUCUAUCUCCAGUAUACGUGUCGGCUUCCCACUUUUUAAUUUCCAACAGCCAUAUGUGAAUGUUUUAAUUCCAAAUUCAGCUGCCACUUCCUCCAGAGCUGCCACCAAUUUGUGUUUAUAAGGUAUAUCAAAGAGCCCCUUUUUUUUUUCCCUGCAGCAAUGUUUAUUUUUUUCUCCCUUUCUCUCUCUGUUUGCGUAUAAUCUCCCUCAAAUUUUUCUUCAACAACUGCCUGUGUAUUCCUUCCAAAAAUCCCAACCGGCUGUCCCUUUUUCUCUUCCAAACUAUUACCGUUUUUCUGUGGCUUUUUCUCCCAGCCAACUCUUCGUUCUGCCGUCUAAUGUGUAUGUGUAUAUAUGUGGCAAAUAGGCUUUUUUUCUUCUCUCCCACAGCCGCCGUUUUUUACUCCAAUUUUUAUGAUAUUUCAAUUGCUCCACAUUCUUCUUUUCAACCGGCUGUAGCGUAUAUAAUGGCCAAAUAAUUAAUUUGGUUUCAUUCCAAUUCAAACUCCUAAUUUGAGGCCCAUCAAUAAAUUACUUUUCUCCAAGUCCUCAACUUUUAAAGAAUGCAAGUUAGUCCUUGAUACAAAUAUAUUUGUGCAACCAAUGCCCUCCUCAAAUUCAAACUUGUGGAAUUUAAUCCCAAAUCGUAGAUUUUACUCGAUUUUGCCCUUCUUCCUUUCCAAUCGCUUCAAACGGGUUCGUCGCUAAAAACACAAAGAAAAUUAACAUAAGUAAAAUAGAAAUUAAUAAUUUGACAACUUAAAAGUUUAAUAAUGUGGCCUAAAUAGGUGCACAAAUUGUACUUAUCAAACACCACCAAACUUAAGCAUUUCUUUGUCAUCAAACAAAACUAUAACCUAAAUAGUAACAAAUACACAAGCAUGCAGAAAUAUUUGGUUUGUGUUGAAGAUAUGGAGAAUAUUGUCAAGAUAUUGGAAUAUAUUUUUCCAUUAUUUAAUAUUAUUUCCCAUUUAUGUUAUUUCCUUUUGUUGUCAUUCAUAACCCUAUAAAUAGGGAUCUUUAUAUUGUAAUAUUUACAAGACCAUCAAUAAUAAAAUUCCUAUUAUUAUUCUUAACAUGGUAUCAGAGCGGGUUUGACUUGGUCUUGGAUUAAACUUAUAAGCUUCCGUUCUCCGGUGAGCAGCCUCAUGCCGCUCGUCCGGUCAUAAUUUUUUCCGACCAGUUUUUUACAUAGAAAAGAGUAUUUUUUUUCUCCCUCCAACCAGUUCUUUUGAUUCACACAUAUUCCUAUCUUUUCUUGUUUAUUGAUUCCUCAUCCUAUAAUAUUUCUUCUCUUGCCUCCCCAGCUAUAGGAAGUCUACUCAUUAAAAAAAAGGGACACCGAGUUUUCUAAGGUUUUUUUUUUGUUGGUGAUUUCCUUCAGCGAAUUCAACCUGCGGUUGCAUCGAUUUCAAUUGAAGUGGGCGAUUUUGGUCCAAAUGAAGUUUUGGAGUGGAGGCGGUUUCGGUUGAUUUGGUGAUGAUGUGGAUUGUAUUUGGGUUGCCUUAGUAAAUUCUUUGGAUUGCUUUCUUUAUUGCUUUUAGAGGACUCCACGUCUUUGUUCUUGUUAUCUAAUUUGUAAUAUCACUGCUCCUGAAGUAAACAUCAUCGCUGCCUACUCCGAAGGAACGUCCCCUGCAGUCUACAGAGAAUGCUUUUGGGUAUUUAUCAACUGUAAGCAAAUCUUUCCAUGUUCUCUACAAGCACAAACCUCUCUGGAGGAAUCUUGUUUUGGAACCUUACAAAGGUGGUUCUCGUAUAAUGGGCCUUGAUCUAAGCCCCGCUGCCAGCAAUAUGCACCCGCAAAAACUUCCCCAAUGGAGUAUCCCCCUCUGUAGAUUUUAAGAUCAGAAAAUCCUAGGGAUUUCAUGGGGCCAUGAAGAAACAGUGGGUUUUUCUUGGUUGUAGGCCAAAGAUUGGACUUGAGUUAAAUAUGGGUUUGUUUGUUCUUGUUGGGCCAUAUGGUGUUCUGGACCGAUUGGAUGGGUUACAAAGUGAGUUUGGGCUGCAGUAUUUUUCCUGGGCCGUUGAAAUUAAUUUUAGAUUUGGGCUACUUUCUUGAAUUUUUAUUAGUCCAUACCCAAAUGAGUCCGUUCUCUUUUUAAAUUUUUUAAAAUUGUUUAAAAAAAAUUGUUGUUUCCCCUUUUUCUUGGGAAUUUAAUUUAAACAAAAUUUUUGGAGGAUCGGUACCUUGAAUUUUAUCUUCUCCUCCUGUGCCCCUUAAACAAACUAGGGGUUUUCUGUCUCUUAAACAAAGUAGAGGUUUUAAAAAAAAAAGUUGGAGGGUCGGUACCCUGAAUUUUACCGGCUCUCCCAUUCCCCUUAAACAAACUAGGGGUUUUCUACCUCUUAAACAAACUAGAGGUUUUUAAAAACAAAUUUUUUUUUGGAGGAUCAGUACCUUGAAUUUUACCAGCACUCCCCCUGCCUCUUAAACAGCUUAGAUGUUUUUUCUUAUGUUAAAAAUAAAAAAUUGAAGAUUUGUUUGGAUUGAAGAUUUGAUUGGUCAAACUCAAUAUUCUACACCAUAUUGAGUUUGAGGGGAGGGUGUUGAAGAUAUGGAGAAUAUUGUCAAGAUAUUGGAAUAUAUUUUUCCAUUAUUUAGGAUUAUUUUCAAUUUAUGUUAUUUCCUUUUAUUGUCAUUCAUAACCCUUUAAAUAGGGCUCUUUAUAUUGCAAUAUUUACAAGACCAUCAAUAAUAAAACUCCUAUUAUUAUUCUUAAUAGUUAAAUAGUCUAGCUUUUUACAUCGGGAAUGGAGAUUAUCGUAUUAAAUUUACAAACCACUUCAAAGGCACAAUACCAAACCAAUAUCCACUUCUCCAAUACAAAAUCGACGUGUGUGUGUGGAGAAUUAAGUAAACAUUAAUGACCUCACAAGUUGUUCACAUUCCCGGCCCUCUAUGGUCAAAUUUAUCCUUACAUCUCUCGUGAGAUUUACACACCCCAAAACUUAUUCUUUUUCACUCUUUUCCCAGCGUGUAGUUGAAUUUAUUAUUACCAUCCUCACCCUUCACCAAUUCAGGUAGACGUCACUAGUUGCAAGUAAACACAUCCAUGAACAUGAAUUCUCCAAUUAUUUGAUUGUUUCGACCAUCAGGACUCAACUACGCUAAUUAUUCUUCAUCGAAAGUCAAAUUUCCUCGAACAAGUGUUAGGACUUAACAAGGCAUUUAGUACAUUUACUAUUUUUUUUUCUUUUCUUUUUUUUUCCUUUUUUUUUUUUUUUUUUUUUUUCACUCCCCCUUAAAUUUUUUUUUUUUUUUUUUUGCACUCCGCCUUAAGCUUUCUAGAUGACUCGUGUAGCAGGAUUUAGGCCGAUGACUCCCAAGUCAGACGACUUUAGGGCACCAAGUUUUUAAAUAUUCUUACAGGCUUAAUAACUCGAAUCAAAAAGGUUUUGAAGAGAACAAUUAUUUUUUUUCUUUCACGGGCAACUUCAUCUCUGAUUGCUUUCUAAAUGACCCAUGUAGCGAACUUUAGGCCAAUGACUCCCAAGUCAGAUGACUUUAGGGCAUCAAGUUUUAAGAUACCUUUGCAGGCUUAAUUGCUCGAAUCAUAAAGGCUUCAAAGAGAAGUUUUAAAAUAUAUGUCUUGAUUAGUGCAAUGCCCCUUAUCAUACACCUAUUCAAGAAAAUUGAACUUCAACUCAAGACUCUCGCCCAAUAUUAUCCUGUUCAUCUCAAACAAUCCACACAAAGUUUUUUUUCACACAAGGAAUCCACGUUCACGUCUGCAUCUACCUACAAUAGUAAAAUCAUUCCAAAUUGUGCUAAAUUUGGUCUAAAGAUAAUUAGUUUAAUAUGAUUUGGGUAAAGCAUCUAUGUCCAACUAAAUCAAUCUGUUUAGAGCAUGAAACAACUCACUUCAUCACCAUGUCAAACCCAAUUCUUGUGCGCGUAUAAUAUCAAAUUUUGUAAGUUUAAGUUUCAAUCAAUCUAGCAUGCAACCUAUCCACAAUUUAUAAAUUAACAUCAAAUCUCAAAUUAAAUCAUUAUUGUUAGCUAAACCAUUUAACCCACACAAGCAUACAACUAAAUAAAAGAGAUUUUUUUUUUUUUGAAAAUCUUCAAAAUUUUUCAAUUUUUUUUUUUACUAAGACAAACACACAAAAAUACGAAACAUACGAAAAACAAAAACUAAAAGUUUUUUUCACCUCCAAACUAAAAAAUCGGCAUUUUCCUCAAUGUCAUAAAGCGUAAGUAAGCACAUAAAGGGGUAGGGAAGAAAAGGAAGAAAGCACUCAUCGAAUUUUUUGUUGAAUGUGCGAAGUACUAUGUGUGAUGGUUAGGAAAUUUUUCUCAUCAUGUUUUCCCCUUGGGUCUAUGUUGGUUCAUGACACGACCCGUCCCAAAUCACCCUAGUGGACCCGAAACGUGACGUGCACUGAUGAUAGAUGCUGACUAGAUGUCAGAUCUAUCACCAAAGCUAACUAUGAAUUACUACAAAAUAUACGACAAAAUCAAAUGUUUAUAAAACCGUAGUGCAAUUGGCCCAAAAUUACAUCGUGUUUUAUCAAAUUGACUCAUCAAUAUGUCGUGUAGCUCUAACUCUGAAAUCACUAGGCUCCUCAAGUUAUCAAGGACCAAUAUUACCUGUAAGAAUAAUUUUAGGAAAAUAUGAGUUGACAGCUCAGUGAGUGGAAGAGUUCGAAAAUAAUUAUGCUUUCUCAUUUAAACAUUUUUAUCAAACAUCAAGUUCAUAUCAUUUAAUAUUUCACAUGAUAGACUCAUACGAAUAUAGACAAAAAGUGAGACAUUCUCAUAACUCUAUAAAUAUCAUCUCAUAUCCACGAUAUCGUCAUCAGCUGAUAUCUAUACCAUCAUCUCAUCACAUCACAUGUGUUCCACCAAAAAUGUACAAUCUAACUAAAAUUUGUAAUCCACCCCUCGGGUUAAGAACUUUCGCCAUGGGCCUUUGGCCCCUCCGUGAACAAAAGUUGGUCUCAAAAACCUCUGGUAAUCAAUUCUAAAACACGGCCAAGACCCACUCAGUGAACUAUAUGUACACAGUCACGACCCUUUCAUCCCCAGUCAACCCCUCAGUGUAAGACAGAACACGGCCAAGGCCCACUCAGUAAACUAGAAGAAGUAUGUAAUCAUGGGUAUUUUUCUGGUCGAUCUCAAUAUCACAUGUCUCACAUUCCACAUCACAAAUAUUUUCAUAUCUAAUCUUUGAGUUCCACAAUUAUCAUAAUGAAAGAAUAUUUCCAAAAUAAUCAUGUAAUCGAACACAUAAUUGUAUAUAAUUGCACAUAUUUUGACAAUAUACUUAAUUUAUAAAUACUUUAAAAAUAUUUAUAUUUUUCCACUCACUUGACUAUGUAUCGAACAAAAAGUAAUUCCACUAAAAAGCUUUCCCAGUCUCACUAUCUCCUGAAAAAUGAAUUAUUUAUUCAAAUUAAUAACUAUUGAAUCCAUUUCCUAACCCCAUACAUGGAUAGGAAACCUCAAAAUCUCACCUAUUACUUCUUCAUUUCUUUCUUCCCAUUUUAGUCAAGUGGGCACACAUAUCCAUAUGCCAAUAUAUACACAAUUUCUCAUUUACCGAUUUAUUUAUAGAAUAUCUUUUCCACAUUCAUUUCCCCACUACAUUGGCAUAAUAACAUACUACCUUCCAACAUCUUGAAUUUACACUAUAAAUACUGUCCCUUUUUAUUUGCUCUAUAAUCUUAAAAUUACUAAAUAAAGAACUUACCACAUUUAGGCUAAAUUGAAUUCCAAUUAAAUACAAUUCAUCUCUUCUUCAUCAGUUUACUACUUCCCCACUGGCAUCAAGCUAUGCAAUUAGGUAUGUUCCCUUCUUAAUACUUUCAGCCACUAGACAUAUACGUGUGCCAAACAAUUCAUUAGUUGACCCAAAUCCUCACUUGCCUUUUGGUUUCUUUAUUUAAAUUUCAAUUUUAACCCAAUUACUUCAUGAAUUUUUCAUUCACAAAGUUCCAACCCAAAAAUUUAUAAAUAUUUGAUUCACAUAACUUAAAAGCUUCAAAAAUUGUUUACCCAUACUAAACCAUCAAUAAAUUGAACUUCUUUAUCACUUGUUGGAGCCAAAUAAGAAAUUUAAGUUUGUAUAAAACUUAUCCACUUGUGAUUGUAGAAGAAAUGAGGCUAUGAAAGAAAACCCCAUUCUUGAAGAAGGGCAUCUCACCUCCUACACAUCGUCGGCCAGCAAUUAUUCUUUUUUUUUCUCGGUCUCUCUCUCUUUCUCGAUUAUUCCUGUCCGUCUCCCUGCUCUCUCCUUCUUUGGUGUGUAUAUAUCAUAUGAAAAUGGGAGAUUAGCUAGUAAGUUGCCACUUGUACUCCACCAAUCCAUUUUUGCAAAGAAGUCCCUCUUCUUCAAUUAAAUAUGACAUUUAAUCAUCUAACUUCCAUUAAUAAAAAGUAAAUCCCCAAAAUUUAAUUUUAUCUAUCUAAACCUUCAAGUGGUGUCAAUUUGUAAAAUAAAAUUUCAAAAAUAAUUUGGUCAGUUCACGUCCCACUAAAAUGAUUUACUUCAAUUAAAUCCUUAUUUGACUUUGACUUUAACUUUGACGAGUCAAACAUUUCACUUUGAAUAAAUAAUAUUGACCUUUGACUAAUAUGAAAUGGGUUGUAACAAUCUGACCCCCUUCAAAGAAUUUCGUCCUCGAAAUUCAUUCAGCUAGGAUUCAAACCAAUAAAUAUAUAGCGCUCAGAUUUAAUCUCCCAUAAUGCCUCAUCUUGAUUGAUUUCUCCAAUUCACCUUAAUGACUUAUUUUCCAACUUUUGUCUCAAUAAAUAGGUAUCUCAGUUUCCUUUAAAUAGUAACCAUGUGUUGGUAACAUAUCUUCUGAACUUGUCUUCAUAUUCUCUGGCAUUCUAUUAAAAGGAAUUGAACAAUGUACUUUAGUUCUGUAACUCCCUAUAUUAGCCAAAGAUAGAUACUCGAACUCCACCAUGUAAAUCACUGACUUGUCCAUAAGUAAUUUAUUAACAUAUCUCUUGAACUGAUUGUAUUAUUUUAAAAUAAUCCUGUAACUUUUGUCGAUUUAUCGUCAAUGAUUCAAAUUCAAUUUGUCUCCAUUCUGUGUAUUUGAAACCUCAAAUGAAAAAUAUUUGAGGGUAACAACCUCCAUUCUAAAUUGACAAUAUCUCCAAAAAUUCAAUUGUUCAUAAAUUUUCAAAAUUUCUAGAUAACCCCAGCAAAACAAUUGAGAUAACUCAAUAUGGUGUUCUUUUCCUUAAUUUUAUAUCACCCAAUGAUAAUAUACACACAAUUUUCAUUUCCACAAUUCCUAAUAAAAUAUACUUUAAACUCCGAUAAUAGAUAAAUAUUGAUGUUCCUCGCAAUGUUAUAACACCAAAAUUCCUAAAUUCAACAUCAAUAUACCCAAUUAUAAAUCAUGUUUUAAUCAAGCACCUUCAACAAUCUACAAUAUAAUCCAUAAUUCAUCAUUUUACUUCAGGACACUUUCUAAACCUUAACAUAAUCAUUAUCACAAAUCAAACCUUCAUCAACUUUAGAUACAAGAGUAAAUGUUUCCUCAAAAUAUAAUCUAAUAGCAACGCUUUUUACAUUCUUAAAUUCACACAAUUUUGGUGCUCUUUCUUCCUACGAGGAGACAAUUAUAAUAUUCAAUCCAUAGUAAUUCCAUACUCUUAUUCCAUAAAGAGGCCAUUAGCCUAUUACCAAUGCAUAAACUUUCUUGUAUAUCUCACAAAAACCUUCAAUUAAAAUUAUAACCUAAAGACACUGUUCCACAAUAUGAAUAAAAUUUACAUUUGAUGAUCGUCUUAAACUUUAAACUAUCCAACAUAUCAUCCUUGUGUUCCAUAACAUAUAGAUCUUAAGAAAAAUGGAAUUCUUUAUUUGUGAAAUCCAAGAAUACGAUCAAAAUUAACUCAAAAUUUACAUCACUUAAACUUCAUCAAAUUCAUCUUAAUUUCAAAAUUUAGCUCAAAGCUUCCAGGUUUUAUUAUAACAUAACAAAAUAAUCGAACAAAUGGUCUUGGCAACGCCAAUUAAUUUAAUAACCUAAAUAUAUCAUCCCAUUAUUUCGCUAUAGGACAACCAUUACAUUCAUUUACUUGUUAUUCACCAUAUCAUGUUAUGAUCAUGUAACCUUAUCAUUUAUCACGCGAACCUUUUUACAUAUCAAUAUUCACCAAGAUUUCAUAUUCUAAUUUCUCAAUCUCCAUUAAUUUCAACUCUAUAGUUCUUAAUUCUUUUCUUCUUUUCUUAAUAAUUUACAAAGCAUCACUUCAUUCUUCAAACCAUACAUGCUUAUAUGUGAAAGAUGCUAUACUAAUCACUCCUUUUCAUUUCCUUUACUUCAAUGCAUGAUUCCUUUUCUAUAAUUCAAAAAUGAAAAUCAAUCUGAGUUUCGUAGACUCCCUCCAUUCAUAUCAUUUGUACCCUAUUUACAUAAAUGUACAAAUCCAAUAAUUCUUUUAUUUCAACAACAACUUACCCCGCAAUAAGCAGUCUUUGUGAAAUCUAUCCAUAUCUUUCUCACAUCUCUUAUAAUCAUAUAACCCAUAAAUAAUCAAAAUGAUCGGAGUUACAUGAAUGUCAAUUUCUUCAAUGAAUAAUAUACAUAAUAACACAUUAUUCUUUAUCGAUCAAUAUACUGUAUAAUAUCAUCAUUUAUCCUCCACAAGAUUUCUUAUCAUAUGAAUAGACACAUCACCAAAAUUUUAUCAUCCUUACAUAUGAGUGGCUACAAAUUACCACAAUCUCCGAUGAUGCUAAUGAUCAUUUAGUUUACCAAGAUAAUUAAGAUUCAUCAUAUGAUUGUCAUGGAUUACACAUAAUAUCAAUCCCUUUAUCUAUCACCUCGAAUAUCUAUAUGUGAACAACCUCUGGAACCAUCAAAACUUUCACUUCAAAUUAAUAAUCCGUUCAAUUCUCAAUAGAUUACAUACACCUCUGUAUAAACCCAACAACUUAUAAUAUUUUCAACCAUCAGAUCAUUGCAACUAUCAUAAUUACAUCCUAGUCAUUUCUGGAUCUAUUAAAAAUAAUUUUCUAUCACUUUUGGUUCCAUACCUUCGAGCUUGAGAACCUACCAUCACGAAAUGUGAUCAUACACAUUGAAUAUGCAUGACAUGCCAGUGCAUGUACUAUGAAGACUUUCAAAAUUUUAUAAACCAUGCUCUGAUACCACUUUGACACGACCCAUCCCGAAUCACCCUAGUGGACCCGAAACGUGACGUGUACCGAUGAUAGAUGCUGAUUAGAUGUCAAAUCUAUCACCAAGGCUGACUAUAAAUUACUACAAAAUAUACAACAAAAUCAAAUGUUUAUAAAAAUGUAGUGCAAUGGGCCCAAAAUUACAUCGUGUUUUAUCAAAUUGACUCAUCAAUAUGUCAUGUAGCUCUAACUCUGAAAUCACCUGGCUCCUUAAGCUAUCAAGGACCAAUAUUACCUGUAAGAAUAAUUUUAGGAAAAUAUGAGUUGACAGCUCAGUAAGUGGAAGAGUUCAAAAAUAAUUAUGCUUUCUCAUUUAAACAUUUUUAUCAAACAUCAAGUUCAUAUCAUUUAAUAUUUCACAUGAUAGCCUCACACGAAUAUAAACAAAAAGUGACAUUCUCAUAACUCUGUAAAUAUCAUCUCAUAUACACGAUAUCGUCAUCAACUGAUAUCUAUACAAUCGUCUCAUCACAUCACAUGUGAUCCACCAAAAAUGUACCAUCUGACUAAAAUUUGUAAUCCGUCCCUCGGACUAAGAACUUUCACCACGGGCCUUUGGUCCCUCCGUGAACGAAAGUCGGUCUCAAAAACCUCUGAUAAUCAAUUCUAGAACACGGUCAAAGCCCAUUCAGUGAACUAUAUGUACACAGUCACGACCCUUUCAUCCCCAGUCGACCCCUCAGUGUAAUAUAGAACACAGUCAAGGCCCACUCAGUGAACUAGAAGAAGUAUGUAAACAUGGGUACUUUUCUGGUCGAUCUCAAUAUCACAUAUCUCACAUUCCACAUCACAAAUAUUUUCACAUCUAAUCUUUGAGUUCCACAAAUAUCAUAAUGAAAGAAUAUUUUCAAAAUAUUCAUGUAAUCGAACACAUAAUUGCAAAUAAUUGCACGUACUUUGACAAUAUACUUAAUUUAUAAAUACUUUAAAAAUAUUUAUAUUUUUCCACUCACUGGACUAUGUAUCGAACAAAGAUUAAUUCCACCAACAAGCUUUCCCAGUCUCGCUAUCUCCUGAAAAAUGAAUUAUUUAUUCUAAUUAAUAACUAUUGAAUCCAAUUUCCUAACCCAUACAUGGAUAGGAAACCUCAAAAUCUCAACUAUUACUUCUUCAUUUCUUUCUUCGCAUUUUAGUCAAGUGGGCACACAUAUCCAUAUGCCAAUAUAUACACAAUUUCUCAUUUACCGAUUUAUUUACAGAAUAUCUUUUCCACAUUCAUUUCCCCACUACAUUGGCACAAUAACAUACUACCUUCCAACAUCUUGAAUUUACACUAUAAAUACCGUCCCUUUUUAUUUGUUCUAUAAUAUUAAAAUUACUAAAUAAAGAACUUACCACAUUUAGGCUAAAUUGAAUUCCAAUUAAAUACAAUUCAUCUCUUCUUCAUCAGUUUACUACUUCCCCACUGGCAUCAAGCUAUGCAAUUAGGUAUGUUCCCUUAAUACUUUCAGUCACUAGACAUAUACGUGUGCCAAACAAUUCAUUAGUUGACCCAAAGCCUCACUUGCCUUUUGGUUUCUUUAUUUAAAUUUCAAUUUUAACCCAAUUACUUGCUGAGUUUUUCAUCCACAAAGCUCCAACCUGAAAAUUUAUAAAUAUUUGAUUCACAUAACUUAAAAGCUUCAAAAAUUGUUUACCCAUACUAAACCAUCAAUAAAUUGAACUUCUUUAUCACUUAUUGGAGCCAAAUAAGAAAUUUAAGUUUGUAUAAAACUUACCCACUUGUGAUUGUUGAAGAAAUAAGGCUAUGAAAGAAAACCCCAUACUUGAAGAAGGGCAUCUCACCUCCAACACAUCGUUGGCCAGUAAUUAUUCUUUUUUUUUCUUGGUCUCUCUCUCUUUCUCGAUUAUUCCUACCCGUUUCCCAGCUUUCUCCUUCUCUGGUGUGUAUAUAUCAUAGAGUAAAUUUAACCAAUAAUCACUGAACUUUACACUUGAUUACUACUUGCUCACUUGUCUUUCACAUAUUACCGAAUGCUUACUCAUCUUUUCAUAUAAUUACUCAUUCACCACUCGUCUCUUCAAAUAAUUGGGCUACUUUUACGGCAAAAUUUCGACAACUUCCAACCACAAAGAAUGUCGAAUUUUGAUACCGUUGGAAAGCCCAUGAUGUCCUCUUCAAUUACCACCCAAAAUCUCAUUAUAACUCCAAGGGAUUCGAUCGAAAAAUUGCCUUAAAAGUCGCUCAAAAAUUCUGAAAAUCUGCCCAGAUUUUCAGAUUUUUUGGGCGACUUUUAAGGCAAUUUUUCGGCAACUUUCGACCAUCAAAACUAUCCAAUUUUGAUACCAUUGGAAAGCCCACAAUGUCCUCUUCAAUUACCACCCAAAAUUUCCCAAUAACUCCAAAGGAUUCGGUCGGAAUAAACCCACAAAGUCAGCAUCUUGAAAAGGCGAAAAUCUGGACAAAGUUCGGGAUGCUGACUUUGUGGGUUUAUUCCGACCGAAUCCUUUGGAGUUAUCGGGAAAUUUUGGGUGGUAAUUGAAGAGGACAUUGUGGGCUUUCCAAUGGUAUCAAAAUUAGAUAGUUUUGAUGGUCGAAAGUUGUCGAAAAAUUGCCUUAAAAGUCGCCCAAAAAAUCUGAAAAUCUGGGCAGAUUUUCAGAAUUUUUUGACGACUUUUAAGGCAAUUUUUCAAUCGAAUCUCUUGGAGUUAUAAUGAAAUUUUGGGUGGUAAUUGAAGAGGACAUCGUGGGCUUUCCAACAGUAUCAAAAUUCGACAUUCUUUGUGGUCGGAAGUUGUCGAAAAUUUGCCGUAAAAGUAGUCCAAUUAUUUGAAGAGACGAGUGGUAAAUGAGUAAUUAUAUGAAAAGAUGAGUGAGCAUUCAGUAAUAUGUGAAAGAUGAGUGAGCAAGUAGUAAUCAAGUGUAAAAUUCAGUGAUUAUUGGUUAAAUUUACUCAUAUAUCAUAUGAAAAUGGGAGAUUAGCUAGUAAGUUGCCACUUGUUCUCCACCAAUCCAUUUUUGCGAAGAAGGCCCGCUUCUUCAAUUAAAAUUGACAUUUAGUCAUCUAACUUCCAUUAAUAAAAAGUAAAUCCCGAAAAUUUAAUUUUAUCUAUCUUAAACCUUCAAGUGAUGUCAAUUUGUAAAAUAAACCUUCAAAAAUAAUUUGGUCAGUUCACGUCCCACUAAAAUGAUUUACUUCAAUUAAGUCCUUAUUUGACUUCGACUUUAACCAGUCAAACAUUUGACUUUGAAUAAAUAAUAUUGACCUUUGACUAGUAUGAAAUGGGGUGUAACAGUUUGAGUGUUCCAUGAAGUCAUGUCCCUACACAUAGCAAUCAAGUCAAACAUUAAAAAUCAAGAAAUCUAGAACAUUUGUUACUUAGCCCAAACAAUCAAAAUCCAACAACAAAUCCAAUGGCCUAACGGAAGUAUUAAGGAUGGUGAUACCCUACAAAUUAAAACGUGCCUAAAUCUAAUGCAACCUAGUAAUCAAAAAAAAUCUAUAUGCUAUGCGAUGCAGAAGGCAAAAUAAAUAAAAGAGUUAGAAGAUUGGGUUAUCUCCCAAUAAGCACUUAAUUUAUAGUCUUUAGCUAGACUGUACGGAUGAAUUGAUUACGGUGGCUUAAAUAGGUGUUUUGAGCUUUUGCACUCCUUACAAUUUCCAGCCUUGCAUCCUCGUUUUUUCGUCCAAACCUUGAACUCUCCAUUCUUCUCUCGUCCAACGCUCACUAGAUGUUUAGGCUCCAUCUUUCUCAAGCCUUGUUGCACCUUUGUAGCAAUAUACUUGCACUCUUUCUUAGACUUUUUGCUGAUCUCUUCAUGUAAUGUAUUCUCAAUAGUGUUGUAGAUCUUGAACUUCUUUUGCUUAUCUUCCACUCUCAAUGUCAGUUCGCCAAUUUCAAAGUCUAUGGCAGCUCGGCUUGUUGAUAGAAAGGAUCUGCCCCAAGAUAAGUAACGCUGCAUUCCAUGGCUCCUCUAUAUCUAGGACAACAAAAUCGAUGGGAAAUAUGAAGUUACCCACUUUAAUAAGUACAUUCUCAACCAUUCCUCGUGGGUAUUUAAUUGAUCUGUCUGCCAAUUGAAGGGAGAUAGAUAUGUCAUUUAGCUCUUCCAAUCCUAAUUUCCUGUAUAUAGGGAAAGACAUUAAGUUUAUACUUGCUCCUGAAUCACAUAAGCAAUUAAAAUCUAAAUCUUUUCCUAUUGAGCAAGGUAUUUUGAGACUCUCUGGAUCUUGUCGUUUAUGAGGUAAUUUGCUCUGCAAAAUGGCACUACACUCUUCAUUUAACUUGACGGUCUCAAAAUCUGUAAGCCUUCUCUUUUUGGAUAGGAUCUUCUUCAAAAACUUUGCACAGUUUGGUAUUUGAGAUAUAGUUUCAAUCAAUGGGACUUUGACAUGAAGCGUCUUGAAGAUGUCCAAGAACCUUGCAAAUUGAUCUUCCAAAUUCCUCUUUUGUAAUCUCUGUGAAAAUGGGACUGGAGGCACAUAAGGUUUGAUAGGAACGGUUACCUUGACCUGUAGAUUUUCUAGCUCUUGAGAUGGAACUACUUGGUCUAGUUGUUCAUAUUUAUCCACCUGCACCUCAUCUGUAAAAGUUGCCUGUUUAUUUUCUGUCACCCGUCUGUCAACUGUAAUUUCUGGAAGUUUAACCCUACUACGUGUAUUGAUUGCCUCAAUCUCCUCACUCUCCAUAACUUCUACUGCCAUUACCUGUUGUUUAGGAUUUGUUUCCAUGUUGCUUGGCAGUGUUCUUUGCUGUCUUUUUUAGAGUGCUUUUGCUAUUUGUCCCAUCCGAUUUUCUAAAUUCUUGAUAGCAGCUCCUUGAACUUGUAAAUCUUAUCUGUUCUUUGCAUGUGUUGAGUCGAGAUCUCCGCCAAUUUAGUAACAAGAUCUUAUAAUGAAGACUUAUUUUCGACCUGCUGAAAACCUAGUGGUGCAGUCUGCUGUGGCGCAAUCUGAGUUCCUUGAUUGUUGCUCAAUUGAAAACAUGGGUGAUUUCUCCAGCCUAGGUAGUAGGAGUUAGGAUUCUGAUUGUGUUGUUGUCGUUGAAAAUUUUGAGCAUAAUUUACAUCCUCUAGUGAUUGAGUAAAAGGACUACCCACGGUGCAAUCAACACUUUCAUUAUUUCCUCCACAGUGCUUAGAUUUUUGUCCGGCUGUUUGAAUGGUAUUCAUCUGAUCCACCAUUUUAGCUAAAGCUACCAGCUGCGCUAAGAUUGCUAUUAAUGGAUCCACCUCAUGUAUCCCAGUUACUUUCUUUACACUUGUUCUUUCAGUAAGCCACAGUGCACUAAUGAAUGCUCAAUCCUCCAUGAUUUGAUAUACUUGAUCCACUAUUCUCUUUGUGAUGGAACCAUCGCAUGCGAAGUUAACGUUAGCCCUGCUUAUUGGAUUUAGUCCAAUGUAGAAAUAUUGUACCUGGAGCCAUUUUUGCAAUCCAUGUUGUGGACACUGACAGAACAGCCCCUUGUACCUUUUCCAAGCUUCAUAAUAGUACUCCGAGUCAAGUUGAGUGAAUGUGGUGAUUUCGUCCCUCAACCUGGCAAUCCUUUUAGGUGAGAAAUAUUUAUUUAGGAACUUCUGACUCAAACUAUUCUAAAUGGUGAUGCUGUGUAGAGGAAAAGUAUCCCACCAAUCCCUAGCUGAAUCUCUCAAAGUGUAAGUAAAAAAGCCUCAGCCGAAUUGCUUCGCUUGAAACACCUAGAUAAUCGAUUGUUGCACACAUGUCCAAGAAUCUUGAGAUAUGCGCAUUGGGAUUUUCAGUAGGUUUCCCAAUAAAUUGCAAUGCAUUUUAGAACAUGUUGAUCACAUCUGUCCUCAAGUGAAAAUUUGGUUGACCAAAUGAUGUAUAUACUCUACUAGAUUGACUAUCCACGACCGAUGGAACCAUAUACUCUCCCAUCAACCUAACAUUUUCAUUGGUUGCAAUUUCAUUCGGUUGCGCUACACCCAAAUUAGCACCGAUGGGUAUUUGAUUCGGAUUUUAUUUUGCCAUGAGCUUUGCUUGCUGUUUUUGGUGUGCUUCUAAUUGUUCUCUUGUUCUCGACCUGAACGUUCGCUCGAUUUUCGAAUCAAAUUGAGCAAGAUCUCCGGUUCUCGAACCUUGCAUACAAAGUCCUGAAAAGGAAAAAUAGAAAACACUGUAGUAUUUUUCUAAAUUAAUUAACUAACUAAGAAAACUAAAUUAAAAUUAAAAUUAAAUUCAGAUUAAAGGUAAAUUAGUUAAAACUUAUAAAAAACUAUAGUCUCCGACAACGGCGCCAAAAAUUUGAUCGUUUGAUUAACCGCAAGUGAACGGGAUCGUGAGCAAGUAGUAUAGUAGUGUGUAGAGUGUCGAACCUACAAAGUCUGUGUUUGAUCAAGUUUACGCUAACACUACCCUUAAUCGAACAGCAGAAUUGAGUGGUAACUAAAAACUAUUAAAUAUAUCAACUAACUUAAAAGAAACGUAAAGAAAACUUAUCAAAUUCGCAAGAAAUAUUGCUAAGAUGUAGAAUCCCUCUCAUUAAUUCAUUUUUAGUUCGACAAUUUAAAUUGACAAUUUGAAAUCAUGCUUGUUGGUCAAUGUUCCUAUUUUAUUUGAAAACAUCUCUCAAUAGUUAUCAAAUAUAUUCCCCUCAUACCACAUUCCUAUCUCUCAAUGAAAGAUACGAAUUUGAUAAAUGCAUUAAACGAGUUAGAACAUCUUAUAACAAUCAUAUGAAGCAUAGAUUUAUAUCUCUAUUCUCUAUUGAACUUUACAAUAUUUAUUAUUUUGUGCUAAUGAUCUUAUCGUCUCUCUCGAUAACAACAAAAUUUACAAAUAAUUCAAUCAAUGGCCAAUUAAUUGAAAAGUAUGAAAAACGAUAACAAACAUCCAAACAUUCAAACAAAUUUAACGUCAAUUUAAUUAUUUAAACUAAAAGUUCAUAACAAGAGUUCAUCACUUCCUUGCAAUAAAGAAAUUAGCCACCCAUGAUGUUGAAAUUAAACAAAAAUAAGGAUCAAAGACUUCACCAAAAAUAGACGGAAUGUGAUUAAUAUCCAACUUCUUGCACAAUUUGUUAAUGAAUUAUCACACAAGGAAAUGUGACAUUAUUUCUUCUACUGCCGUCCAUGCGUGUGUGCCGUCUAUCUCCAGUAUACGUGCCUGUUUCCCACUUUUUAAUUUCCAACAGUCAUAUGUGAAUGUUUUAAUUCCAAAUUCAGCUGCCAAAUCCUCCAAAGCUGCCACCAAUUUGUGUUUAUAAGGUAUAUCAAAGAGCCCCUUUUUUCCCAGCAGCAAUGUUUAUUUUUUCUCCCUCUCUCUCUUUGUUUCCGUGUAUAAUCUCCCUCAAAAUUUUCUUCAAUAACUGUCGUGUGUAUUCCUUCCAAAAAUCCUAACCGGCUGCCCCUUUUUUCUUCCAAACUAUUACCGUUUUUCUGUGGUUUUUUCUCCCGGCCAACUCUUCUUUCUGCCGUCUAAUGUGUAUAUGUAUAUAUGUAGCAAAUAGGCAUUUUUCUUCUCUCCCACAGCCGCCGUUUUUUACUCCAAUUUUUGUGAUAUUUCAAUUGCUCCACACUCUUCUUUUCAGCCGGCUGUAGCGUAUAUAAUGGCCAAACAAUUAAUUGGGUUUCAUUCCAAUUCCACACUCCUAAUAUGAGGCCCAUCAAUAAAUUACUUUUUUCCAAGUCCUCAACUUUCAAAAAAUGCAAAUUAGUCCUUGAUACAAAUUUAUUUGUGCAACCAAUGCCCUCCUCAAGUUCAAACUUGUGGAAUUCAAUCCCAAAUCGUAGAUUUUACUCGAUUUUGCCCUUCUUCCUUUUCAAUCACUUCAAAUGGGUUCGUCGCUAAAAACACAAAGAAAACUAACAUAAGUUAAAUAGAAAUUAAAAAUUUGACAACUUAAAAGUUUAAUAGUGUGGCCUAAAUAGGUGUACAAAUUGCAUUUAUCAAAAUCCAACACAGAACCAAAAGAAUCAAGAAGAGAAGAUAAAAGCCCGAUUAGUUCAAUUUUUAAACCAAUAGAGGAAUCCUUAAAAUCAGGUCUAUGAAAACUCUCUACCUAAUCAAGUGUUAUAAGAGAAUUAUCUAAACAACUAUCAAAACUAACUGCAUCAUAUAAUGUUAAUGUAGUUAAAUCGAUUGAAGAACUAAAGAAAAUCAAUUUCUAGAAGAAAAAGUACCCCCUCAAAUUAAUAAAUUAAGAGGUCAAAAUUCAAAAAUGCCUAAUUUUUACCCAAGACCUUCCUUUCCUGAUAUGCAAUAUUAGGAAAGAAUGAAACCUCAUAUCUCUUAUAAUGGAGAUGAGAUAAUGGAAUGGAAUGAAAUAUUGACGAAAUGACUGAACAUCAGGUUAUUCAAGUCAUUGAAAAUAUUGUUAUGUGUUGUUCGGUUUAUCUCUGUUGAUUUAUUUCUAAAGAAACUGCCUUCAACAAUAUUUUACUUGCUUUCCAGGUCAAUUAAAAAGUUAGUGGACUAAUUACCUUAACAAUAAUGAACGUGAUGAAGUAUAUAAUGCUACUAAGCCCUUGUUUAAUCCCUGUUAUUUUCAAAAUAUAUUUUUGUUUCUCUUCUUUUCAACCAUAUAUUCUUCACUAAAAUAAUAUUAUACGCAAAUCCAACCUUUCAUUAUUUUUUGACUACAAAUUCUCUAUCAAUCUAUUAUUUCAAAAUGCAUUCUUACAAUAAAAUGGGGUUCAAAUAGGCUCUAAAUCAAAUGGACAAAAUGACAUCAAAUUAGCAUUUAUGUUUGCUGUUAUCGAGCAUUUUAUUGGAAGCCCUACUUCAUUAUAAGAAAGAUCAUCAGAAAUCUUAAAAGAAUUUAACAUGCUCAAAACUUCAUGAUUUUAGAUGGUAUAAAGAUAUCUUCCUCACUAAAGUUGUGCUUAGGAAAGAUUGUUCUCUUGUUGAUCCCAAAGGUGAUGUAAGAUUGAGAUUUAAUGGCAAUAAUGAAAUAUUCAAGAUCGCACCACGAAAACAAGAUUAAAGUAAAGUUAAAAAGAGAAACUAAGUAGAGGAACGAUGAAUUUUAUUAAAUCCGACAAUAUGGAGAGAAUAAUAAAGGACAACACUAAUGCUUCAUCUAAAACUGACAAAGGAGUCUCUAAUUUUAGGUCACAUCCAUAAACCUAAUGGAGUCCUAAAAGGUAAGAAAAUAUACUAAAAUUAGGUUAAAUCACAUAUAAAAAAAAUCUUGGAUGUAAUUUGAUUUCUUUUCAACUUCAAGCCAAACGUGAUCUUCCAAGAUUUCAACCCAAUUUUGAGGCAUUAAACCUAACAAUCUCCACCUUGACUCAAAAUUUCGAUACAACGAACGAAACUCCAAAAUUUCAAAUCCAUCUGUUUCGAAAUGAACUGACCAAUCUCCUCAACACAAUAACCAAAAUCUCCAUCACCAAACUAUCGUCAUCUGCACGAUGUCCACAAGCGACACCCGAACCCAAAUCCUGGGUUCCCAAAAUUCCAACAAGGAAUUACUGUUGACCAAACAGGUCGAAGCACACCCUGUAGCAGAAACAAUACCACAUGUUGGAUCAGAAGGCCCCUUGCUAGAACUGUCACCUUCAACAUCUCCUAAAGCAUUCCAGAUAUUAUUGACACCACUGUAUCUACGCUCCAUGAGUCUAAAUCUAGCAACUGAACACAGUGUAUCCGCUAAAAUUGGUGACAAAGCGGAAUCACCAAUACUCUCCCUAGAAGUGUUAUUAAUCAACUCAAAGGUCGCCACAAGAGGUAUUGUACCAAACUGAACUUCCGCCACGGUACUGAACUUGUCCAAAUAUCUCUUAACUGGUUCUGCACUUCCCUAUAAUAUGUCAAUUGGGAUCUCUUCCGUCCCUCCAGUACAACCCGGACAUCCCUUCGAACCUUCAAAACUCCACUUCCACCAGAGAAUUUAUAUCCUUUUGCAUCCAAGGUACUCAGCGAUAUGAGAUUCUUUGUCAAGUCCAAAACAUGACGAACCUGAUCAAAUGUCCUCACUGUCCCAUCUUGUAGCCUCAAUCUGAUCUGACCGAUUCCUGCAACCCGACAAGAUUGGUUGUUCCCUAUGACAACUCCACCUUACUACACCGUCUCAUAUGUCUGAAACAAAGCCCUAUUGGGACACAUAUGAUACGAACAUGCAAAAUUCACUCCCCAGGCUUGGAUUCCCCAUCAGAUACAGCCAAAAUUACAUCUCCAUCGUUCGAAAAAUUCUCAACAAUGUUAGUCUUAUUACCUGAUUGCCCCGCAUGAUUUGCAUGUAAAUCACAUUUACCCUGCAACUUGUUGUAAUCUUUCUUAAUGUAUCAUUUCCUCAUGCAGUAAUAACAAUACACAUUGAUGUACCUCACUAUUGAUCUACCCCUCCGUUGUUCACCAUGAGUAACCAGAGCGUCCUCACCCCUGGAUAUAGGAUUUUCAACCAACAGCUUCAUCUUCUCCUUUGAGAAUAGGGCAUCAUAUACCUCCUCAAUGGUCAGCAUGUCAAGACUAUACAAUAUAGUAUCACGAAACGACAAAAAAAAAAAAAAAAAAAAACCUGGGUAGCUAAUACAGAUCCUCUUCAUCAUAUUUUACCUCCAACAUCUUCAAAUCUACAACAAUCUCCUUAAACACGACAAAAUGGUCUUGUAAUGACUCUCCUUCUACCAUGCGAUGGGAAUACAGCUUCUAGUUUAGAGUGAGUUUCCUCAUCAGACUCUUUGUCAUGCACAACAGCUCCAGCUUAAGCCACAAAAUAGCCGUCGUCUUUUCCCUCAAGACAUCCUGCAGAAUAUUGUUGGAUAAGUGAAGAUGAAUCUGCACUAAAGCGUUUCGAUCCUCCAUUGUUUCUCCUCCAUACACAAUUUGUCGACAUCCUCUGAAAAUCCAGCAAAGCAUCGUCAAGAUCCAUCUGCAUCAACAUAGCCCUCACCUUUACUUGUUGCAGUGAAAACCUUGUAUUGCGAUCCAGCAUCGGAAUUUCAUAAUUCAACGAAUUCAUCCUUGAAAAAUCUCAACCAAAUCACGAAGAAUCUGUAACCCAUGCUUUGAUACCACUUGUUGAUCCCAAAGGCGAUGUAAGAUUGAGAUUUAAUGGCAAUAAUGAAAUAUUCAAGAUCGCACAAUGAAAACAAGAUUAAAGUAAAGUAGAAAAAGAGAAACUAAGCAGAGGAAAGAUGAAUUUUAUUAAACUCGACAAUAUGGAGAGAAUAAUACAGGACAACAAUAAUGCUUACUGGCAAAUGAGUCUCUAAUUUAUAGGUCACGUCCAUAAACUUAAUAGAGUCCUAAAAGAUAAGAAAAUACACUAGAAUUAGGUUAAAUCACGUAAAAAGAAAAUAUCUUGGAUGUAAUUUGAUUUCUUUCCAACUUCAAGCCAAACAUGAUCUUCCAAGAUUUCAACCCAAUUUUGAGGCAUUAAACCUAACAUCUCAAUCAUUUUAGAAAGAAAGAUUUAUUUCUGGACUUCUAAAACUUUUUGCCGAACGAGUAAGAAUUGCAAUAAAAAAAUACAAAUAAUGAUACGAUUCCAUAUGGUUCCCUAACUUAUGAUGAAAUUAUAAAUUACAUCAACUAAGAAAGGUUGUCAUUAUGCAAUGGCAUGAAACUCAAAUCAAACUCAAAAGUGAAAGAGCCGAAAGCUGACAAGUACUCGGAUCAUUUUGUGAGCAAUAUGGUUUCGAAAAAGUUUUAACUCCUUCUUCAAAACGUAAAAAACAAAAUAUAUCAUAUCCAAAACAUUUCAGAAAAUUGUUUUAUCAAAGAGAUGAAAAAUAUCAAAAGCCUUAAAAAAGAAAAUUUUAUAAAAGAAAAUGUCAAAAAUUUAACAAAAUUAUAACUUGUUGGAAAUGCUAACAAACAGGUCAUUAUUCUAACAAGUGUCCUAUGAAAGAAAAAAUAAACAACAUUCAAAUAGAUGAAAAGGUAAAGAAUGAACUUUUAAAUUUGAUUACUUCUAGUUGUGAAGAAAAUUUAGGAUCCGAUUAGGAACAAAUUUAUCAAAAUCAAGAAGAUUCACUUAUUGAAGAAAGCUUCAAUUCUUCAAGUUUUAGUAAUGACAAAGAUAUUUGCAGAUGCAAUGAUAGUAGUUGCUACUGCGAAAACAAAUCAAUUAAUGUCCUUACAGUCCUCAAUUAAAAAAGAAAUUCAACCAAUUAUUAACACCACAAGAACAACCAAGAGAACAAUUUAAUAUAUCUCAACUAAUGAUUAGAUUUAAACAAGAAUCCGCAUCCAAAUUUACAAGUUCUGAUUUGAGAUCAGAAAUCAAUGAAAUGAAAAAUCAAAUAUCAAAGCUUGAACAUCUGAUGAAAGACGUAAAAAUGGAAGUUAGUAUUCUAAAGACAACAUCUUUAGAAAAUAAUAAUCCAACAAGUAAAAUAAAAAUUGAAUCGGAAGAAUCUAUCUCAGAAGAAGAGGAGAAAAUUCAAUCAGAAGAAGAAAAAGUUAAUGCAAUCAAUAAAGUCCAACUUCAAAAAUGGCAUUGUAUAGUAAACAACAUAUUCAAGCUAAAAUCUCUAGUCCUUAUUAACUCUGGAGCUUAUCAAAACAGUAUUAGGUAAUGAUUCAUUGUUACAAAAUAUUUUUGAAAAGAUCACUAAGCGACUAUAUGGAGCUAGAGGAAAGAAAUUAUAUAUACGAUAUAAACUUUCAAAAGCUCAUAUUUGUACUUAAAACAUUUGUUUCAAAAACAUUUCUAUUUGGUAAAAGACUUGGAUCAAGAAGUGAUCCUUGGAACACCUUUUAUUGUACAAAUUUAUCAUUUUCAAGCAAAUGCAGAAGCACUAAAAACUACAAGUCCGGGUCAAGAAAUUAUCUUCAAAUUCACUAAUACUCCUUCACACAAAGAUGUGAAUGCUCUCAAACAAGCUUCAAUUUCAAAAAUAAUUAAUAUACUAAUUAUAAAAAAACAACAUAUCAAGUUUAUCAAAGAAGAGAUUAAAUGUAAAUUAAUUAAAGAACAAAUCCGAGAACAUAAAAAUCAAGAAAAAAAUAAAACAAAUUGAAUCAGAAAUAUGUUCUACUAUCCCAAAUGCAUUUUGGUAUAGAAAGAAAUAUAUCGUUUCUUUACCAUAUAUUUCUAAUUUUAAUGAAUCAAGAAUCGCCACAAAAUCAAGACCAAUUCAAAUGAAUAAAGAAUUACUUGAUUAUUGUGUCAGAGAAAAAUUUAAUUCAUCCCAGUAAAUCACCUUGGAGUUGUUCAGCAUUUUAUGUCAACAAUCAAAGUGAAGUAGAAAGGGGUGCUCCAAGAUUAGUUAUUAACUACAAGCCUUUAAACAAAAUUUUUCAAUGGGUUAGACAUUUUUUGUCUCCAUAGAAAAAUUUAUUAAAUAGACUUCUUAAAACACUAAUAAUUUUCAAAAUUUUGAUUUUAAAUCCAGUCUUUAGCAAAUCCAAAUUGCUGAACAUGAUAAAUACAAAACUGUACUCAAUGUUCUAUUUGGACAAUAUGAAUGGAAUGUAACGCUAUUUGGAUUAAAGAGUGCUCUUUCAGAAUUCCAAAAAAUCAUGAAUGAUAUUUUUAAUCCAUAUCAAAUCUUUUUCAAUUGUUUAUAUUGACGAUGUUCUAAUUUAGUCAGAUGGUUUAGAACAACAUUUUAGAUAUUUAAAUGUCUUAUUCAAUAUAAUAAAGUCAAAUGGAUUUGCAAUUUCUACUAAGACAAUAAUUUUUUGUCCAACUAAAAUUAUAUUUUUAGGAUGUGAAAUUUAUCAAGGAACUAUUAUUCCAAUCCAGAGAGGCGUAGAAUUUUCAAAUAAAUUCUAGGUGAUAUUUUGGACAAAACUAGUCUUCAACAAUUUUUAGGAUGUGUCAAUUAUGUGGCCGACUUUGUACAAAACAUUAUGCAAAUAUUUGAACCCCUUUAUCAUAGACAUAGAAAAAUCUCACAAGGUGGAGUCAAGAACAUACAAUAGUAGUCAAGACCAUUAAGGAAGCCGUAAAAACUCUAUGUCUCAGUAUUGUAAAUUCAAAUGCCCUCCUCACCGUAGAAACCAAUGCUUCUUAGACAUAGGAUAUGGAAGAAUUUUCAAACAAGAAACUCAUGAUCAAGAACAAUUACUUCAAUAGCAUUCAAGAAUAUGGAUUGGUGCUCAAAAGAACUAUUCUAUUGUCAAAAAUGAAAUUUUAUCAAUAGUACUAUAUAUUACCAAAUUUCAAGACGAUCUUACCAAUAAAUCAUUUCUUGCCAAAAGGGACUAUAAAGCUUUAAAAGAUUUUUUUGCAAAAAGGUGUGAUGAAACUUAUCUCAAAACAAAUCCUUGUAAGGUGGGAAGCUAUUUUUUCAUGUUUUGAUUUUGAAAUCCAAUUUUACAUGAAAAAUCUAAUGUUUUACCAGAUUUUUGUACAAUAGAAUCCUUGCAAGGUAAGUGUAAGUGUUAUGCCCUAAAUCCAAUCGAUUUAGGUUGUAAACACUUUUAAUAUGUUUAAUGCAUUUAAUUUUGGCAAGAUCUAUUAUUUAUUUAAAUUAAUUUUGUGAUAAAUAAAAUUAAAUAAUAGAAUCCGAAGAUCCAAAUUUAAGUGAUUUGUUAAUCACAAGGAGUUGUGAUUGUGAGAUACAAAUUACAUAUGAUUGGAUCUUGAAUAAAUCGUGGUCAUAAGUAAUGACGAGAUACGGAUAUCGUUAAUACAGUUAGACCAUCACGUGUGGCAUUUCUAACUUGUGAAGUAAGUAGCUGAUCUUACGAGCUAAAGUGUGGUGACACUUAAAUGAACACGUGGAUAUUUUGUUAUAGAACAAAAUAUUGGAGAUCCGCUAGGAGAUUCCACAUAAAUAACUAUCUAAUCAAUGGUUAAUCUCUAACGUUCGGUAGUGGAAUUGGUCCUAUGACUUGAGGUCAUCAUAGUGCCUUGUAUGAAGACAGUCAUACUUUGACGGUGUUGGAUGUUGCUUUGCUAAAUGCCGCUAAUACGACAUCGUUCGGAUAUGUUAAGAACCAUAUGAAGGUUGUGAAUGACCAACAGAGAAUUCGUCACUCUUAGAAAGUAAGAGAUUGUGAUCUGCAUUUCGUUCAAUUAAGUCAAUAACGAAAUCCUUGGCCAAGGUAUACAUAUAAGUCGAAAAGGAGUUUUCGACUCAUAUUGACUUAAUAGUAGAAUGAAAGAUAUAAUCGAUAAUCAGGAUUGAUACACUUCCAUAUCUCAUAGUUGAUUGGAUCAUAUUGAUGAAGGGAUUAUAAUUUCAUGGUAAACGAACAGUUUUGGUUUUGUCAUACCACGUGACAUUUCCCGUCACAUGUGUUGCCCUGAUACAUUGCUAGAUGUCAAUCUGGGAUGGCGAGUGUGAAUUUAUGAUAAAUUAAAAGGGUGUUUAAUUUAUCAGUUUUGAUUAGAUCAAAAUAAUAUUUCACGUCGUUAGGCAUCGUGGUCGAGAACCUAAUGGGUCGCACAUAAAAGAGAAUUGGAAGAUUGCAAACUGUCAAUUAAUUAAUUUGACAAUCUUUGGAUAAAUUAAUUAGUUGGAUUGGUUAUUUAUAUCCCCGAAUUAAUUAAUUGAAUUAAUUAAUUUACGGAGCGGAUUUAAUUAAAUAUUGGACCAGACCGAGCCGAACCCGUUUGGGUUUAUAUAAAUAUAUGGUUAGGGUUUAAGAUCCAUAAGGUUUUCAUCAUUCUUGCUGGCACAAGAGGAAAAAUCCUAGCAGUUGUAGUCUAUUUUCUAUGUGUAUUUCAUUGGAGGCUGGAUAAUUGGACAGCUGUGGGAGGUAGAUUCAAGUUAUUGAAAAAGAAUAACGCAAAGGAGUUUGCAAAAUCAAGAAAAAGGUAUAUUUCUCAUCACAGUUCUUAUCUAAAUACAAAGCUAAAUCCUGAAUGAGAAUUGAAAUUGUUUAAUUUCGCUAUGCAUGUUUAAGUAAAUUCCCAACAGUGGUAUCAAAGCCAACUUUGUAUUUGUUAGGAAUUGAUUUACAUAUUGAUUAAAUUAAAAGUUGAUUUAAUCAUGUUUAUCCAUGAAUCUAGCAAUUGUAGUUUUAAUUUUAUUUCUUCAGAAUCUGAUUUUGAAAAAUCAACAAAAAAAAUUUUUUUUUGGGUCGAACGUUGUGGCAACGGGGGGUAGCGCGGCCACCGCCGUGCUAUAGCGUGACAGGAGCGCGCUGCUGCGCCGGAGCAGAGGCAGCAAUGCUGCUACAACAGCAGCACUAAGGCGCUGCUGGCAGCUCCUUAGCGCUACUUGCAGGGCGGGGGACUACGGCCUGUCCCCUACCAGGUAUUGGACGGGGGCGAAGUCGUCAACAGUAGAAGAAAAAAAAAUUAAUUUCUAGGGUUUUGGUUACAGACGGGGGCCUCAGAUGCAAAUUAUGCAAUUACGGGCCCUUGGUUGCAAUUAUGAAAAUGGGGCAGUUUGCAAAAUUUUAAAAAAGGGACCUGUUCUGCAAUUUUUUAAUUUGGAAGGGUCUGAUUUUAAUUUUCAACUUGGGUCAAUUUUAAAUUUCAAAAUGGUUUUGAAUUUGAUUUUUGAAAUGGUUUUAAAAUUAAAUCUUAAAUGGGUUCGACCAAAUAUUUUAAUUUUGACCCAAAUUUAAAUUUUUUUUAAAAAUUAACGACUUUUAUAUUUUGUUAAAAUUAGAUUUUAACUUAAAUAUUUAAUUUUGACCCUUAAUUGAACUUUUAUUUUAUUUGGGAGUUUUGUCCUAAAUUAAAAUAUUAAUUCAAUUUUAUUAGAGUUGGACUCUAGUAUUAUAUUAAUUAAAAUUUGUUUUGAAUUAAUAUCACUUACCAAUAUAAAUUAAAAUUUAGAGUAUGACUCUAAUUUAAUAAUUAAUUAAAAUUUGAUUUUGAUUAAAUUACUUCGCCCAAUAGUUAUGGAAUUAGAGUUGGACUCUAAUUUGGGAUUUAGUUGAAAUUUGAUUUUAAUUAAAUAGGCCCGCCAAUUAAGUUAAUUAAUUAAUAUGAUUAUUAAUUAUUUAAUUAUUUCGAUCCAAAAUUUUAAAUUAGUUUUGAUGACUAUAAUUUGCUAGAUUUAUGAGAUAUUGCAUAUAAUAUUAGAUAUUAUACAUAGGAAACAUUUAUAUGAUGAAUGUUUAUGGAUGAUUAUAGAUUCGACCACAUGGAUGUGUUGAAUGGUUGAUUUACUUCUUGUUGUUUUAUGGGCCUGCGAGCCCUUAAUUGUUUUGGACCUGCGAGCCCAUUGUUAUUAUUGUUGUUAUGGGUCUGCGAGCUCUUUAUUAUAUUGGACCUGCGAGUCCGUUGUUAUUAUUAUUAUUAUGGACUUGCGAGUCCGAUUUCUUUUAGGCCUGCUGCCAACUAGUAUAGGAUACAUGUUACAGUUUGACUAAUUGAAGGCGCAAGAAGAGGUGGACACCAUGGAGAUGGUGCAUUGGUGUUGAUCCAAUGNNNNNNNNNNNNNNNNNNNNNNNNNNNNNNNNNNNNNNNNNNNNNNNNNNNNNNNNNNNNNNNNNNUAAAAUUUAUCUUUUGUUGAGUACACUCAAGGAGAUAAAUUUUAGAGACAUGUUAAGUUAACACAUUAGAUGUUUGAAGACAAAAGAGUUGUCAGUUUAAUGAUCUGGGAGUUGUAUGGAGAUACAAUUGAUAAUAAUAUCUACCCAAAUAUUUUUAUUAAGAUUUGUUAAGUACACUCAAGAUCUUGAUACAACGAAUAAGAUCCCAACCCAUUGGGAAUCAAAUGUGGAUUCAAAUAAUUUAUGUAUGAGGGUCAUGAAUUUAUUUUAAACAGUGGGAGCACUUUUAAUUAAAGUCCAUAUUGAAUUUGAGCAUAUGUAUUGUAAUACAUAUUAAUUCUAUAUUUUUCAUCAUUUACAGUUUUUGAAUCAUGAGUAAUCAUAUGAAUUUGAGAGGUAUACUGGAUACUAACAAACUGACCGGACCAAAUUUUCUCGAUUGGCACCGUAAUUUGAGAAUCAUUCUCUAACGUGAAAAAAUUGGGUAUGUCCUUGAGCAGCCCUUUCCAGUGGUGCCUAUUGAAAAUUUCACUCAGGAAGAUAUGGCUGCUUACAACAAAUACAGUGAUGACGAUAAUACUACAGCAUGUGUGAUGCUUGCAGCUAUGUCACCUGAGUUGCAGAAGCAACAUGAGUGUAUGGAUGCUUACACUAUGAUUUUUCAUCUCAAGGAAUUGUAUGAUGAACAAUCUCGUGUGAAGAGGUAUGAGACCUCUAAACAACUAUACUGGUGCAAAAUGGCAUAAGGAUCAUCAGUCAGUGUUUAUGUGCUGAAGAUGAUUGGUUUCAUUGAAAAACUGGGUUCAUUGGGUUUUAUCAUGAAUCACGAACUAAGUAUUGACUUGGUUCUGCAAUCUCUGCCAGAUAGUUAUUCACAGUUCAUUAUGAACUUCAAUAUAAAUAAGAUCAAAUGCACACUCCCUGAGUUGCUUAAUAUGCUUAAAACUGUAGAGCUCAAUAUCAAGGCUAGCACUGGGCAUGUCUCAACUAUUCAUUCUUCCAAGGGCACUAAGACGAAAAUCAAAGGAAGUUUUAAAAAAAUAUCUAAAAAGUCUAAGGGCAAUAACAAAGCAAUCAAAGCAGGCAAGGACAAUACCAAAUCUGAUGACCCAUGUUAUCACUGUGGAGUGAAAAGUCAUUGGAAGAGGAACUGCAAGGCUUACCUCGCUAGCUUGAAGGGAAAGAAGUCUUCUGAAGCUUCUACUUCAGGUAUUUUUGUUAUCGAGGUUAAUAUGUCUACUUCAUUAGCUUCUUGGGUAUUAGAUACCUGAUGUGGAUCUCAUAUUUGUAUAAAUAUGCAGGGACUAAAGAGAAGUAGACCACUGCAGAAAAGAGAAGUUGACUUGCGCGUGGAAAAUGGAGCAAGAGUUACUGCAUUAGCUAUAGAGACAUACUUCUUACCACUGCCUUCGGGCUUAGUAUUCGAAUUAGAAAUUUGCUAUUUUGUUCCCGCCAUUACUAAAAACAUUAUUUCUAUUUCAUGUUUGGACAUGAAUGGUUUUUCAAUUCAUAUUAAGAACAAUCGAUGUUCGUUUUAUAAAGAUGAGAUCUUUUAUGGUUGUGGUGUGUUGCAAAAUGGAAUUUUUGUUCUUGAUACUGAGUCAUCUAUUAUGAAUAUAGAAAAUAAAAGGCAUAAAAGUGAUAAUCUAAAUAAUACAUACCUCUGGCAUUGCAGGCUGGGUCAUAUUAACAACAAACGCAUUUCCAAGUUACAUAAAGAUGGAUACUUGGGGUCAACUGAUUUUGAAUCAUUUGACAAAUGCGAGUCGUGCCUGUUAGGCGACCAAGUUCCCUUUUACUGGAAAAGGAGAAAGAACCACAGAACUGCUGGGACUAAUACAUACUGAUGUAUGUAGACCCAUGUCAAUAAUUGCCAAAGGUGGUUUCUCUUACUUCAUCACAUUCACUGAUGAUCAUUCCAGAUAUGGUUAUGUGUAUCUAAUGAAAUUCGAGCAUGAAGCACUUGAAAAGUUCAAGGAAUUCAAACUUGAAGUAGAGAAACAAACUGGUAAAAAUAUUCUCACGCUGAGAUCAGAUCGAGGUGGAGAGUAUUUAAAGGGAGAAUUUUUAGAUUAUCUAAAAGAGAAUGGGAUUCUCUCUCGCAGUGGACUCCGCCAUAUACACCUCAACAUAAUGGUGUAUCUGAACGGAGGAAUCGCACUUUGUUAGACAUGGUGCGAUCUAUAAUGAGCCAUGCAAACAUCCCAAAAUCAUUUUGGGGUCAUGCACUAAUUGCUGCGUGCUACACACUCAAUCAUGUCUCAUCUAAAUCGAUCGACAAAACUCCAAAGGAGCUAUGGAGAGGAAAAAGACCAAACUUAUCUCACAUGAAAGUUUGAGGUUGUGACGCUUAUGUAAAACGAAAUGAAUUAGAUAAGCUUGAGGCUAAAUCUGAUAAAUGCGUAUUUGUGGGAUAUCCAAAAGAGAUAAUUGGAUAUUAGUUUUAUAAUCUCGUUGAGAAGGUGUUCAUCUCAAGACAUGUCAUAUUCCUAGAGAAAGACUUUAUUCUAGGAGAGGGUAGUGGGAGCAAACUAGAACUUGAAGAAGUUCAAGAAUCCACAGAUACUGUUGACCAAUUAGAUGAACCUGAGUCUGAUCCUACACCUGUUGACGGAUAGACUCUUGAUCAGGAUGUAGAGAAUCCUGAGGACACUCCAGCUCAGCGUAAAUCAAGUAGGAUCAUUCGACCUCCCAGAAGGUACAAAUUCACGAUUACUAAUCAAGUUUUAUUAGUCGAGGAUGAUGAACCUACAAAUUACACAGAAGCGAAGUCAAGUGUUGACUCGAAGAGAUGGCAAGAAGCCAUGGAAUCCGAAAUGAAUUCAAUAUAUGAGAACAAGGUUUGGACCUUGGUCGACUUUCCAGGUGGUAUAAAACCGAUAGGUUGUAAAUGGGUUUACAAGAAAAAGGUCGAUGUGGAUGGAAACGUUCAUACAUACAAAGUAAGGCUAGUAGUGAAGCGUUACACACAAAGAUAAGACAUUGACUUUGAUGAAACCUUUUCACUUGUAGCCAUGCUAAAGUCCAUUCGGAUUUUACUUGCAAUAACUGCAUACCAUGAUUAUGAGGUAUGGCAAAUGGAUGUCAAAACUGCUUUCCUUAAUGGAAACUUACAAGAGGAGGUGUACAUGACACAGCCUAAAGGUUUUGAAUCCAAAGGAGCCAACAAAGUAUGUAAACUAAAUCGAUCCAUUUAUGGAUUAAAGCAAACCUCUAGGAGCCGGAAUCUUCAUUUUGAUGAGACAAUUAAGAGGUUUGAUUUUAUCAAAAAUGAAGAAGAACCGUGUGUUUACAAGAAGACAAGUGGGAGCGUGGUCGUAUUCCUAAUAUUAUAUGUGGAUGACAUAUUAUUAAUAGGAAACGACAUCCCAAUACUUCAAUCGGUAAAAUUAUGGUUGUCAAAAAAUUUCUCCAUGAAAGAUAUGGGAGAGGCAGCAUAUAUCUUGGGAAUCAAGAUCUAUAGAGAUAGAUCUAAAAGAUUACUAGGCUUAUCCCAAUCUUCGUACAUAGAUAAAAUCUUGAGAAGAUUUAAUAUGGAAGAGUCUAAAAGAGGUUUAUGUCCCAUGUCACAUGGGAUUUACCUCUCAAAAUAUAUGUAUCCUAAAACAUAUGAUGAAAGGAGUCGCAUGGAUAAGAUUUCUUAUGCUUUGGCGAUAGGAUCUAUCAUGUAUGCGAUGCUAUGUACGAGACCAAAUGUUUCAUAUGCUCUAAGUGUUACGAGCAGGUUUCAAGCAAACCCUGGUAAGAAACACUGGAUAGCGGUUAAGAACAUUCUUAAGUACUUGAGAAGGACUAAAGAUGUGUUCUUGAUCUAUGGAGGAAAUAAACUGAAGAUUCAUGGGUAUACUGAUGCCAGCUUUCAAACUGACAAAGAUGAUAGCAAGUCUCAAUCAAGAUAUAUGUUUACUCUCAACAAUUGAAUGGUUAGUUGGAAAAGUUCCAAAUAGGAGACAACCGCUGAUUCAACAACAGAAGCCGAGUACAUUGCUGAUUCUGAAACAGCGGAGGAAGCUGUUUGGAUCAAGAAGUUCAUUAAUGAACUUGGAGUAGUUCCUAGCAUUGUUAAUCCCAUACCUUUAUAUUGUGAUAACAAUGGAGCCAUCGCACAAGCGAAGGAACCGAGGUCUCAUCAACGAUCCAAACAUGUGCUAAGGCGAUAUCAUCUCAUCAGGGAGAUUAUACAAUGAAAUGAUGUAAUGAUAGAGCGAGUUCCUACAGAUGACAAUAUUGCUGAUCCAUUGACAAAGCCGUUGUCACAACAGAAACAUGAUCGUCAUGUGGACGCUUAUGGUAUUAGAUACAUGAGUGAUUGGAUCUAGUGCAAGUGGGAGUUUGUAAGUGUUAUUCCCUAGAUCCAAUUGAUUUAGGUUAUAAACACUUUUAAUAUGUUUAAUGCAUUUAAUUUUGGCAAGAUCUAUUAUUUAUUUAAAUCAAUUUUAUGAUAAAUAAAAUUAAAUAAUAGAAUUUGAAGAUCCAAGUUUAAGUGAUUUGUUAAUUACAAGGAGUUGUGAUUGUGAGAUACAAAUUAUACAUGAUUGGAUCUUGAAUAAACCUUGGUCGUAAGUAAUGACGAGAUACGGAUAUCGUUAAUACAGUUAGACAAUCACGUGUGGCAUUUGUUACUUGUGCAGUAAGUAGUUGAUCUCACGAGCUAAAGUGUGGUGACACUUAAAUGAACACUGAAUAUUUUCUUAUAGAACAAAACAUUGGAGACCCGCUAAGAGAUUCCACAUGGAUAACUAUCUGAGUGUCAGUGUUUAAUCUCUAACGUUCAGUAGUGGAACUGGUCCUAUAACUUGAGGUCAUCAUAGUGCCUUGUAUGAAGACAGUCAUACUUUGACGAUGUUGGAUGUUGCUCUGCUAAGGGCCGCUAAUACAACAUUGUUCAGGUAUGUCAAGAAUCAUAUGAAGGUUGCGAAUGACCAAUAGAGGAUUCGUCACUCCUAGAUAGUAAGAGAUUGUGAUCUGCAUUUCGUUCAAUUAAGUCACCAAGGUAUACAUAUAAGUCGAAAAGGAGUUUUCGACUCAUAUUGACUUAAUAGUAGAAUGAAAAAUAUGAUCGAUAAUCGAGAUUAACAGACUUCCAUUUCUCGUAGUUGAUCGGAUCAUAUUGAUGAAGGGAUUAUAAUUUCAUGGUAAACGAACAGUUUUGGUUUUGUCAUACCACGUGACAUUUUUCGUCACAUGUGUUGCCCUGAUACAUUGCUAGAUGUCAAUCUGGGACGACGAGUAUGAAUUUGUGAUAAAUUAAAAGGGUGUUUAAUUUAUCAGUUUUGAUUAGAUUAAAAUAAUAUUUCACGUAGUUGGGCAUCGUGGUCAGAAAUCUAAUGGGUCGCACACAAAAGAGAAUUGGAAGAUUGCAAAUUGUCAAUUAAUUAAUUUGACAAUCGUUGGAUAAAUUAAUUAAUUGAAUUGGUUAUUUAUAUCCCCGAAUUAAUUAAUUGGAUUAAUUAAUUCACGGACCGAAUUUAAUUAAAUUGAUUAAUUAAAUAUUGGACCAAAUCGGGCCGAGCCCGUUUGGGUUUAUAUAAAUACAUGGCUAGAAUUUAAGAUCCAUAAGGUUUUCAUUAUUCUUGCUGGUACAAGAGGAAAAACCCUAACAGUUACAGUCUAUUCUCUGCGUGGAUUUCAUUGGAGGCUGAACAAUUGGACAGCUGUGGGAGGCAAAUUCAAGUUGUUGGAAAAGAUUAACGCAAAGGAGUUUGCAAAAUCAAGAAAAAUGUAUAUUUCUCAUCACAGUUUUUAUCUAAAUACAAAGCUGAAUCCUGAAUGGGAAUUGAAAUUGUUUAAUUCCGCUGUGCAUGUUUAAGUAAAUUCCCAACAGUAAGAAAUAAAACUCUAUAAAUGGAGAGAGAGCCCGAGAAAAAAAGAAAGGAAAAAAAAAAUUAAGUGCUAAAGGAAAGAGUAAGAAAACUUUUGAUCAAGUUUUGUUACAAAGUGCCAACUCAAGAACAGCUUCAAUGUUUUCGCAAAAACAACUCAAGCAUCUAUACAUUCAAAUUCUCAAGCCUUAUCAAAUUUCCAAUACUUUCCAAGUCUUAGGAAGUUCUCCAAGACAAAAGAUUUCCUAGCUCAAUUUGGACUCUCUUUCAAGCCAGUAAAAUCAUUUGAUAUAUUUCCUCCAAAACCCUCUCAAAUUUCUCAAACAUCAAAAUAAACCAAUUUCAAAAGAGCAGUUUAAACAUGAUCUGAAAAAUUGCUUGUCAUAAUCAGCCUAAAAAAACCCAAAAUUUUCAAUAUUAUACAAAACCAAGAUUUUUACCAAUGAUAGAAAUGGAAGGAACAAGUUUAUUCUCAAAUAUACAAAUUCAGUCAAAAUUACUCAUAACCCAAGCCCUUAAGAAAUAAAUUUUCUAAAAUCAAGAUUAUUUAAGUUUUAACUUAUGAAGAGUCGAGACAGCAUCCAUGGUAAAAUAAGAAGGUUGAUAUUCAAGAAAUGUUUCACCUUCAAGGUUCAAUUAUUUUGAUCAUAUAAUGGCAUGGUACUAAGUGUUUUAUAUUAGAACAGUUUCCCACUCCUAGUUUAUUAUGUUCGAUCAUAAAUGCCGAAGUUCUUUUCAAAAUUGGUGUCAAGAUUGGUUCAUAUUCAUUGGACUUGAAGAAGAGAUACUUACCAAUCUCUUUUCUCAAGGUUUCAAAUAUUUCAAAGAAAACAGAACAAAAUUUUGCCAAAUUCAAGAAUAGCUCCUUUCCAAUUUUCAAUAACUUUUAAAUUAUCAUGGACAUUCUGCUGGGAUUUUCAAAUUGCAAAAGAAGCUGCUUCUGACUAUGCUCCAAAGAAAAUAGUUAAACGUCUCAAGAUCAAGUGGUAGGAAAGUUCUCAAAAACUGAUGUCUGCUCGAAAGCAGUUCAAACAUUGCUUGAUGGUUACGAAUAUUGACAAAAAGAGAUAAACAAGUUUUCUCCAAAGUCAAGAAAAGCAAGCUAAUUUUUUAACAGAAAAAGGAAGCUUAAGUCAAUGUUAGUUCAAUGCAAAAAUAUAAAGGAAUUCACUUAUGUAGCACAACAAUUAGCUGUUUUAGCAUAUUCGGCCUCAAAUGCCACUAAAGCCUCCAAAGCCUGCAAAUUAAGCUCAAGGUCACAAACUAAAGACUAUGCCCAAGACAAUGGAGAAGAUGAUUUUGUUGAUGAUCAAUAAUUCAAAAAUAUCAAAAAACAAUGGAGUAAGAAAUAAUUGUCCUUCAAACUUUACAGCAAGUGGAGAAGACAGCUGUACUUUUAAGUACUUUAAAAGUAGCUUAUUCAAAAAGGCAAGUGACAGAUGUAAUUGUCCUUCAUCCUUCAAAAUCAAAUUGCCAACAACUCUUUUGAAAAGAAGAUGGUCAACCAUCCUUUCAAGAUUCCUUCAAAAAAUUAAUAAAAUUUUCAAGUCCUGAACACCCGAAGACCUCUGUAAGAGGAGAGAAACUCUUCAAGAAGAAAAUCAGAGUGUAAUUUUUAAAAUUUUUCUCUAUGUUGUGUCAUCAGUUCAACAUUUUAGAUUUUCGAUUACUAUUCUUGAUCUUUAUUUAAAGAAUAUUUCAAGAAAAAUUGUAACCGUUCAAGUUGUUACUAUUCAAAAGUCAAAAUUAUUGUUCACUAUUCAGCAAUAUAUGUAAAUUACAUAUGAAAUAAUACUAUAAUAUAUUAAAGGUUGCAUUAAUGAUAGAUAAAUUAUAAGUUAAUUUUAUGUAGCCUCCUUUUAAGUCUAGGGUUCAUUAAUUAAAAUAUAAAAUAAUAUUUAUUACGAUUUUAAUAUAAUUACUCCAAUAUAAAACAAUGACCAUUAUCCUUAAAUGGAUAUUAAAUGAAGAUAAAUUAUAUUAAAUGGUACUAUAUAUAAGAGUAGAAUUGACAUAUAGUUUAAUAUAUAAUGGUAAAAUUGGUAUUCAAAAGUCCUUGUCUAUUCUCACUUUUAAUUUCUAACACGACCUUUUAAGCAGAAACCUCAAAUUAGAAAUCCAUCCAUGGUGGAGCCGUAGUUGCUAACUAGGUAAUAAUAUCAUGAAUUUUCUGAUGGAUGAAUAUCCAAUUAAAAUACACGACAUAAUAUUAACAUUGGCUUACUUAGUUCGAUUGAUUUCAAGGAGAUCAAUAGUCUAAAGGAUAUAUGAAUAAGCAUUUCUUCUUUAAAUAUCAUAGAAUUUCUUCAAAUACAGUUUCAUCUGUUGGUUUUGAUUAUGUGCAAGGAUUGAAAAUGAGGAAAACAAGUGGAUCCUCUGUUAGAAUGCUCAAGGCUCAUGUUAGUGCUUCCUCAUGAUGUGUUCCAAACUAUGGUUUAUAAAUAUUAUAUAAACUCUAAACUAUCAAAAAGGUUGCCACAAAGGUUAUGAGUAAUGGUACUUAUCGUCAUGACGUUAAAUCACUGAUGAUGUGACAACUCAUUAUCCCUCACAUUUCUAUUUCUCUCCUCCCCCUCUCUCUCUCAUAUAAAUUGAACUAUUCAAUCUCAUUAUUACACAUAGACUAUCACAUCAUCAUGAUGAUAAACAACAUUAUUUAAAUGUUAUAGUAAGACGUUUGCUAUUAGCUAAUACUUUUUAAGUUUUUUUAUGUUUGUUUAUGUUGAUUGUAAGUUAAAAUGAGCUAAGAUUUAAGGAUGUAUUGAAAAUCCAAGUAUGGGAAAUAAUUGUCUAACUUCCAUUUACAAAGUAAUGUAAGUACAAGUAGGUCUUCACAUGGUAUAAAACAAUUCUUUACAAGGUCUUAAGUAGUGCUCGAAAAGGUUUUCAAUGUCGAAUGCUAACUUAAAUAGAACAAAACGGAAAACUCAUGUCUUGAGUGAGUUUGUUAUUUGUGCAUAGAGUCAUUUAGUGAGCUCGAUUAUCAUGGUUUUGGGCAAUCACUUGGGUUGGAACAAAUUAUCAUGAUUAUACUUAUUCGACAUUACUAGAAAAAGUUUAGUGAAUAUUGAAAUAUAAUCCCAUAUUAUGGAGAUGAUAUUUUACUCUCUACAAGAAAAUAAUGUUAUUCAUUAUAAGCAAUAAUUAUUAUCGGUUUAGGUAGUUAUACACCUCUAGAUUUAUUGUAUUCAUGAUCACAACUAAUGGUGAAAUAUAGUAAUUCCUAGAAGGCAAAAAUAGAGUUCAGCUUAGUAUCAAAACAAAGCAAACAUAAGAUAGAAGUUAUUUGAUGUUUUAUUUAAUAGUGCACACAAUACCUAGUAACAAGAUGAGAAUGUGAAAGAGAAAAAAACAAGAGAUCAUCUCUUAUUACGCUCACAAUGUUGGAAUAAUUCCAUAUGUGGGCUUCACAUUCGAUUGCAAAUUUUACAGGUUAGAUGUAUGGCUCAUAAUGAUAUUGUGUUUGGGCCAAAUUUAUUAAGUGAUCAAUUGGGUCUUUUACACCUUACGAGUUGUAAUUAAUUUGAUGUGGUAAUUUUAAGUAUGUGAGCCGGAAAUAAAUCCUAAUUAAAAUUCUAGUCGUAAUGGGACGGCUCAAAUUAUUUCCUAUAUAUAAAGGCUAGUUCAUCUCUCCUCUUCAUAUGUUUUAUUGACUUGCCCCAUUGAUAACUGAUAUUUUGUGAGGAGCAAGGAGUAGAAUAUCUUGACUGCUAUUACAAAUAUCAUUCAUAUCAACAAUGGCUUCCGCAUGUAUGAAUUAGUAUUUAUAAAUUUAUUGGAAUGUGAUUAUCAAUUCUUAACAUGGUUAAAACUAAAUUAAACAAUUGGUAUCAGAGCAGCAUAUUAAGAUCGAAAUCCUUAAUGAUUUUUUUUCUUAUCUCACGUUGAAAAACGUCUUCUGUGCAUACAUUAAAAUUAUAUGUAUAAUGUAUAGUUCAUUGUAUAACACGUACGUAGAUUUACGGUUACCAAUGUGUCAUUGGAUUAAUUCCUAUUUCCUUCACGUGGUUGAGUAACCCACAAGCAGGAACAAUAAAUGCUUAUAGUGUCCCUCUCUCUCCUCCUUUUAUAUAAAUGUGUGUGUGUGUGUGUAUAUAUAUAUAUANNNNNNNNNNNNNNNNNNNNNNNNNNNNNNNNNNNNNNNNNNNNNNNNNNNNNNNNNNNNNNNNNNNNNNNNNNNNNNNNNNNNNNNNNNNNNNNNNNNNNNNNNNNNNNNNNNNNNNNNNNNNNNNNNNNNNNNNNNNNNNNNNNNNNNNNNNNNNNNNNNNNNNNNNNNNNNNNNNNNNNNNNNNNAUUUAUAGACAUACAUAUAUAUAUGUAUAUACACAUAUAUAUGUAUAUAUACACACGUAUAUAUAUGUGUGUCUAUUUAUAACCAUGCUAAUUUGAAUCUUCAAUUGAAUUUGUGUGUGAGUUUUUGUCUAUGAUGAUUAUCAAGAAUACAAAAAAAUGAAUAAAAAAUAAAUAAAUAUUUGGUUGAUCAGCGGCAGCAUGUUGCUGCCGCACGGGUUGCAUCGCCAGCAGGAAAGGUAGAUGGGGGCUUCUGUCGUAAAUAAGUAAUCGUCAAACCCCUGUUUACAAUUAUAAAUUGGGGGUUAGGUUUUGUAAAUAAUAAAAUGAGGGCCUAUCAUGUAAUUUAUAUAGUUGAAGGACCUGUUAAGCAAUUUUGGGUACUGGGGACCUGAUUUUAGUUUGAAUUUAGGGUUAAAAUGUAAUUUUCAAUAAGGGGCUCUUAAUUUGAACAUUUAAAGUUUUGACCCUAAAUUUUAAUUUUGACCCAGUUAAAAAUUUUAUUCAGUAAUUGACUCAAUUGAAAUUUAUUAAAUAGUACUAAUAAUUUAAUUGACAACUUUUGUAUUAUUUCAUGCAUUUAAAUGUUGACAUUAUUUGCGCGCUUAAAUUUCAAUUUUUAUAUGCUGACAUAUUGAAAUUUGUUGCCCUGUUUUGUCUUCAAAUCACAUAUAAAUUUUGCCGUUUAUCGAUUAAUGAUUAUGAUUUGUUACAUAAUUAUUGUUUUGUGAUUGUAUUUUUCAUGGACAUUGAGAUGAUUCUUAUUUUCCCAUUGAGAGGGAAAUAUUUUGAAAUAAAAAUGGGCGGUAGCGACAAAAAUGGCACACUCAUUAUUAUUUAUUGGAUUUUCUCUGCAAUAAAUAAAUAUAUAUUUUUGCGCACCAAUUUUGAUUUAUUGCAUAUAAUAUCUUGCCCAAAGGUGUUAUUAAAUGUAAUAUUUUUUGGAAAUGGUAUAAGGCGGUUAACGAAUUUACCUUGGUCUAGAAAUUUCCUUCUGCCCAAAAGUGUUGGUGUUUCAAAAAUCAGUGUAAUUUUGUUAAUUGGCUACAUGAUGUGUUUUAAGAGUACCUUAUAGCAUGUUGUAUUGUCGCCCCAAAGGUGACUUUAUAAUGAUGCAUCUAGGCUCUUACCGUAAUAAAAUUCAUAUGUUUCGAUUUAAAUUACGGAUUAUCUAAUUAAUAGCCCAUAUUAGUUAGUUGGAUAUUACAUCAUCCAUUUGAUUGCAUGCAUUACAUUUGGAUGAUAUUAAGAGUAAUAUUUUAUGUUUCCACAGUUUAUAAUGAUUCAUCUCUUUCGAAUCAAUUGUCUGCUAUUGAAACCUUGAGUGGGAAUAACUAUGUGAUAUGGAAACGAGACGUAGAAAUAAUACUUGGUCUUUUAGGCUUGGAUUUUACAAUGGAGAAAAAGCUUGAGAAACCCACAGAUAUGAAUACUGUUGAAUCUGUAGCCGAGCAUGAAAAGUGGGAAAGGGCUAACAAACAAACUUUGCUCGAAAAUCAUUUAGCGAUCAAUAUCUGAUUCCAUUCUAGGUGCCAUCCCCCGAUAAUGAAAAUGCCAAAAGUUUUAUGGAUGCCAUAGGAGAAAAAUUUAUUGAGUCUGAUAAAGCCCAAACUGGAGAUCUGAUGGAUAAACUAAUGAACAUGAAAUAUGAUGGUACAAGUGGUGUUAGAGAGCAUGUCAUGAAAAUGAUAAAUAUAUCAUCGAACCUAAAAGCUCUUGACAUUCCCAUUGUGGAGCCUUUCCUAGUUUAUCAUGUUUUGAAUAGCCUUCCUAGCAAGUUUAAUCGGCUUUAGGUUGCUUACAAUGCUUAGCGGGAUAAAUGAAAUUUGAAUGAUCUCAUAACAGUGUGUGCCCAAGAAGAGUAUAGGAUGUACCAUGAAACUGUUGAAACUGUGCAAUUAGCCUUUCAGCCAUUGCAGAAUAAGGAGCCUUCUCAUAACCAUAAAUCUAAGUUUCGUAAGGGUAAUAAGUCCCAUCAAAGUGAACAGAAUAAAAAUUUUAGUGGUCCCAAAGGAGUAUAAAGAAAAAUGAUUAAUGCAAGUUUUGUAAAAAGAAUGGUCACUGGCAGAAAGACUGUUUUAAGUUCAAGACUUGGUUAGAAAAGAAGAAGAGUUCUCGAGGUAUUCCCUUGGCCUUAGUUUGUUUUGAGUCUUCUUUAGUAGAUGUGCUUUUGAAUUCUUGGUGGUUAGAAUCGGGAGCUAGUAUUCAUAUUGUGAAUCCCUUGCAGGGAUUCACAAGCAAAUGGAGGCCAAGUGAGAAUGAAGUAAGCUUGAGCGUUGCAAAUGGAGUUCAAGUGAAGGUUGAAUUCAUAGGAGCAGUGAAGUUGACUUUAGAGUCUGGUUUUUAUCUUGUUUUGGAAAAUACAGUUUAUGUACUGCAGAUGAGACGAAAUUUAAUUUCUAUACCGAAACUUGAUGCUUGUGGUUUUAUAUUUAAUUUUGGUAAUGGAAUGGUUAAGUUAUUUAAUGAUUCUCGUUUGAUUAGGAAUGACAUUUUAUGUGAUGGUUUAUAUAAAUUAUCUUUGACUCAUUUUGGUGAUGUCUCGUGUGUUACAAAUGUAUCAAAGAAAAGGACUUUAAUUCGUGAAUCAUCCUCUAUGUUGUGGCAUAAGCGUUUGGAUCAUAUUUCUAAGGAUAAAAUGGAAAGAUUAGUAAAAGAUGAGAUACUUCCCUCUUUAGACUUCUCUAAUUUUGAAACAUGUGUGGAUUGUAUAAGAGGAAAGCUAACUAAAUCUACAAACAAGGGUUCGACUAGGAGUAAUGAAAUUUUGGACUUAAUUCACAUUGAUAUCAGUGAACCUUUGCCUUCCACCAUAUGUGGGAACAAAUAUUUUAUAACCUUUAUUGAUGAUUUCUCACGACAUGGAUUUGUUUACUUGAUUAACGAUAAAUCACAGGCACUUGAGAAAUUCAAAGUUUUCAAACUAGAAGUAGAGAAACAAUAUGGAAAAAGUAUCAAAGAUGUAAGGUCUGACUGUGGUAGUGAGUACUAUGGGAAAUAUAACGAGUCUGGUCAAAAUAUGGGUGAUUUUGCAAAGUUUUUACAAAAGUGUGGAAUAGUGCCCCAAUAUACCAUGACAGGGACACCUGAGCAGAAUGGUGUUUCUGAAAGACGUAAUCGAACCCUAAAAUAUAUGGUUAGAAGUAUGAUGAGUAGAACAAAUUUGCUUGAAUAUUCGUAGGGUGAAGCUUUGAAAACUACUAUGUAUAUUUUGAACAGAGUUCCAAAAAAAGUUGUUGCAAAGACACCUUUUGAAUUAUGGACAGGACGUAAGCUAAGUUUGACUCACUUUAAAGUUUGGAGAUGUCCAGCUGAGGUUAGGAUUUAUAAUCCAUUUGAAAAGAAAUUAGACCCUAAAUUAACUCCUGGCUACUUUAUUGGGUAUCCGGAUAGAUCAAAGGGAUAUAAGUUUUACUGUCCAAAUCGCGGCACUAGAAUUGUGGAGUCCAUUACUGCUAAGUUUCUGGAGAAUGAUUUUGGAGAUAAUGGGAGUUCCACGUUGAGAGAAAUUCUUGUUGAACCUAAUCAAGUUCUUGUUCCAGUUCCUAUUAUAUAUGAAAGAGUUGGUUCUCAACUAAUUGAAGUUGUUAAUGAGAAACAGAGGAACCAGGAGGAACCUCCAAUUCCUCAAACAAUGAUUGAAUUGUUUUCUGAGCCACAAGUUAGGAGGUCACAAAGGAAAAGAAAAUCUGCAUUGCCCAGUGAUUAUAUUACAUAUUUAUUGGAGAGCGAUUUUAAUAUUGGGCAUAUUGUUGAUCCUGUAACUUAUAACCAAGCAUUGACAAAUCUUGAGGCAGAUAAAUAGAUAGCUGCCAUGAAAGAUGAAAUGAAUUCCAUGGAAAAGGAAUAAAGUUUGGGAUCUUGUUGAACUUCCUCCAGAUACUAAGGCUAUAGAUAACGAGUGGAUUUUCAAAAGUAAAUUAGAUUCAAAAGGAAAUGUUGAAUGAAAGAAAGCAAGAUUGGUUGCAAAAUGUUUCACUCAGCGAGAGAGCAUUUAUUAUGUUGAAACAUUCUCCCCUGUUUCGUCGAAAGAUUCUUUUCGAAUUAUCAUGGCUCUUAUAGCACACUACAAUUUGGAGUUUUAUCAAAUGGAUGUUAAGACAAUAUUUUUGAAUGGAGAUCUUUCUGAAAUGGUUUAUAUAAAACAACCUAAAGGAUUUGUUGUUAAAGGAAAAGAAAACUAUCUUAAAACCAGUGGAAGAAAUUUUAUUUUCCUUAUAAUAUAUGUUGAUAACAUUUUGCUUGCUAGCAGUAACUUAGGGCUGCUUCAUGAGACAAAGAAAAUGUUGUCUGCUAAUUUUGAGAUGAAAGAUCUUGGAGAAGCUUCCUAUGUACUUGGCAUUGAAAUACAUCGUGAUAGAAAUCAUGGCUUAUUGGGACUUUCUCAGAAAGAUUAUAUACGACGUGUUCUAGAAAUGUUUAAUAUGCAAAAAUGUGCACCUGGUGAUGUACCUAUCAUAAAAGGAGAUAAGUUUAACAAAACUCAAUGUCCAAGGAAUGAGCUAGAAAGGGAGUCUAUGAAGAUGAUUCCAUAUGCUAGUGUUGUGGGGAGCUUGAUGUAUGCUCAAGUUUGCACUAAUCUAGUCUAAUCUACAACAAGAGCAUUGGAAAGCAGCUAAGAAAGUUAUGAGAUAUUUGAAGAAAACUGAAGGUUAUAUGCUUACAUUACAGCGUACAAAUCAUCUUGAGGUGGUAGGAUAUUCAGAUUCUGAUUUUGCUGGAUGUUAAGAUGAUUUGAAUCAACCUCAUGUUAUAUUUUUACAUUAGCUGGUGGUGCCAUUUCUUAGAAAAGUGCUAAACAGACUCUAGUGGCAUCUUCUACUAUGCAAGCUGAAUUUGUGGCAUGUUAUGGGGCUACACUCCAAGCCGUUUGGUUAAGAAAUUCUAUCUCUGGCUUGAAAGUUGUUGAUUCCAUCUCAAGACCGAUCACCAUCUACUGUGAUAAUAGUAUAGCAGUAUUCUUUUCAAAGAAUAAUAAAAGUUCUGGUGGAUCAAAACAUAUUGACAUCAAAUAUUUGGUUGUUAGAGACAGAGUCAAAGAAUGGCAGACGAAAAUAGAGCAUAUCAAUACAGAGGCGAUGAUUGCAGAUCCCUUGAUUAAGGGAUUUGCUCCAAAAGUCUUUAAGACACAUGUUACUAAUAUGGGUAUUGUGGAAACAUUUGAUAUUUUUAGUUAGUGGAAGUUAUUUAUGUAAAGAACUACGUUUUGGGCUUGAUCCCUUUGCGGGGUACGUAGGCAACCCAUAUGUUUUCGAGUACAGCUCCUUUUGACAAUAGAAUAUUUUUUCCCUAUUCAUGGACUAUUUUGAGCAUGUAUUUGACUUAUGUUUUUUAUUAUAAUAUUAUUAUGAUCUUGAGAUAUGACAUGUAAAGGCAUAAGAUGUGUCUCUUUUGGAGACAUGUGGCUUCAUUUUGAUGAAAAGUAUUAUGAGGACCGAUAUGAAUUAGCACAGUUUUGAUCACAUUUGGUGCUAAGUUCAUACCACAUACUACCACAUUGGUUGGAGGAUGGGAAUCCAUGUCGAUAAGGAUGUUGACAUUUGUAGCUGUGGAAUGAUCUUACAUCGCUUAAUUGGUGUAAUAACUUCUAUGUUCGGUGUUUAUAUUCUUGUUGGAUCGGAUCAUGUUACGUAAGGUUACAUCAUUGGAGUCAUACUUUUGUAGCCACCUAUGUAGUCUAACUCGGGUGUUAAAACUUUGUUAUAGCAAUCAAAUAUUUGCCGAAGUGAGAGAAUGUUGGAAUAAUUCUAUAUGUGGGUUUCACAUUUGGUUGCAAAUUUUACAGGUUAGAUGUAUGGCUCAUAAUGAUAUUGUGUUUAGGUCCAAUUUAUUAAGUGAUCAAUUGGGCAUUUUACACCUUACGAGUUGUAAUUAAUUUGAUGUGGUAAUUUUAAGUAUGUGGGCCGGAAAUAAACAUUAAUUAGAAUUCUAGUCGUAAUUGGAUUACUCAAAUUAUUUCCUAUAUAUAAAUGCUAGGUCCCCUCUCCUCUCCAUAUGUUUUAUUGGCUUGCCCCAUUGAUAGCUGAUAUUUUGUGAGGAGUAAAGAGGGGAAAACCUUGGCUGCUAUUACAACUAUCAUUCAUAUCAACAAUGACUUUCACAGAUAUGAAUUCGUUUUUAUAAAUUUAUUCGAAUGUGAUUAUCGAUUCUUAAUAUGUUAAAACUAAAUUAAACACACAAAUGUCUCAGAAGGCUGACAAAGUAUCUCCUGCUAGAAAAGAAAAUGUUUACAAUCCAAUUGAAUAAGUGAAAAGCAAAUUUUUAGAGAAGCGUAGUAUACCAGCAACAACUAUUGCUCUGUUUACUAGUUUCUAUAAAGUUCCAAAAUUUUCACAAAAUAAAAUUAAUUAUUUUAUAUGCUAUAUAUUUAAUACUUUGGAAAUUUGGGGGCGUGGGGGGGGGACUAAAGUGACAUAUGAAUUAAUUCAAUUUUAUUUGGAUCAAAUAUUUAGAUUUCAAUAGGGCGAAGAUAAGUAUAUUAAUAUUGGAUUAGUUGGAUAGCUCGUAGUUAAUUAUCUAUUUUAAGCCCAAAAAAAGUUUGAUUCGAAUACGUCAGUCCCAAAUUAUUUAAGUUUAAAGAAAUUAUUUGCUUAGUAUUUGAACAAAAUUUGGUUUCCUAACUGUGAAGGACGGCAACCACGUGUGUAUAUGGUUCAAAAGGGGUAAUUGAAAAAGUAGUUUCCUUUUAACUUUCCUUUUCAUGUCCUAUUGAAUAUUUUCAUAUACUAAUCAUUUUCCUCUACUCCUCACAAUUUAGAAUGAAUCGUUAGUUGGCGGGCGAUGAUGUAUAGUUGUAGUCUCAUGAUUUAUGGAACUCAAUAAAAAAAUUAAUUAAAUAUGGUGUAACGUGUCUAUGGUUUUUAUUUUUAGCAUUAUUCAAGUUUUAUUUUUAUGUGAAGUUUGUUAUUUAGGAUUUGGAAUAUAUUUUAUUUGAUUAUGCUUUCUAUAUGUUUUAUUUAAUAUUGGUAUGUUUGAUUUAUUUAUUUACGAUAUGAAUAAGAUAUGGCGUAGGAAAAUUUUUGUUCUUUCCUUUUUAUAAAUGCAUAUAUAAAAUUUUCUGUAAGAAUUUGAGUAAAUUACAGUUACAAAUUUUGUAGAUAUUGCAUGUCAUGUUAUUUAAAGUUUGAAUGAAACUUUUGGUAACGAUUUAAAUGUCUUAAAAAUUAGCUCGUUACAGUUUAAUAUCAUAGCCCAGAUUUUACUUUUUCUUAGACCAUAUAAAUUCUAAAAGUUCAAACUAUGUGUGUCAAGAAAAAAAUCAUUUCGUGAGUAGUGCACGUCAGUGUUCGUUGAACACUGUUCGUGUGAACAGUGAAAAAUGAUUAAAAAAUUUUAUUUUAAAUGAUUAUUUAAUGUAGAUGUGUGUGUGUGCAUGUAUGUGAGUGCGUGUAUCCAAAAUUUAAAAAGAAUGUUAAGGAUGUCGCCUGCAAGUUUUUAAUGCUAUUGUUGUACCAAAAACCAUCAGUUCCCAGCUUCAGACUUCCAAAAAGAUUUGCCCAAUCAAAUGUUUUUUUUUUCGACUGGCCCAUCUACAGCCUCUUUAUAAUUAAAAGCCCACUUAAUAAAAAUUUUCAAAUUCUAGAAGUUAGAAUGUUAGAUUGUAUACCUCAUUUCUUUAAAGAGUUAAAACAUAUAUAUAAUUGAUUAAUUUAAAUUGUCACACGUCUAGUCUAACUUUGCGUGGUAUUUGUUAAAAAAAUAGUUAAUAUAUAUAUAGUAUACCUCAUUUCUUUAAAGAGCUAAAACAUAUAUAUAAUUGAUUAAUUUAAAUUGUCACGCGUUUAGUCUAACUUUGCGUGGUAUUUGUUAAUAAAUAUAUAUAUAUAUAUAUAUAUAUAUAUANNNNNNNNNNNNNNNNNNNNNNNNNNNNNNNNNNNNNNNNNNNNNNNNNNNNNNNNNNNNNNNNNNNNNNNNNNNNNNNNNNNNNNNNNNNNNNNNNNNNNNNNNNNNNNNNNNNNNNNNNNNNNNNNNNNNNNNNNNUCUUAAAUAUAUAAGAAAUUGAAAGACUUUUGGCACUCAACGACCACUAAUUGAGCACCUUCCGACAACUCCAAGCUAUGUAAAGGGGUAAGAAGAGGAGUUUAUUUAAACCUUUACAUAACUUAAAUCUUUUAAUUGCUUGUUUUUACAUUUUGUUAAGACAUGCAAGUUUGUUUUCUAGCUAAAAUUUAUGAUAUUUAUUAUGAGAAUAUAUCUAUAACAUGUUAAACUUAGUACUAGUAUGUGACGGGUGGCUUAAUCUUAAAUUUUAGGAAAUGACACGACUACCCACACGAAUUUGAUGCAUGAUUUAUUGUGAGUAGUACAAGAGCUAAGCAGGCAGAAUCAAGCACCCCACCACAAAAUGCAUCGCCACAGCAGAAUGCACAUCCCUUUGUCCCUGAAGCUGUUUCAGUGGUUGAGCAGUUUCUAACCACCGACUGCCAAGGAGUAGUUAAGAGGUCUGGAGCGCAUAUUUUGACACGUCGCUUGUACGGAUGUACAUGAGGUAUUAUCCAUAGAAUUCAUGUUUGUUGGAGCAGCCAAUCGGUGGUGGGAAUCUGUCUCUCGUACUCGGACUGAAAAACAGUAGCGCAACAUGACUUGGGAGCAGUUAACGAUAAAGUGAUAGUAAAGUAUUUUCCACAGGCUUUGAGAGACUUCAAAGAAUCAGAGUUUCAGCAACUCAGGGAGGUAGACAUGUCACUUCCUGAUUACAAGAGACAGCUUGAGUAGCUCUCAAGAUAUUCCUUGCACUUGGUAGAUACCGAAGUUAAAAAAGAUCAGGACGUUUGAAAAUGGACUGUGACUGGAGAUCAGCAUGAUCAUAAUGUCUUAUCGUUUUACUUCAUAUCAUGAAAUGUUGGAGAUAGCUCAUGCUAUUUCAUAUCAAAUAACUACAUUUAACUAGUAUGCCGAGCAAGACAAGGAGUCAUUGGGAAAAAGAAACUACUACUCCUGUACGGUCAUCAUAAAGGACUCUCCAGUGAAAAUGUCUCCUAUCGGUAUGCUACCACUGAAGAUCGACCCAUCUGAAACACUCAUCUUUUGAAUUGACAGUGAAUAACAGUAGUACGCGCAUUUGAUCAUGUUCGACUGUAUUUGAUUAUGUGAAUUUCUAUGUAUGAAAUUCUAAAAGUUCCUCCUCUAUUUUAUAAGAUGUCCGUCAAUAAUAUUGAAUUGAACAUUAUUUUUCAAUUUUCUAUUUAAUUGUAUUUUGUUUUUCUUAUGUCGACACAUUAUGUCUUGGUGCUAUUUUCAUUCAACGAGCAACUACUGCAGCAUGGCCCUGUUCAUGCAAUUGAAGCCUUAUGGCUUGCUGGGAGAUCAAACAAACCUGAAAAAGUUUAACAUGUGAGGCUUGCUUUUUCUUUGGCUUUCCAAAGAGGUUUAUUUCAAUACUUUGCCAACUAGUACACUAUAUCUCAGAAUCGGUAGCUUCUGUUGGUAAUGUUAAGUAGCUAUAUUGGAGGUCAAAGUGAAAUUUUAGUUGUAAUUUCUACUCUUUCUCAGUUCUUCCGCAUACACGGUGUAAGGCAAGAGCUAAAGCAAAAGUUAAAACAGGUUAGGUAGUAGACUUCUGUCAACACGCAAUUAGCAAUGUUCAUUCAAAUCAUUCCAUAAUUUAUUGAAGCAUUCUCUUUUUAAAGUCACCAGUUAUUUUUAAUGAAGUAGGUCAUUGUGUACUGUAGUUACACUUCAAUUGGCAAAAAAAUUGAAAAUUAUAUGUUUAAAAUAAAAAUCCAAGAAUUACAUAAAUAAAGAUAAAAUAAGUUUGGUAAUAAUUGUAUUUCAUUGAAGUGACAAACUCUUUGUGUUGCGAAAUAAAUUUAAAUACAAGCACAUCUAGUAUUGUAAAUCUAUUGUCAUAAAAUAAUUUAUGCAAUAAUUUUAUAUGUUGUAAAAUAAAAUAUUUGACAUAUAUAAAUAAUCACGAAAUAAAUUAUCCAAUAACUAUAUAUAAUAAUGACGCAACAAACUCUUUAUAUUGCGAAAUAAAUUUAAUUAGAAAAAUCACUUGUUACAUAAUAAAUUUUACUACAAGUAUUGAAUAUCUGAAAAUAAAUUAUAUGUCAUAUCAAAGAAAUUGUAAAUCAUAUUUCAUGACAAACAUGACUUGUUAUUAAAAAUAUAUCACUACAAGCAUGUGUUGUUGCAAAAUAGAAUAGAUAACAAAAGUUAUAUCUUUAACAUAAUAUUCACAACAAACAUUUUCUCACAAAAACAUUUCUGGAAUAAUAAUUGCGACAAACUAACUUGUCGCUAUCUUUAUUUUUCGCGACCUAUAUGCUUUGUAACGACAUUAUAUAUGGCGACAAAUUACUUGGUGCUAUUUUGUAUUUUUGCUUCAAACAAAUAGUGUUUCGAGUUUGUUAAUGUGAUGAAUCAACAAAAGAUUUUGUAAAAAAUAUUUUAUGACUCAUAUAGCACGACAACGUUUGCAACAAAUAUAUCAUCGUCGCAAAAUUAUUUUUGCAACAAAAUAUCUAUUUAUGUGACAACAUUUUUUUGUAGUGAUUUCGGUAUGUUGUUUUAGUGGAUGAAUGCUAAUUUGGGAAGAACAUGUGUUUUGAGUGUGGUAAAUCAGGACACAUUGCUCUCAACUAUACAAAGCCUCUAAAGAGAAAUGAUGAUGAUUAGGAUAAGAACAAGAAAUGGAAGACUCGAGUUUUUGCAUUAAAUCAGCAUGAGACGGAGCAGGAUGCGAAUGUGAUAGCAGGUAUUUUAUUAUUAUUUGAAGCACUUGUCUAUGUUCUUGAUUUUACAUCCUAAGUCGCUAACUCUAACACUAUAGUUACGAAAACAUGUAUUUUAUUAAUGUCUGAUACACUUGUUUAUGUACUUCUUGACUUUGAGACCACAAAUUCUUUUAUCUCGACAUCCUUCGUCGCUAAGUCCAACAUUGCAUGUGCUGCUGGUGAACUUAUACCUUUUAAAGAUGAAAGAUCUUGAUAUUAUUUUAAGCAUGGACUGUCUGAGACACAAUCCAUUAACCAUUCGAUGUCACGAGAAAGAAGUGUUGUUUCAUUGACCAGGAGAGAAAGAGUUUUGUUUCUUUGAAGCAAAGUGCAAGACUCUACCUCGCCUUGUAUCGGCUUUUCAAAUGGAGAAGAUGUUGAGAAAAGAGUCAUGUCAAGGAUUCUUAGUUAAUAUCAUCGGUUUCAAACCUAUAGAAACAACCGUUGAUGAUAUUAUGUUGUCCUAGACUUUGCAGACGUAUUCUGAAAAGAUCUACAGGCAUUCCACAAGAUAGUCAAAUAGAAUUUACAAUUGACUUGGUUUUCGGAGCGGCACCAAUAUCUAAGGACCCAUACCGAAUGACACCAAAAGAACUUCAAGAAAUGAAAUUACAGUUGGAAAAGUUGUUGGAAAAAGGUUUCAUUCAACCGAGUAUAUCUCCUUGAGGUGCUCCACUAUUUUUUGUGAAGAUGAGAGAUGAGAGUAUGAGGAUGUGCAUUGACUAUCAAUAAUUUAACUAUCUGACUAUUAAAAAUAGGUACCCUCUGCUAAGAAUAGAAGAUUUAUUCAACCAAUUAAGGGGUACAACAGUGUUUUCAAAUAUUGACUUGAGAUCGGGGUAUCAUCAUCUAAAGGUCAAGGCAAGCGAUAUACCGAAAACUGCUUUCAAAACUCGUUGCGGACGUUAUGUAUUCACUUUCAUGCCUUUCAGCUUGACCAAUGCUCCAACUAUAUUUAUUGAUCAAAUGAACUGAGUGUUCCAUCGGUACUUAGACCAGUUCGUCAUAGUCUAUAGUCUAUAUACUUGUGUAUUCUAAAGAUAAGAAGCAGCAUGAGGAACAAUUCUGAAUAGUACUCGAAACUUUGAGGAAAGAGAAAUUAUAUGCCAAAUUCAAGAAGUAUUGAUCCCCUCUCCAUUGGAAUGAGGUCGGAAAGACCUGAAAUCAUUGAACGAACAGUUGAGGUUGUCGAUAAGAUUAGAGCAAGAAUAACGACAGUAGAAGAUUGACAGAAAAUUUAUGCUGAUGGUAAAAGAAAGGAUUUGGAAUUUUAAGUAGGGGACAAAGUUUUUCUAAAAAUAGCAUCAUUGAAGGGUGUAUUGAGAUUUAGAAAGAAAGGGUAGUUGAGAUCGCGGUUCAUUGGACCUUUCCAAAUUUUUUAAAGAAUUGGUAAUGUGGCUUAAUGACUUGUCUUACCACCUGAACUCACAAAAGUCCAUAUAGUAUUCCAUGUUUCGAUGCUCAAAAAAUAUGUCUAUGAUCCAAUUAUGUGGUAAGUUAUUAGACAUUGGAGGUACAAAAAGACUUGUCAUAAAAAGAAAUCUCGAUGAUGGUUUUGGAUAGAGAAGUGCACCAAUUAAGAUAUAAACAGGUUCCAUUGGUAAAAGUUUAAUGGCAAAAUCAUGAACUGACAAGUCAACUUGGGAGAAAGAAGAGGAGUUUAAAACCAAGACUUAGAACUUUUUGGUUAGACAAGAUAAUUUUCGAGGACGGGUAUAUUUAAGGAUGGGAGAUUGUAAAAUCCCAAAAUUUUCAUAAAAUAGAAUUAAUUAUUUUAUAUGCUAUACAUUUACUUCUUUGAAAAUUUGGGGGACUAAAGUGAUAUAUGGGUUAAUUCAAUUUUAUUUGCGUCAAAUAUUUAGCAAAAUUUGGAAGCGUGAUUUUUUCAAGUUUCUAUCUUUCAAGAAUUUAUUUGAUCUAACGAGAUAGGAUAACAAGGUACGAUUUUUUUCUCGUUUAAAUUAUUUUUUCAUGUUGUUGAAUUAUUAUAUUUAUGAAAGUUAAAUAUAUGAUAUGAUAUGUCAAUCUAAUACCAAAGAUAUGAUAUGUUUUGAGAUCUUACUAGUCCCCAAGGAUUAUGACUGUAUGAUAUUUAUAACACGUGAUUUAAAUAUUUUUAUUCAGGAUUGUACAAUUAUUUUUGUGUCAUAUUGUUUCCUUUACUCCUCACAGGUUAGAAUGUGUUGUUGGUUAGCGGACGAUGAAAUGCAAUUGUAGUGCCAUGAUUUAUGUAACUCAAUAAAAAAAAAAAUUAAUUAAAUCUGGUGUAACAUGUCUACAGAUUUUAUUUGUAGCAUCAUUUGAGUUUUUUUAUUUCGUGGAAAUUGUUAUUUAUGAUUUGGGACAUAUUUUAUUUGAUUAUGCUUUCUAUAUGUUUUAUUUAAUAUUGGUGGAAUAAAAAAUUUCAUGUGGUGAUGUUUGAUUUAUUUAUUUAAUUAUGAUAUGAAUAAGAAAUGGCGUAGGAAAAUCUUGGUUAUUUCCUCUUUAUAAACGUAUAUAUAAAAUUUUCUACAUGAACUUGAGAAAAUUACCAUUACAAAAUUGUGUACAUAUUGCAUGUCAUGUUAUUUGAAUUUUAAAUGAAACUUUUGGUGCCAUAUUAAAUAUCUUAAAUAGGUCGGUAAUGUUUGUUUCUUCUUCACUUUCUUCUUCAAGUUCACUUUCUUCUUCAGGUUCACUUUCUGCUUCACUUUUACUCUGCCAGUCAAAUAUUAUGACUUUAAGUUCUUCAUUUCCCAUGUCUUCUUGUUCUUCUUGAAUUCUCUUAGCAGAUUCUUUGAUAGCUUCCACGCAGUGAUAUACCUCAAUCAUUAGUAAUGUUGGAAUGUCGCCUAAACUGGUUGGGAUCAUCUUCAAAUGUUUGCAAUAUCUCAAUUCUAGUCGUUGAAGUCUUGGGAAAUGAUCUCUUGUGGUAUUCCACUCUGCAAGUCUUACAUUAGAGAGUUUCAAGAAUUUAAGUUGUGGAAAUUCACCUUCACCAGUGUCCCAUCGUCGUCCAUCAAAGGAAACAUCACGUAAU